This 112748-nucleotide long non-coding RNA is filed under the name Hordeum vulgare. RNAcentral describes it as "long non-coding RNA (HVUL_LNC016639)". The record is from RNAcentral. Lineage: Eukaryota; Viridiplantae; Streptophyta; Magnoliopsida; Poales; Poaceae.
GCGGUGCUACCUCUUGAGCUUGCGUUGGUUUUUCCCUUGAAGAGGAAAGGGUGAUGCAGCACAGUAGCAGUAAGUAUUUCCCUCAGUUUGAGAACCAAGGUAUCAAUCCAGUAGGAGUAUCAAGAUGAGGCACCAAUGUACCUGUGCAAAAACAAACAAACUUGCACCCAAUGCUAUAAAGGGGUUGUCAAUCCCUUCACGAUUAUUUGCAAGGUGAGAUCUGAAGGUGAAAAGUGCAAGAAAGUAAUUUUGUGGAUCUCAAAAUAGGAUGUGAAGUAGACCUGGGGGCCAUAGUGUUCACUAGGAGCUUCUCUCAUGAUAGCAAGUAUUACGGUGGGUGAACGAAUUACUGUCGAGCAAUUGAUACAAUUGCACAAAGUCAUGAUGAUAUCUAAGGCAAUGAUCAUACAUAUAGGCAUCACGUCGGAGACAAGUAGACCGAUACUUUCUGCAUCUACUACUAUUUCUCCGCACAUCGACCGCUAUCCAGCAUGCAUCUAGUGUAUUGAGUUCAUAACAAACAGAGUAACGCCUUAAGCAAGAUGACAUGAUGUAGAGGGAUAGAUUCAUGCAAUAGAUAUAAACCCCAUCUUUUUACCCUUGAUGGCAACAACAGAAUGCAUGCCUUGCUACCCCUUCUGUCACUAGGUGAGGACACUGCACGGUAUGAACCCAAAACCAAGCACUUCUCCCAUUGCAAGAAUUAUAGAUCAAGUUGGCCAAACGAAACCCACAACUCGAAGAGAAUUACAAGGAUAUGAAAUCAUGCAUAUAAGAGAUCAGAGGAGACUCAAAUAAUAUUCAUAGAUAACUUGAUCAUAAAUCCACAAUUCAUCAGAUCUCGGCAAACACAUCGCAAAAGAAGGUUACAUCGGAUAGAUCUCCAUGAAGAUCAUGGAGAACUUUGUAUUGAAGAUCCAAGAGAGAGAAGAAGCCAUCUAGCUACUAGCUAUGGACCCGAAGGUCUGUGGUGAACUAUUCACGCAUCAUUGGAGAGGCAAUGGUGUUGAUGAAGAAGCCCUCCGUGUCCGAAUCCCCCUCUGACAGGGCACCAGAACGGUCCCCAGAUGGGAUCUUGCGGAGACAGAAGCUUGCGGCGGUGGAAAAGUAUUUUCGUGGCUCUCUAUGGUGGUUCUGGAUUUUUAGGAAAUUUAUAGGCGAAAGAAGUAGGGAAAAGGAGCCACGUGGGGCCCACAAGCCUGCUAGGCGCCCCCCAGGACGCGGCUAGGGGGCUUGUGACCUCCCCCGAGGUCCUUUGCCUUGGUUCUCAAGUUCCGUGCGUAUCUUCUGUUAUGGAAAAAAAUCAUUCUGCGGGUUUUAUUCCGUUUGGACUCCGUUUAAUAUUCUUCUUUGGAAAAGGUCAAAAACACGGAAAAAACAGAAAUUGGCACUUGGCACUGAGUUAAUAGGUUAGUCCCAAAAUAGAUAUAAAAUAGCAUAAUCAUGCAUACAAAACAUCCAAAGUUGAUAAGAUAAUAGCAUGGAACCAUCAAAAAUUAUAGUUACGUUGGAGACGUAUUAGGCGCCUCGUACCAGAUCGUCAACAUCGUCUGCACCGACACGACCACCAGCGCAGCCCAGGCGCAGGGCGGCUGCGAGGUGCCCCCGGCAUCCACGGCGCGCCGCAUCAACCUGGGGGACCUCAGCAUGCAUGACGCGCUGCAGAUGGCAAGCGAGAUGCUCCGCUAGCGAUCAACGCAAGGGGGCUUCGAUGCCUGGACGGACCACAUCAUGGAGCUGAUCGCCAUCGCCCAGAAGUCCAUCUGACCCCACUCAUCUCCAUGGCCGCACGCUCCAGGCCCCGGGGGCUCGCACCCCCUGCCGGCCCUCGGGCCUGCAGGCGGCGGGGCCCCUGCGGCGCUGGACGGGGCCGGGACAAACGCAUCACAUGCUGCCCUCCUCCUCAUCCAGAUUCCAGUGGCCGGCCUCGAGGCACAACAUGCCGACAACCACCCGGGGCACAGUGAGAACGGCAGGAUGUUGGAUGCACACACCGCCACGCAUCACCAAGACAAUGCCGGCCCUCGAAAACCCGAGGUGGCCAGGCAGGAGCGCUCCCUUAGGCGCAGCCAGCAGCGGGCGGCGGAGGCGCCGGCACGGGCGAACCACGGCGAUGGAGACACGCCAAGGUACCAAGGGAGGAUUCUGCACCUAGCAAUGCCAGGGCCACCAACGGUGGCAACAGGAACAAGCGACUUCGUGCAGAGGCCCAUCGCAGGAAGAACUCCGAGCAAAGCGACCGUGGGGGACCUCCCCCCGCCGUCGAGAGGGACCGCCACCAUCGCGCUGCUGAAUGGCUUUGGAGGUCAAUUCAACACCUACACGGAGCCAUACGUACCGUAUUAUGUAACACUACUUGACCCUCCUGACGAGGAAGGGCCUCACUCGUCGACCCCAGACGCCAGUCCUGCUUAGGAGUAAGGGAUGCCCUGGGGGUUCCCCCUGAGCCGCACCCUAGGGCUCCCAACGGCGGAGCACUAGGCCAAAGUGGCGCAGGCAGGGAGGCGCCCCCAAGCCGCGGGGCAUAACGCCAGCCCCCGCCCCCGCGGAGGAACUGCGAAAAACCGGGUCCCCGGGCUCAGGAGGACGCGUCGGAGAAAGCAACGAGACACCAGUGGCGCCGGUCACCCGAGGAGACUACGGUGCUAGCGUGGGCGCCAAGGGUCGAGCCUCACGAGGUGCCCCUCAGGCGCGAAGAAGCUAUGCGAGGUAAUUUUUUGGUUCACUGCUCUAGGGAGCGUCUGCUGGCCGCAUGAACUUCAAGUGUUCAGGGCACGCCUCUGCCCAUCAUAUCAUUUGUGCGUGCUUCGAUAACUUCCGUGCCAUCCAUUCAGAAAUCUGACAUCUUGCCUUGCUUGCAUCUUUGGGCGAUCUACCCCGGCUCGGGGGCUCCGGCCGGUACACGUCGCCCCGUCACAGGACCUGGGGAGGCCCCUCUACUCCUGAGGGCCGUAAUCAAUAGUAUGAAAUGGGAGCCGCUUGAGCAUCAAAGGGGGGCUCCUGAGCAUCGAGCCUCAGGGGCCUUACCGGUCAUAAGGCCACCUGCCACCCUUGGUAUCAUCCACAGACAUUCUGUCGUUAUCACGGGUGGUAGGGCUUGACCCCGUAGUUGCGAUUGUCCAUUCGAUCGCAAGCAACGACGGUCAGUAAAUGUGCGGGACCGGGUCUUGGCGAUGCAGAGCCGCUCGAACGUCAAAGGGGGCUCCUGGGCAUCGCGCCUCAGGAGCCUUACUGGUUACAAAGCCACUUGACCACCCUGGUACCGUCCAGGCACAUUCGGUCGGUAUCGGGGGUGUUUGGGCCUUGCCUCGUGAGGCGCCUCACGACGGCAGGGAAAUGUGCGGGACUGGGACCUGUCGACGUAGAGCAAUAGAAAAGCCCUCAGCCAGUCUGAUGAGAAGGAGGAAACAUCGCGGAGUCGGACCACCCUCGCGUUCUCCCUACAAUCCUUAGGGGACCUGCACCAACUCGCUGCACCUCUGCAUCGUCCUUCAAUCCUUCCAGAACCUACUUCAUCCCAUGACACUCUCACGUAAUAAGGAGACGAGGCCGUAUACGGUCAGGCUCCCCCGAGGACGCGAAAGGGGCCCAUCCCACGCUGAGUGGAAGACCUAUGCUCCGUGCUGGGUGGAGACAUAGGCAGUCAACACGGUCCACUAAUGACCUAAAGGAAUCAGGCGCCUAUGCCUCGGGGGUAGGGACACUCGCGAGGCCAAAGCGUCCUCAUGACCUCCCAUAUACACCCCCACCAUGACACUCUCACGUAAUAAGGAGCCGAGGCUGUACACGCCCAGGGCCCCCCAAGGAUGCGGAAGGGGUCCACCCCACGCCUAGUGGAAGCACUAUGCUCUGUGCUGGCGAGAAGACGGAGGCAAUCAACUUAGUCCACCAAUGACUAUGCCAGCAGCUGGGGGAGAUGGCACCGGAGAUUAGCCUCGGUGCCGGACGCGACGUUUGCUUGCUUCUUCCUAGAGCUUGGAUUAUCCUUUGCUGGUCUUGAAUUUGUCGAUUUCAAAGUUGAUGUUUGAAAAACAAAAUGGGGGGAAUUUUUUCUUGCAAUGUCUCGUUUUGCCAGCUUUUAAGCCUCCUUUUAUGGAUGACAUUUCAUUGGGAGUUGAACACUCCGCACCGCCCCUAGGCACCAAGGAGCGUGAAAAAGGACUUGCCGUCCCAUGGGCUAACGCUUUUAGUGGCCGACCCCCGCUUGGGGGCUCGAAUCGAAGUACAACACCACCACAAAAAGUCUCGGGGGGCCUCAGGGCGCCCUGGGGCGAUGACCACAGGGUCUCCACCCCGUCCCACCGACAAAGCAGGAGCUACUCGCGAGGAGCUGCGGAAGGGACCGGCGCAAACCCACGAGCUAAGUACCCCGCUAUCUCAGACGGAGACCAUCUGGUUUUAUGUUGAAGCAAGAACGAAUUAAAAGCACGCGUACUAAUGAGAAAAUGUAGGGCCUAAGGACUAAGUUGCGGCAAAGAAUGAGGCUACCGACCAAGCAUCUAGCAGCACAAAUGAUGCCUCGGGAGGAUGGGACCUCCAGAGGGCCCUGGCUACCGCUGUGAUAACCCACAAGUAUAGGGGAUCACAACAGUUUUCGAGGGUAGCGUAUUCUACCCAAAUUUAUUGAUUCGACUAAAGGGGAAGCGAAAGAAUAUUCUCAAGUAUUAGCAGUUGAGUUGUCAAUUCAACCACACCUGAAAGAUUUAGUACCUGCAGCAAAGUAUCAGUAGCAAUGUAGUAUGAUAGCAGCAGUAGGAACAGUAACCAGUAGCAGCAAAGUGACAGCAGUAGCAACAGAGUAACGUAGCAAGGACCAGUAGGAAAAACUCGUAGGCAUUGGAUCGGUGAUGGAUGAUUAUGCCGGAUGCUAUUCAUCAUGUAACAGUUAUAACACGGAGAGAUAAGUAACUAGCUCCACUUCGUCAAUCUAAUGUCGGCAUGUAUUUCGUAUGUAGUCAUAUGUGCUUAGGGAAAAGAANNNNNNNNNNNNNNNNNNNNNNNNNNNNNNNNNNNNNNNNNNNNNNNNNNNNNNNNNNNNNNNNNNNNNNNNNNNNNNNNNNNNNNNNNNNNNNNNNNNNNNNNNNNNNNNNNNNNNNNNNNNNNNNNNNNNNNNNNNNNNNNNNNNNNNNNNNNNNNNNNNNNNNNNNNNNNNNNNNNNNNNNNNNNNNNNNNNNNNNNNNNNNNNNNNNNNNNNNNNNNNNNNNNNNNNNNNNNNNNNNNNNNNNNNNNNNNNNNNNNNNNNNNNNNNNNNUCAUACUAUGGUCAUCUCCAGGAUGGUUCCGGCUAUUGUCACUCCGGGGUUGCCGGGUCAUAACACAUAGUAGGUGACUACAAGUUGCAAGAUAGGAUCAAGAACACACAUAUAUUGGCGACAACAUAAUAGGUUCAGAUCUGAAAUCAUNNNNNNNNNNNNNNNNNNNNNNNNNNNNNNNNNNNNNNNNNNNNNNNNNNNNNNNNNNNNNNNNNNNNNNNNNNNNNNNNNNNNNNNNNNNNNNNNNNNNNNNNNNNNNNNNNNNNNNNNNNNNNNNNNNNNNNNNNNNNNNNNNNNNNNNNNNNNNNNNNNNNNNNNNNNNNNNNNNNNNNNUAGCAACAUCAAUCUCAUAACAUAGUGGAUACUAGGGAUCAAUCCCCGUCAAAACUCCUCGAUUCAUCCAUCUCAUGGUCAUCGAAAGAAAUCCGUUAAUGAGGUUGAUCAAGUCUCCUCGACAAACCUUUUCGAAUGGCAAAAGAGAACGGAGAAUUUUCGAAUAGUCACUAGGUCACUUCAAUGGGGAUGUGUAGUUACCCAACAAGCAAGUCAUACUUCAUCUUAACAAGAGGUAUAGGGCAUUCAAAGCUCCCAAUGAGAAUCGAUGAAGUUUUUUCGAUAGCAUUGAUGCAAUGUACUCGAUAUUGUUUCUUUGGAAAGUGCACCGUAUUCUCAUUACCGUUGACAUNNNNNNNNNNNNNNNNNNNNNNNNNNNNNNNNNNNNNNNNNNNNNNNNNNNNNNNNNNNNNNNNNNNNNNNNNNNNNNNNNNNNNNNNNNNNNNNNNNNNNNNNNNNNNNNNNNNNNNNNNNNNNNNNNNNNNNNNNNNNNNNNNNNNNNNNNNNNNNNNNNNNNNNNNNNNNNNNNNNNNNNNGGUCUUCCGAGGAUGACUGCCAUGGCAUCGUCCUCGGGAAUAUCCAAGAUUACAAAGUCUGUUAAGAUAGUAACGUUGGCAACCACAACAGGCACAUCCUGGGAAAUGCAGAUAGGGAAAGCAGUUGAUUUGUCGGCCAUUUGCAAAGAGAUUUCAGUGGGUGUCAACUUAUCCAGUUCAAGUCUAUGAUAAAGGGAGAGAGGCAUAACACUAACACCGGCUCCAAGGUCGCAUAAAUCAGUUCUAACGUAGUUACCUUUAAUGGAGCAAGGUAUAGUGGGCACACCGGGAUCACCUAGUUUCUUGGGAGUUCCACCCAUGAAGGUAUAAUUAGCGAGCAUGGUGGAAAUCUCAACCUCAAGUAUCCUCCUCUUAUUAGUCACAAUAUCCUUCAUGUACUUAGCAUACAGAGACAUUUUGAGCAUAUAUGUCAAACUCAUUUGCCGAAAGACAAGUCUAAUCAUUUCAACAAAUCGCUCAAAAUCCUCAUCAUCCUUUUUAUUGGAUGGUUUGGGAGGAAAGGGCAUGGGUUUCUGAACCCAUGGUUCCCUUUCUUUACUAUGCUACCUAGCAGCGAAGGCAUUCUUAUCGUAUCUUCUAUUCUUAGGUUGUGGGAUAUGAAGAUCAACAGGUUCAAUCUCCACAUCCUGAUAAUUGCUAGGUUGAGAAACUUCAUGAACAUCACCAUUGAUAUUAUCAUUAGGCUGAUGUUCAUUACCACAUUGUGUUUCAGCAUCAGAAACAGAGGGGCCGUUUGGACUCUCAGGUGUAACAAAAUCUGGGUUGCUAGCGUCCAGGUUCCUAUCAUCUUUCUUCUUCUUUCUAGGAUGACUAGGUGCAUCAGUGCUAACUCCUUGAGAAUCUUGUUCUAUUCUCUUAGGAUGACCCUCAGGAUACAAAGGUUCCUGAGUCAUUCUGCCGCCUCUAGUGACGACUCUGACAGAAUUGUCAUUCAACUCAUUGAGCAAGUCAUUUUGAGCCUUAAGUACUUGUUCUACUUGAGUAGUAACCAUAGAGGCAUGUUUACUUAGAAGCUUAAGAUCAUUGACGUUUCUGUCCACACAAGCACUUAAAUGACUAAGCAUACGAGUAUUCUGUUCAAAUUGUCUGCUAACAUAAUCAUUGAAACUCUGUUGUUUGGCAACAAAGUUGUCAAAUUCAUCCAGGCAUAAGCUAGCAGGUUUAUCAAAAGUAAUAUCACUCUCAUCAAACCUACGCAGAGAAUUUACUUCUACUACCUGUAUCGGGUUAUCAAGACCAUGGAUCUCUUCGAUAGGUGGUAGAUUUUUGACAUCUUCAGAUUUAAUGCCUUUCUCUCGCAUAGGUUUCUUAGCUUCUUGCAUAUCUUCAGGACUGAGGAAUAGAAUNNNNNNNNNNNNNNNNNNNNNNNNNNNNNNNNNNNNNNNNNNNNNNNNNNNNNNNNNNNNNNNNNNNNNNNNNNNNNNNNNNNNNNNNNNNNNNNNNNNNGGGGCUCGGGGGAGGCGGCUUAUAUAGGGGCAGGGGAUGGCCGAGGGAAGGAAGGGGAGGCCGAAUCGGGGAGGAUCCCGGCGAUCCAGGGGGUGGCGCCAUGGAAAGGGUCGUGCGGUGGGGAAGGAAAGAGUCACGGGAGAAAGAAAGGAAAGAGGAAGAAGAAGGAAGGAAAGAAAGAAAGGGGAAAAAAGAAAAAGAAGUGGGGGUGCGCUGCGUGGGGAGGAGAUCUCUCCAGCGAUGGGGGGGUGGAUCCUGGCCCAAGAAAAGAAAACGCCCAGGGCGGUUUCCUAUUAAUAGAUUUUCUUGGGCCAGGAUNNNNNNNNNNNNNNNNNNNNNNNNNNNNNNNNNNNNNNNNNNNNNNNNNNNNNNNNNNNNNNNNNNNNNNNNNNNNNNNNNNNNNNNNNNNNNNNNNNNNNNNNNNNNNNNNNNNNNNNNNNNNNNNNNNNNNNNNNNNNNNNNNNNNNNNNNNNNNNNNNNNNNNNNNNNNNNNNNNNNNNNNNNNNNNNNNNNNNNNNNNNNNNNNNNNNNNNNNNNNNNNNNNNNNNNNNNNNNNNNNNNNNNNNNNNNNNNNNNNNNNNNNNNNNNNNNNNNNNNNNNNNNNNNNNCCCCUAAGGCUUUACUUUCUUUUUGAAAUUAUUUUCUCCACAAGGUUUGUGUUUUCCUUGGCUCAAAAUAUAUCAAAAGUGCCCCUGGUCAUUUUGGAGGGUCAUAUUCCUCCUCUCUUUCUUGCUUGCAAGAAAUUAUUUCCCGGCACUUCUUGCACGAAGAAAACAAAUUAGAAAUGCAAAAGAAAAAGUUGAAAGAAUUCAAAUGCAAACUCCAUUCAAAUUCUUUAUAGUUUAAGAAGUCAGGUCAUCUUCUCUCAUUGCUUUUAACUCGCUGAAUUUGAAUUUACCGGAGAAGGGGAAAGUCAUUUUAUUCCCUCUCAUUCAGAAGUUUUUGAAAAGUUUCAAAUUUCACUCAAGUUUCAAUCACUCAAGAAAACAAACAAACAAUAUAAUAAUUAUAUUAACAUNNNNNNNNNNNNNNNNNNNNNNNNNNNNNNNNNNNNNNNNNNNNNNNNNNNNNNNNNNNNNNNNNNNNNNNNNNNNNNNNNNNNNNNNNNNNNNNNNNNNGUGAGCCACAGGGGACUCAGCAAUCUCAUUUCCAAAGGUAUCAAGACUAGCAAAGCUUAAUGGGUGAGGUAUGGUUAAGUGGUGAGGUUCCAGCAGCGGCAAAGCAUAUAUUUGGUGGCUAACUUACGAGUACAAGAUUAAAGAGGAGGAAGCUCUACGCAUAUCGGACGUGACUACUGAUGAUCAAAUGAAUGAUCCUGAACACCUACCUACGUCAGACAUAACCCCACCGUGUCCUCGAUCGGAGAAAGAACUCACGAAAGAGACAGUCACGGUUACGCACACAGUUGGCAUAUUUUAAUUACGUUAACUUCAAGUUAUCUAGAACCAGUGUUAAACAAAGUUUCCACGUUGCCACAUAACCGCGGGCACGGCUUUCCGAAAGAUUUAACCCUGCAGGGGUGCUCCAACUAGUCCAUCACAAAUUACCACAAGCCGCAUAGAAAUCCUCAAUCACGAAGCUCGCGAUCUCGUCGGAUUCCCUAGUGGAAAACCUCAACUCNNNNNNNNNNNNNNNNNNNNNNNNNNNNNNNNNNNNNNNNNNNNNNNNNNNNNNNNNNNNNNNNNNNNNNNNNNNNNNNNNNNNNNNNNNNNNNNNNNNNNNNNNNNNNNNNNNNNNNNNNNNNNNNNNNNNNNNNNNNNNNNNNNNNNNNNNNNNNNNNNNNNNNNNNNNNNNNNNNNNNNNNNNNNNNNNNNNNNNNNNNNNNNNNNNNNNNNNNNNNNNNNNNNNNNNNNNNNNNNNNNNNNNNNNNNNNNNNNNNNNNNNNNNNNNNNNNNNNNNNNNNNNNNNNNNNNNNNNNNNNNNNNNNNNNNNNNNNNNNNNNNNNNNNNNNNNNNNNNNNNNNNNNNNNNNNNNNNNNNNNNNNNNNNNNNNNNNNNNNNNNNNNNNNNNNNNNNNNNNNNNNNNNNNNNNNNNNNNNNNNNNNNNNNNNNNNNNNNNNNNNNNNNNNNACCAGUCUUAAUCUAAAACGAAUUAUCAAGGGGGUCCCCAUAACAACCCCGAUCGUGUUAGGAGCGCUCAUUUAUGGAACAUAACACCGGUAGCCGGAAACUAAGGGGGCAAAGGUGGAACAAAACACCAGGCUAGAAAGGCCGAGCCUUCCAACUUUUACCAAGUAUAUAGGUGCAUUAAAAAUAAUUAGCAUUUAAAUAUGGUGAUAUAACAAGGAACCCAUGUUUCACAUGGAAGCAACUGCACCUGCAACUAGCAACGCUACACAGGGUUAAGCAAGCAGUAACAUAGCCAAUCAGUGGUUUGCUAGGUCGAACAGGUUGAAGGUUUCAUGGCAUUGUUGAUAGGCUAAUAUUUAACAUGUGGUAGGCAACGAGACGUAAACGGUAGCAACGGUAAAUCUAGCAUGGCAAUGAUAGUAAUGGUAUCUGGGGAAAUGAUCAUCUUGCCUGAUAUCCCGCUUGGAAGAAGAAUGUCUCCGUGAAGCAGUCGAACCGACAUAGUCGAACGAGUCCUCACAAUCCGGCACGCUGCGGAACUCUAUCGAGAUGAAGCAAACCGGAGACACAAAUCAACACACGGAAUUCACCACACGAUGCACAACACAAAUGGUGCAUGAGCAGCUGAAUACAUGCAAGACACGGCAUGUCAAAUCACACAAUCAAACACUACACAUUAAGUGAAGUUCAAUAUGCAACGAGUUUCAUAUUGACGAAACUCCACGUUAAUUAUUUAGUUCUAUCCCGAUUAUUUACACGGCAAUAUUAAUGUUGUCAAACAUGUGAAGCGGAAAUUACACUACCUAUCUAGACAUUUUAAAUGAGGUCGGAAAUGACAUAUAGCAUCUCCGAAACGACCUCACAUGUUAAUUUACAAUUAUGUCCAGAUCUUAACUAAUGAAUUUAGUUAGUUGUUAAACAGCAAAACAAAUAGGUUCACGUGAUUCUACGCGUCAACGCAAGCAAUCUACACAUAAAGCACAUCUCCAACGAAGCUACGGAUCAAAAGUUACAAGCACCGCAAGAUAUGAUGGCAUGAAUGCAAAAUGUGUGCAACGACAGUCACGAGCAAUUCAAAACAUACAAACAGCAAGAGAAAAUGAAACUACAGAAGAUUCUAAGCAAGUUUCAUGUAGGACACGAUCAAAUCGGAGCUACGGUUCAUCAACUACGAGCAAUACAAGAAAUCACUACAAUCUGCCAAAAACAGCCACAUAGCAUUUUCUACGCCCCACAACUACGGCUACACAACUCCGAUAAACUCAAGCAAGGCAUGGCACGAAAGAGGGCAAGACGACUACUACAAACAACUAACAUCAACUAGCAUGGCAGCAUGGAUCACUAGGGAAAGAAGACACAAAAUGGCAUCCCACACACUAUUUCAGACUUAGUGAAAAUAACACCUCAUGGAAGUGCAGUUUUCAGCCUGAAGCAAUAUUGACAGCAGCAAAACCUAUAUCUACAGGACUCCAAAUGGCAUGAAAAUUUACAACAAGCUAGAGAAACACAAGGGGUACAACUAACUCCAUUUGACCAACCUCAAAAGAGCUACAGAUCACAAGAUGCAAGCAAGACAAGACAGCAACAAAAUAUAACAGAUUCCAGACUUAGAAAUAUUUCAGCUCCUCCAAAUCAGCACUAUUUCUAGCAACUUGAGAGCAAUCAAACCACACCUAAACAUGCAUUUCUAUUGCAACCAAAAAUACCAGGGGCUAGUCUAAACACCCAAGAACAACUUCCUAGUUGACAACUCCNNNNNNNNNNNNNNNNNNNNNNNNNNNNNNNNNNNNNNNNNNNNNNNNNNNNNNNNNNNNNNNNNNNNNNNNNNNNNNNNNNNNNNNNNNNNNNNNNNNNNNNNNNNNNNNNNNNNNNNNNNNNNNNNNNNNNNNNNNNNNNNNNNNNNNNNNNNNNNNNNNNNNNNNNNNNNNNNNNNNNNNNNNNNNNNNNNNNNNNNNNNNNNNNNNNNNNNNNNNNNNNNNNNNNNNNNNNNNNNNNNNNNNNNNNNNNNAAACAUAUAAAAUAUGUGGGGUUGCAACACAAAAUAAAGCCACACUAAAAUGCGAGAUAAUAACCUAUACACGGGAAAAUAAACUACCGGCAAACCCUACACGCAAAAUACAAAUGACUGGUCUAAAAUACAUGGAAAAAUAGUUCCUAGAACAUGGGCAUUUUGUCUAAGGUACUCGAGCAAUCCGGACCGCAAGAAAAAAAUAAAUACGGGACGAAACAAUAUAGGACAGCACGUUAAACUAGGCGUUCGGCACGUAAAACUACGUCAAAUAAAUAUGCAAGUUUUAAAUUCGUACUCUACGCGCAAAAAUACCACAAAACCAUAUACUACACGCCUCAAACGACUAACGGUUUAAAAACUACGGACGUUUUAAUAACCGUCUAUUUCUGGAAUUUAUCAAUUCUGAAAUAAAAUCCACUAAGCUGUGUUGGGCCGAAAGGGCAAGCGAAAUAUAUUAAAAUUGCACUGGGGCGGGGAAUAGUCUCACCUGGGCCUCGGGACCGGCCUGGCCGAGGCAAGGAGGAGGUGGGAGGAGGCUGCGGGAGGAUUAGGGUUAGGGGUAGGUGGGGCGCGGAAAACGAGGCAGAGGGGGGUUGGCUGCCUAAAUUUUAGGAGGGGGUCUAUAUAUAGAGAAAAGGGGGGCUAGAUUAGCCGGAAUUUCGAUCCGGAUCCAACCGUGCGGUCGGAUUCGGACGAUUCCGCACGCGGGAAUGGGUAUGUGGCCGUGUAGGGUGGUUUACCGGAGACGAGAGGGAGAACGGGCGGCGCGGCAACGAAUUUUUUUAAAACUCCGACAGACGUCUGACGGUAGACCGAAUACGGUGCCGCUACGGUCGACCGUUCAGGUACCAGACGGACUCCGGUCGCGACGAAAUUCGACAGGCGGCCUAGCUAUAUUAAAAUAAGACCGCACGUCAAAUCUCAACCCGAUCAGAGAAAGUUUUACGCACACUUUUAAAACAGGGUUUGGACGAUGCCGCGGGCGCGUACGUGUGCCGUCGGGCUCAGAACGGACAACGACGAGACCCAACAACUAACAACGGAUGCAACUUUUGAAAACUGGCGGCAACGGAGAUGCCGAUGCAAUGCAUAUGAUGCGAAUGAUGCGAUGAUGAUGCGACAAAUGAAAAUACCCACACGACGAAAACGGAAAGAAAAGGGAAUCUUCUGGAACGUCGGCAUCGGGCUGUCACANNNNNNNNNNNNNNNNNNNNNNNNNNNNNNNNNNNNNNNNNNNNNNNNNNNNNNNNNNNNNNNNNNNNNNNNNNNNNNNNNNNNNNNNNNNNNNNNNNNNGGCAUCGGGCUGUCACAACUCUCCUACACUACAAGAGGAUCUCGCCCUGAGAUCCAAGAAUGAAAGGUGGAGCGGAUGAGAAAGCAAGAGAUAAAAAUUUAGUCGCUUCUUUGACAAAUGAGUGAAAUCAACGAUCCUUGAAGGUUGCAAGGCGAUGAGGAGUAAAAUGAGAAACAAGCAAGAAUUCACGGAAAAUUUUGGCAGCACUUCGAUAGGAAAAUGGGACAAAAAAUUCGAAAAGGUAGGAGAAUUAGACAAUAUUCAUAACAAACAACCAAAUAGAACAAGGGCACACCAUGAUCUUGGUAGAACAACAUAAUAGACCCAAAAGAGCAACAUCACAAUGCCUCCGGAACAAGAGAAUAGAAACUAGCUCAUACGGAAGAAGAGAAUGAAGAAAAGAAUGACAACUACUAACUCCAACGAACUUGGCAAGCAUCCUUGCAAGAAGAAUUGAACGGAGUUGUUGGAAAAACAACAACGAAAGAACAAGAUAGUAGUGGACUUAUGGAAACCUUUUCAAAUUAAUGAAGUGACAACCAGCCACCAAGAGAAACAAGGAUUGAUUGGGAGAAACAAGAUAUGGACAAUUUCUUACACCAAGAGGAUACAUUGAGAACUUGGAUUAAUGACAAGCACCAUGAUAGCAGCAAUCCAUAGGAAAAGCUUUAGGUGAAAUCCAAACCAAGAUAACUCAAGGAAGAAAUCAUGGGUUGAAAAACAAAAUCUCAUGAUCAAAGAAUUGGUGGGUUUAAUUAUCUCAUUCUUGAAAGGAAAUCAUUUCGAGGCUCCUACACUAACAAGAAUGCUAUAAUACCACCUCAAAGGAUAAAGGAAUAACAAAUGCACUUGGAAAUGCAAGAGAAGAAAACUUUAGGUUCUCCAACAAGAAUCUGGAAGAAGACUUGAGGAUGAAUUGAAACCUUGAUGAACCACAAGGACCUCCGUAUACGAAUGAAUGAUGCAAAGAUAACAAGGUAGAAAAGAAUAAGAUUAUGACCUUGCCAGGAUUUAGAAGAAGCCACACAAAGAGAUACUUAAAAAAAACUUGGAACUCCGGAAAAAGAUAAGCACACGAGAAAAGAAUUGAAACCACGAGCCACUCCGGAACAAGAAUUCAGAUUACUAUGAACAAGAAUAAGAAUUAUGUUAUGCUCAUCCUUCAUCAAAUUAAAUUGAUGACAAUCAAUGGAUUUAGCAUACAACUUAUUCCUCUUGAAAAUAUUAAAGAGAGAUAGAUAAAGCCAUACUUAAGAAGUCUUGAAACAACCACCGGCAAGAGUUGAGACAAAUGAGGCAAUCAUGCAUGAAUGGAGAUAUAUGAGAAUGAAGAGAUCAAUAGCCGCCUGAGAGAGAACUUGAACAAGGCACCGGAUAAUCGAGAGACGAACGAAGAGACAACAAUGGAGAAGAAUUGAGGAUGAAAGCUGACAGCUGAGAACGAAGAAUCUUCUAAAAUGAUGGCCUUCGGAGGAUCGAGAAAUAAAAACAACUCGGAAAUGCACCGGAUAACAAGAAAUAGAUUCUCAUGAUUGGAGACAAAUUCAAGAGGAUAACACGAAGCUCAAAUGACAGUCUUCACAAGAAUGGAACAAGACUGAGAGAAACACUCCUUCGAAUUUGCAAGCUGAGAAUGAAGACGAGAAACAACACCAAGAAUAGCUCAGACACUCCGGAAUAAAGAAGAAUGAAAGGUUGAGCCAGUAUGAGAAUUAAUUCAAAUAGAACUUGAAGAAGGGAUAUGACUGAUGAAAUUCAUACUUACGUCACAGUUGAAAAGAAUUAGAGAUCUUCGGGAAAAAAAAUUAGAAGAGCCGAGAAAGAUCCUGGGAAAGAACCUGUGGGUUAUGGGCCCACUCAAAGAAACCAUUGUUGGAAGGAUUUCUUAGAAGAGAGAUAUUGCAUCGGUACAAAUGAAAACUAGAUGAGGUUAGCACCUCGAAAUAACUGAAGGAUUGAAAAUCAGAACUUCUGAAAUAUCUUUAACACUCCGGAUAGAAAGAGAGAGGAAUUAAUAAACAAGAUAGGCUGAAAUAAUUUCCAACGCAGGAACGAAUUAAUGGUUGAAAAGGAUAUGAUGACCAUGGAUAACUGAACUGAAUUCACCGGUAAGGAUGACAAGAAUGAAUAAAUAUGAACAUGAAGCUCCUGAGAAUCUUCACAACGAAUCACCGGGUAAGAGAGAAAAGAACAGACAGCGGAAGCACAAUGAAAAGAAAACUCUUGGAUGAAAAUUGAAUUACUCAAGAAAAGNNNNNNNNNNNNNNNNNNNNNNNNNNNNNNNNNNNNNNNNNNNNNNNNNNNNNNNNNNNNNNNNNNNNNNNNNNNNNNNNNNNNNNNNNNNNNNNNNNNNNNNNNNNNNNNNNNNNNNNNNNNNNNNNNNNNNNNNNNNNNNNNNNNNNNNNNNNNNNGGGGGGGGGGGGGGGGAAAAACAAAGACAAUGUGGGACAGAUGAGACGAACUCCGGAAUAAAAUGAGAGAAUGAACUUGCAAAAAUUGGAGAGGAUUGAAUCCACUUGGAGAGAAACACACCGGUUGAAAAGAAUUAACAUGACAACUCCGGUUGACAGAAUUGAUAAGACAACUGAUUGAGCAAAAGAAUUUGCAUUCACAUAAAAAAUAUGAGAAGACCUCUGGGAAAGAUCUGAAUCACCAUUUGACAUCGAAGCAACACGAAUACCAUAUUCAACAAAACAAAGGGUGAGGCUUAUGAAACAAGCCAGAACAAACACAUGAGAAAUAUUUCGUCCGAUAUGUUCAUGGACAGGAUUGCACGGGCUCGAUUUUACAGUAGCCAUCAAGUGCAAGGCAGUGCACCUGACAUACAAAGCAUCCCCGAGUCGUAGCAAUCUACAAGGACUCUUUAAGACACAAAGUGUACCGCUGUAAGUCGACCGUGAACAAACGAAUCCACUAGAUGUCGAACCCCAACCUAACAUCAUGCAUUUGUUGAAAGAUUGUCCUAUAAGCAACUACUUGAACUCCCACCUAUGAAUUCCUGAAAUAUCUGGUCAUGCAAUCUGGUACACGGAUACAAGGAGUAAUUAUCACACAACUCCUAUACUAACCCGUCACCUGUAUCACAUCCGUCAACACACAACCAGAAUCUAUGACCUUCAUCUACAACAGACCCUUGUGAUCACAACGAUACAAAGUAUGGCAGUACUCCCGAACAAUCUGCACCAGUACUGGGGACAUCGGGGUUAUCUCGCCACUACUAGUAUUGAAGCAAUUAUGAACAUCCUUCGUUCUGAGAUACUAAGAAAUCUGAAUGAUAACGAUGUGCUCAAGAAUCCCCUGGAGCUCAACUCCCCUCAAACUUAAAGCAGAUAGGAGGCACCAAGACAGAACUCCGUCACAUCGGCAUCAUAUAGAUUCCAAAAAUAUCCGCGUGAUCCUAAAAAAAUUGAGUGAGAAGAGGAGUAGAAUUAAAUUAUUACGUCAAGAUUCCUCACCAGAGCAUAGAAGAGGAGAAAAAACAAUCCUACUCUCCGAUAUAUAACUAGACUCAAAUCAGUUUUCUACUAGACUCGACUCGGCCAAGUUCGAUCAAUCAAGGGGGCUCCUAGGUCGGUACUGCUCUGAUACCAACUUGUCACGCCCAAGAUGCGACCCUAUCCUCAAUUUGGCAUGAAGGCCUCUUCAGGGAUAGAAGCGCAUCUCGUCGUGUCGCAAGAAUGGAUAUCGUUACAAGUACAUGUACUGAAAGGAAGAGAUAUAUAAUAGAAUUGGCUUACACUCGCCACAAGCUACAUCAGAGUCACAUCAGUACAAUACAUAAUCAUCAAGAGUAAGAGCAGGGUCCGACUACGGACAAAAACAAACGAUAAAAGAAGAACGACGUCCAUCCUUGCUAUCCCAUGCUGCCGGCCUGGAACCCAUCCUAGAUCGAUGAAGAAGAAGAAGAAGAACAAGCAACUCCAAAUGAACAAUCAACGCGCUCGCGUCAAGUAACCUUUACAUGUACCUGCAACUGGUGUUGUAGUAAUCAGUGAGCCACAGGGGACUNNNNNNNNNNNNNNNNNNNNNNNNNNNNNNNNNNNNNNNNNNNNNNNNNNNNNNNNNNNNNNNNNNNNNNNNNNNNNNNNNNNNNNNNNNNNNNNNNNNNAUAAUCUCUCUAGUAAUAUCUGAUCCUUUUCAUGGUUAUGAGUCUGAGACGGUCAUAGCCCAUCUUGCCAAACUAUCCGAAAUAGCCAACCUUUUCACUAAUGAGGAGAAGAUCCGCCACUACUAUAUCCUUAAGUUGUUUCCUUUCUCUCUAAAGGAUGACCCUAAAGCCUAGUUCACCUCUCUUGCUCCUGGAUGUGUGCGUAGUCCCCAGGAGAUGGUCUAUUACUUCUGUGAAAAAUAUUUCCCUGCCCAUAAGAAGCAAGCUGCCUUGCAGGAAAUAUACAACUUUGCUCAACUCCAAGAACAGAGUCUUCCACAAGCUUGGGGGAGGCUCGUCCAGCUACAGAAUGCUUUGCCUGAUCACCCUCUUAAGAAGAACGAGAUACUUGAUAUCCUCUAUAACGGACUUACCGAUGCCUCUAGAGACUACCUAGAUAGUUGUGCCGGUUGUGUUUUUAGGGAACAAACUGUAGAACAAGCUGAGAGUCUACUGAAUCACAUCUUGAUCAACGAUAAUGCUUGGACUAUUCCCGAACCACCUCCUAAGCCAACUCCGAAGAAAAGAGGUAUUCUAUUCCUCAGUCCCGAAGAUAUGCAAGAAGCCAAGAAAUCUAUGCAAGAGAAAGCCAUUAGAGCUGAAGAUGUCAAAAAUCUACCACCUAUCGAAGAGAUCCACGGUCUCGAUAACCCGAUACAGGUAGUAGAAGUGAAUUCUCUACGUAGGUUUGAUGAGAGUGAUAUUCCUUUUGAUAAACCUGCUAGCCUAUGCUUUGAUGAAUUUGACAACUUUGUUGCCAAACAACAGAGUUUCAAUGAUUAUGUUAGCAGACAUUUGGAACAAAGUACUCGUAUGCUUAGCCAUUUAAGUGCUUGUGUAGACAGAAAUGUCAAUGCUCUGAAGCUUCUGAGUAAACAUGCCUCUAUGAUUCCUACUCAGGUAGAACAAGUACUUAAAGCUCAGAAUGACCUGCUCAAUGAAUUGAAAGACAACUCUCUCAAAGUCAUUACUAGAGGAGGCAAAAUGACUCAGGAACCUUUGUAUCCUGAAGGUCAUCCUAAGAGAAUUGAUCAAGAGUUCUCAAGGAAUCAAUGCUGAUUCACCUAGUCAUCCUAAGGAGAAGAAGAAGGAUGAUAGAAGCCUACAUGCCAGUUCACCAAAUACUAUCACACCUGAAGAACCUAAUGAUAUUUCUGCGUCUGAUGCAGAAACACAAUCAGGUGAUGAACAUGAACCUGGUGACAAUGUGGACAGUGAUGUUCAUAAUAAUGCUCAACCUAGACAUGAUGAGGAUGUGGAGAUUGAACCUACGGUUAAUCCUGAUAAUCCACAACCUAAGAGAUACGACAAGAAUGACUUCACUACUAGGAAGCAUGGUAAAGAAAGAGAGCCAUGGGUUCAGAGACCUAUGCCCUUUCCUCCUAAGCCAUCCAUGAAAAAGGAUGAUGAGGAUUUUGAACGCUUCGUUAAGAUGAUAAGACCCGUCUUUCUGCAGAUGCGGUUAACUGAUAUGCUCAAUAUGUCUCCGUAUGCCAANNNNNNNNNNNNNNNNNNNNNNNNNNNNNNNNNNNNNNNNNNNNNNNNNNNNNNNNNNNNNNNNNNNNNNNNNNNNNNNNNNNNNNNNNNNNNNNNNNNNUACUGCUGUCACUACUGAUGUUCCUUGCCACUGCUAUUGCUCGUUACACUACUACUACCUGCUACACUGUUGGUUCACCGGACGUUGACGGGAACUGACAACUUCCGUCAACGCGGCAACGAAGGCGGCAUUGAUACAAUCGUUAGGAAUAGUCUGCCAUCAACAGAUCGUUUCUGACACCGUUGUUAUCACAUUACUUUGAUGUUACUACCAUGCUUGCAGAUACUAAUCUUUUAGGUGUGGUUGAAUAUGACAAAUUCAGCUGCUAAUACUUGGGAGUAUACUCUCAUCUCCUUUCGGCGAUCUACAAAUUUGGGUCGGAUACUCUACCCUCGAAAACUGCUGCAAACCCACGCGCUGGUGGGCCAUCAACAACAUUCUUCCAGUUUCAUUGUUGGGGAGUGCUAUCAACAUUCUUUUGGUGCCGUUGCAGGAGAAGGUUUGUUGUCAUAAGCAUUCGUCUAGCUAACGCCAGAGAUUGCAGGAUCAACCCUUUUCUGGAGCCAUUGCCAGGGAAGCACAGUUGACGUUAGCAUUUUUCUGGCGCCGUUGCCGGGGAGGCAUUGCUAUAUUCUCUGAGUCACUUGGGAUUUAUAUCUGCUGAUCACUAUGAAGAAUCUGAAGGAUCCAAAGACCAAAGUCUUGCCCUCAACUACGAGGGGAGGUAAGGAAUAGCCAUCUAGAUCUGCACUUGAUUCACCUUCAGUUAUGAGUAAGUUUGCGACUUCACCUCCUGCUAGAAAUCUUGAUUUGUCACCUGUGCUUGAUGAUGCUUGUGAUACUACUACUAGAGAUGCUAUGCUUGAUACUAUGUCUGAUGAUGCUAUGCUUGAUACUAUGCCUGAUGAUGCUAUGCUUGAUACUAUGCCUGAUAUUGCUAGAGAUGCUAUGCCUGAUAUUGCUAGAGAUGCUAUGCUUGAUACUGCUUUGCCUGAUGAUGCUAGAGAUGCUAUUUUGCUUGAUGAUGCUAUGCUUGAUACUGCUAGAGAUAGUCCUUUGCCUGUUCCACUAGGAGUGUUCCUUGAUGCUCAUAUUGCUAGAGUUACUACCAAUGCUCGUGAUGCUUCAGAAACUGCCGAUGCUAUUGAGACAGAACCUGCUUUUGCUCCUGCUAGAUCUAGCUCUCCUAGAUAUGAAUUCCCUGAUAUACCUGAGGGUUACGUUAUGGAGGGAGAGAUAGCUGAGGAUUUUCUUGCGUGUAAGGAUGCCUAUGAUGCUGAGAAAUUAAUGCUCAAGUGGAAGGAAAAAUCUUGGGAAGUUAGGAUGAAAAAUGAUCCGAAGUUUGCCACUUCGCCUAUCUUUGUCACCGAUAAGGAUUAUGAAUUCUCUGUCGACCUUGAGAUAAUCUCUCUAGUCGAAUCUGAUACUUUUCACGGUUAUGAGUCUGAGACGGUCAUAGCUCAUCUUGCCAAACUAUCCGAAAUAGCCAACCUUUUUCACUAAUGAGGAGAAGAUCCGCCACUACUAUAUCCUUAAGCUGUUUCCGUUCUCCCUAAAGGAUGACGCUAAAGCCUGGUUCACCUCUCUUGCUCCUGGAUGUGUGCGUAGUCCCCAGGAGAUGGUCUAUUACUUCUGUGAGAAAUAUUUCCCUGCCCAUCAGAAGCAAGCUGCCUUGCAGGAAAUAUACAACUUUGCUCAACUCCAAGAAGAGAGUCUUCCACAAGCUUGGGGGAGGCUCGUCCAGCUACAGAAUGCUUUGCCUGAUCACCCUCUCAAGAAGAACGAGAUACUUGAUAUCCUCUAUAACGUACUUACCGAUGCCUCUAGAGACUACCUAGAUAGUUGUGUCGGUUGUGUUUUUAGGGAACGAACUGUAGAACAAGCUGAGACUCUGCUGAAUAACCUCUUGAUCAACGAUAAUGCUUGGACUAUUCCCAAACCACCUCCUAAGCCAACUCCUAAGAAAAGAGGUAUUCUAUUCCUCAGUCCCAAAGAUAUGAAAGAAGCUAAGAAAUAUAUGCAAGAGAAAGGAAUUAGAUCUGAAGAUGUCAAAAAUCUACCACCUAUCGAAGAGAUCCAAGGUCUCAUAACCCGAUACAGGUAGUGGAAGUGAAUUCUCUGCGUAGGUUUGAUGAGAGUGAUAUUCCUUUUGAUAAACCUACUAGCCUAUGUUGUGAUGAAUUUGACAACUUUGUUGCGAAACAACAGAGUUUCAAUGAUUAUGUUAGCAGACAUUUGGAACAAAGUGCUCGUAUGAUUAGCCAUUUAAGUGCUUCUGUAGACAGAAAUGUCAAUGCUCUGAAGCUUCUGACUAAACAUGCCGCUAUGAUUACUACUCAGGUAGAACAAGUACUUAAAGCUCAGAAUGACCUGCUCAAUCAAUUAAAUGACAACUCUGUCAGAGUCAUUACUAGAGGAAGCAAAAUGACUCAGGAACCUUUGUAUCCUAAAGGUCAUCCUAAGAGAAUUGAUCAAGAUUCUCAAGGAAUCAAUGCUGAUACACCUAGUCAUCCUAAGGAGAAGAAGAAGGAUGAUAGAAACGUGCACGCCAGUUCACCAAAUACUAUCACACCUGAAGAACCAAAUGAUAUUUCUGCGUCUGAUGCAGAAACACAAUCUGGCGAUGAACAUGAACCUGGUGACAAUGUGGACAGUGAUGUUCAUAAUAAUGCUCAACCUAGCAAUGAUGAGGAUGUGGAGAUUGAACCUACGGUUAAUCCUGAUAAUCCACAACCUAAGAGAUAUGACAAGAAUGACUUUACUACUAGGAAGCAUGGUAAAGAAAGAGAGCCAUGGGUUCAGAGACCUAUGCCCUUGCCUCCUAAGCCAUCCAAGAAAAAAGAUGAUGAGGAUUUUGAGCGCUUCGUUGAGAUGAUAAGACCUGUCUUUUUGCAGAUGCGUUUAACUGAUAUGCUCAAGAUGUCUCCAUAUGCCAAGUACAUGAANNNNNNNNNNNNNNNNNNNNNNNNNNNNNNNNNNNNNNNNNNNNNNNNNNNNNNNNNNNNNNNNNNNNNNNNNNNNNNNNNNNNNNNNNNNNNNNNNNNNUCAUCCUCGGAAGACCCUUUUUAAACACUGCAGGGGCUGUUAUAGAUUGCAACAAAGGCAAUGUCACUUUCCAUGUCAAUGGUAAUGAGCACACGGUGCACAUUCCGAAGAAACGAUAUCCAGUACAUUGCAUCAAUGCUAUCGAAAAGACUUCAUCGAUUCUCAUUGGUAGCUUUGAAUGCCCCAUUCCUCGUGUCAAGAUGAAGUAUGAUUUGCUUGUUGGGGAGAUUCAUAUCCCCGUUGAGGUGACUUAGUGGCUAUUCGGAAAUUCUCCGUUCUCUCUUGCGGUUCGAGAAGGUUUUGUCGUAAGGACUUGAUCAACCUCAUUGACUAAUUUCUUCCGAUGACCAUGAAACGGAUGAAUCAAAGAGUCACAUACCUCUGUUUUGAUUCUUCAUUUUCUGUUGCUUAGAAGAAAAAUGAUAGAAUUAGUUUAGUUUUUCCUGUUUUCUGUUUUAGCGUCCCGGAGUAUCCUGGAGUUGGUUAUUUCCCACCUUUGGAGUAGACCAAGCUAGGCCAAAAGCCUAAGCUUGGGGGAGUACGUGUUCUCACCGACUUUAUAUUCAUGCUUAUGCUUUCGCUUUGUUAGCCGGUGUUUACACUUUGCCACUGUAUUAUCAAUGCUAGUUUCUUUUUGUUUUCUUGUUUUCUUGUUUUGUGUCCUUUUGAGAAAACCCAAAAAGUUUUUUCUUUCUUCUUUUUCUUGUUGGGAGCUUUCCCGUGUAAAUAGUUUUCUUUUUGUUUGUGUCGAGGUAGAAGAUAUUGGUUACAAUGCUUACUGGUUCUUACAUGCUUACCUGUUUAGCUUUCAAAGAGCCAUAUUAUUUUGUCUUCUCCUUUGUUGUGAUUCAGCUUAGUCCAAUGCGCUUAUUAUCGUUUUCAUCGUUCGAUCGUGCAAAUGAAAGGCAACAAUGAUGAUAUAUGAUGAAGUGACUAAGACUGAAAAGCUGGUAUGAACUCUAUCUAUUUUGUUUUUGUAAAUAUGACUAGCUUGUCGACCCAGAUUUAGCUUUGUUGUGAGAGAAGCAUGUUUGCAAUGACAACUUAGAGAUCAUAGUUUCUGAUGCCAAGCUUAUUUAGCUGAGAGCUUAUAAUGGUUUGUCUUGAUUGCCAACAUAGAUUUUGAGAUGACGAUGAUAUAGUAUGAUAGGAUGGUAUUCUCCUUUGAAUGUUUCAAGUGGCUUGACUUGGCGCAUGUUCAUGCAUGUAGUUGAAACAAAAUCAACAUAGCCUCUAUGUUGUUCGUGUUCAUGGUGAUUUAUAUCCUGUUGUCGCUCUCUAGUUGGUCACUUCCCAGCCUUUUGCUAGCCUUCACUUGUACUAAGCGGGAAUGCUGCUUGUGCAUCCACUUCCAUAAACCCAAAAGUUUUUCCAUGAGAGUCCACGAUACCUACCUAUUUGCGGUAUCUACUUGUCGUUCCAAGUAAAUUUGCAUGUGCCAUUCUCUAAACCUUCAAGAAAUAAAUCUGUUUUGCAUGCCCGGACCGCUCAUGUGGUGACACAGGGCUAUUGGUAUCUUCCAUGCUAGGAGCGUUAUCCUCGACAUGUGUUUAUUCACAGUCCUUCACGAGAAAGGGGCCGGUAUUUGGGAUGCCCAAUUCCAUGCUUAAAUCGAAAACAUAACUAUAAAACAAGACUCCCCCCGGAUUGAUGUUAGUAUGGACGGUACCUGAGGAUUCGGCUAGCCGUGGAGUGUGAUUGAUUGGUGGUGGGGGAGUUAAAACUUUACUUUUCUGUUUGGGAACCGCCUAUAGCAUGAGUAGCAUGGAAGAUAUUGAGAACUCUUGGUCAUUGCGUUGACAAUGAAAGCAUGCCACCCAAAAUUAUUAUCUCUGUUUUCAAAGCUAGAGCUCUUGCACCUCUGCAAAUCAAUGCUUCCCUCUGCGAAGGGCCUGUGUAUUUAUUUUCCUGUCGAGUCAUCCUCCUCUUAUAUAAGCACCAAUUAGAGAGCACCUCUGUCAUUUUUAUUCUUUGCUUUUGAUUGAUAUUGAGUAUGACUAUGACUGGAUCUUCCUUGCUAUGAAUUACAAUGUUUAGUCAGCCCUUGAUCUUUGAAAGUGCUCUGCAUUUAUGUUUUGCAGUCUCAGAAAGAGCUAGCGAGAUACCACCUAUUCAUAUUGCUUCAUGCUUGCUUUGAUUGAAGUGUUGCUAUUUGAAACUCAUUAUUAUUUGCUUGUUAGCUGAUUAUGCCAUUGAUAUUGGUUUGCCGUGAGACCUUUGUGUCAUUUGCUUAUGUGUUUAACUUGUGAUCUUGCUGAAAUUCUGGUUGUGAGUUAGACAUAGUUGCAACAACAAGAUCAAAUAGAGUUUGUCAAAGUUUUUUUCUCUCUCUCAGUUUGUCAACUGAGUUGCUUGAGGACAAGCAAGGUUUUAAGCUUGGGGAGUUGAUACGUCUCCAACGUAUCUACUUUUCCAAAAAAUUUUGCCCUUGUUUUGGACUAUAAUUUGCAUGAUUUGAAUGGAACUGACCUGGACUGAUGCUGUUUUCAGCAGAAUUGCCUUCGUGUUAUUUUUGUGCAGAAGUCAAAGUUCUCCAAACGUCCUGAAUAUUUACGGGGAGCAGUUUUGGAAAAUAUCAAAAAUAUCUGCGCCAAGUUCCACCUCAGGGGGUGGGACAGUGGGCCACAAGCCCUUGCUCCGCCACCCCCUGGUGGCGGUGGGCAGGCUUGUGGGGCCCACAGGCACAUGCCGCCCCCAACUCUAGCUCUAUAAGUUGUCUUUCGUCCUAGAAAAAAUAAAAAGAGAAGUUUUCGUUGCGUUUUGAUUCGGAGGCGCCGCCACCUCCUGUUCUUCAUCUGGAGGGCAGAUCUGGAGUCCAUCUUGGGCUCCGGAGAGGGGAAAUCGUCGCCAUCGUCAUCAUCAACCUUCNNNNNNNNNNNNNNNNNNNNNNNNNNNNNNNNNNNNNNNNNNNNNNNNNNNNNNNNNNNNNNNNNNNNNNNNNNNNNNNNNNNNNNNNNNNNNNNNNNNNAAGUUCUUUUCCCUAAGAACGUAUGACAACACACGGAAUGCAUGCCUACAUCACAUUGACGAACGGGAGCUAGCCACGUAUGUCUCCGUGUUCUAACUGUUGCAUGAUGAAUAUCAUCCAAACAAAUCACCGACCCAUUGCCUACGAGUUUGGCCUACUGCUCCUGUUACUACUGUUGCUACUGCUGUCACUUGUCUUGCUCUGCUGCUACUGUUGCUACUACUGUCGCUUGCUACCGUUGCUACUUGCUACUGCUGUCACUACUGUUGUUCCUUGCCACUGUCGUUACUCACUACUUUGCUGCUAUUACUUUGCUUGCAGAUACUAAUCUUUCAGGUGUGGUUGAAUCUGACAUAUUCAGCUGCUGAUACUUGAGAGUAUUCUCUCACCUCCCGUCGUGCGAACCAACAAAUUUGGGUUGAAUACUCUACCCUCGAAAACUACUACGAUCCCACGUGCUGGUGGGCCGUCAACAACAUUCUUCUAGCUUCGAUUGCCGGACAGUGCUAGCAGCAUUCUUCUGGUGCCGUUGCAAGGGUAAGCACAGUUGACAUCAAGCAUUUUUCUGGCGCUGUUGCUGGGGAGAUAUUGCUAUAUUCUUUGAGUCACUUGGGAUUUAUAUCUACUGAUCACUAUGAAGAAUCUGAAGGAUCCGAAGACCAAAGUCUUGCCCUCAACUACGAGGGGAGUUAAGGAAUUCCCAUCUUGCUCUGCACUUGAUUCACCUUCAGUUAUGAGUAAGUUUGCGACAUCACCUCCUGCUAGAAAUCUUGAUAUGUCGCUUGUGCUUGAUGAUGCUUAUGAUGCUACUGCUAGAGAUGCUAUGCUUGAUACUAUGCCUGAUACUGCUUUGCCUCAUACUGCUAGAGAUAUUAUGCUUGAUACUGCUUUGCCUGAUAUUGCUAGAGAUGUUAUGCUUGAUACUGCUAGAGAUGCUAUGCCUGAUGAUGCUAUGCUUGAUACUGCUAGAGAUACUACUUGGCCUGAUGUUCCGCUAGGGGUGUUCCUUGAUGCUCAUAUUGCUAGAGUUACUGCCAAUGCUCAUGAUGCUUCUGAUACUGCCAAUACUAUUGAGAUAGAACCUGCUUUCGCUCCUGCUAGAUCUAGCUCUCCUAGAUAUGAAUUGCCUGAUAUACCUGAGGGUUACGUUAUGGAGGAAGAGAUAGCUGAGGAUUUUCUUGCAUGUAAGGAUGCCUAUGACGCUAAGAAAUUACUUGUCAAGUGGAAGGAAAAAUCUCUGAAAGCUAAGAUGAAAUACGACCCGUAGUUUGCCACUUCACCUAUCUUUAUCACCGAUAAGGAUUAUGAAUUCUCUGUCGAUCCUGAGAUAAUCUCUCUAGUCGAAUCUGAUCCUUUUCACGGUUAUGAGUUUGAGACGGUCAUAGCCCAUCUUGCCAAACUACACAAUAUAGCCACCCUUUUCACUAAUGAGGAGAAGAUCCGUCACUAUUAUAUCCUUAAGUUGUUUCCUUUCUCUCUAAAGGAUGACUCUAAAGCCUGGUUCACCUCUCUUGCUCCUGGAUGUGUGAGUAGUCCCCAGGAUAUGGUAUAUUACUUCUGUGAGAAAUAUUUCCUUCCCAUAAGAAGCAAGCUGCCUUGCAGGAAAUAUACAACUUUGCUCAACUCCAAGAAGAGAGUCUUCCACAAACUUGGGGGAGGCUCGUCCAGCUACAGAAUGCUUUGCCUGAUCACCCUCUUAAGAAGAACGAGAUACUUGAUAUCCUCUAUAACGGACUUACCGAUGCCUCUAGAGACCACCUAGAUAGUUGUGCCGGUUGUGUUUUUCGGGAACGAACUGUAGAACAAGUUGAGACCCUACCGAAUAACAUCUUGAUCAACGAUAAUGCUUCGACUAUUCCCGAACCACCUCCUAAGCCAACUCCAAAGAAAAGAGGUAUUCUAUUCCUCAGUCCUGAAGAUAUGCAAGAAGCCAAGAAAUCUAUGCAAGAGAAAGGCAUUAGAUCUGAAGAUGUCAAAAAUCUACCACCUAUCGAAGAGAUCCAUGGUCUCAAUAACCCGAUACAGGUAGUAGAAGUGAAUUAUCUGCGUAGGUUUGAUGAGAGUGAUAUUCCUUUUGACAAACCUGCUAGCCUAUGCUUUGAUGAAUUGGACAACUUUGUUGCCAAACAACAGAGUUUCAAUGAUUACGUUAGCAGACAUUUGGAACAAAGUACUCAUAUGCUUAGCCAUUUAAGUGCUUGUGUAGACAGAAAUGUCAAUGAUCUGAAGCUUCUGAGUAAACAUGCCUCUAUGAUUACUACUCAGGUAGAACAAGUACUUAAAGCUCAGACUGACUUGCUCAAUGAAUUAAAUGACAACUCUGUCAGAGUCAUUACUAGAGGAGGCAAAAUGACUCAGGAACCUUUGUAUCCUGAAGGUCAUCCUAAGAAAAUUGAUCAAGAUUCUCAAGGAAUCAAUGCUGAUACACCCAGUCAUCCUAAGGAGAAGAAGAAGGAUGAUAGAAACCUACACGCCAGUUCACCAAAUACUGCCACACCUGAAGAACCUAAUGAUAUUUCUGCGUCUGAUGCAGAAACACAAUAUGGUGAUGAGCAUGAACCUGGUGACAAUAUGGAUAGUGAUGUUCAUAAUAAUGCUCAACCUAGCAAUGAUGAGGAUGUGGAGAUUGAACCUACGGUUAAUCCUAAUAACCCACAACCUAAUAAAUACGAUAAGAAUGACUUUGCUGCUAGGAAGCACGGUAAAGAAUGGGAGCCAUGGGUUCAGAGACCUAUGCCCUUCCCUCCUAAGCCAUCCAAGAAAAAGGAUGAUGAGGAUUUUGAGCGUUUCGUUGAGAUGAUAAGACCCAUCUUUCUGCAGAUGCGGUUAACUGAUAUGCUCNNNNNNNNNNNNNNNNNNNNNNNNNNNNNNNNNNNNNNNNNNNNNNNNNNNNNNNNNNNNNNNNNNNNNNNNNNNNNNNNNNNNNNNNNNNNNNNNNNNNAUUUUCUCUUGCUGUUUCUAUGUUUUGAAGUGCUCGUGACCGUCGUUGCACACAUUUUGCAUUCAUGCCAUCAUAUCUUGCGGUGCUUGCAACUUUUGAUCCGUAGCUCCGUUGGAGAUGUGCUUUAUGUGUAGAUUGCUUGCCUUGACGGGUAGAAUCACGUGAAACUAUUUGUUUUUCUGUUUAACAAAUAAUUAAAUGCAUUAGUUCAGAUCUGGACAGAAUUGUAAAUUAACAUGUGAGGUCGUUUCGGAGAUGCUAUAUGUCAUUUCCGACCUCAUUUAAAAUGUUUAGAUAGGUAGUUUAAUUUCCACUUCACCUGUUACAUGUUUGACAACAUUAAUAUUGCCGUGUAAAUAAUCGGGAUAGAACUAAAUAAUUAACGUGGAGUUUCGUCAAUAUGAAACUCGUUGCAUAUUGAACUUCACUUAAUGUGUAGUGUUUGAUUGUGUGAUUUGACAUGCCGUGUCUUGCAUGUAUUCAGCUGCUCAUGCAUCAUUUGUGUUGUGCAUCAUGUGGUGAAUUCCGUGUGUUGAUUUGUGUCUCCGGUUUGCUUCGUCUCGAUAGAGUUCCGNNNNNNNNNNNNNNNNNNNNNNNNNNNNNNNNNNNNNNNNNNNNNNNNNNNNNNNNNNNNNNNNNNNNNNNNNNNNNNNNNNNNNNNNNNNNNNNNNNNNGGGCAUAUUUCCAACAUAAAGAACGAUUGCUUAAUCUAUGAAUGAAAUCUAUGCUUACUGAAUUUUAGUUGCAAAAAUUAGAUAGUGCUAGUGAUUUUUAGUUGCAAUUUUUAUCAAAUGGCAGUGUUAUAAGGUUGACAAAGGGCAAUGUUACUAGAGCAACAAAUGUCAAUCUUUCUAAUUUCACAAAUGGCAAUAUAUACCCAAUGUGACAGAUGCAAAUCUUACCAAAUUUUUUGUACGUGGUUGCACACGGUUCAUCCGAACAAAUCAUUUGCGUUGAAGGGGUGUACCAAUCCCGCGUGCCAGAUUUUCUCUUAGCUUAGCGACGUAGGAACCAUAGCUCUUGCUUUGCAUACCGUCUCAAUCUGAACUGUUUGCCAUGAAGCGAUGCACAUGUCCUACGCGACAAAUUUUAGGUUGGCUUCUGGGGAAGGACCAUAGCUCUCGCUUUGCAUACGAGUGAUCUAUUUAAAACGUUUGUGAUGAAGAUCUGCACAAAACCCGCGCGUCAUAUUUUUCCUCGCACGCCUCCCGUCUACUCAAGCAGUUUUCUGCACGGCACCUCAUAGGCAUUACAAUUGGGACGCGUGGCAUCGCGUGAAUGGUUAACAGAACACACAUGAUUUAAAUUAUACAUACAUUUGAGAUGAUAAGGUGGCAUCUAUUUGUUUCAAAAUACCUUUGUUGGCUAUUGAUUCGAGUGCACCUACUCUCAAAUUAAAAACAAAAAAUACCACAACAUGUCGGGUGCCAUUCCAUGAUAGCAUGCCAAGUUUCAUGAAUUUCAGACGAGUUUUGGAUUUACUAGAAUUUUAAAACCAAGUAUCUCAAUGUUUGCGGCCGAGGCACGAUGUCGAGGUGUUCGAAGUUCAUUCCCAUUUCUUGCGAGGGACCUAAGAAUGCACCCAAGGACACACAUUUGAUUUUUCAACCCAUUUAUAUGCACUGGAGCAUGUGCAUGUAGUUCAAAUUUGAAUUAUGCAUAUAAAGUGCCUAGAAAACUUAGUUAAUGUAUAAAAAUGUCCAACCAAACCCCGGAAAAAUCGAAAUUUUAACAAGACACUCAUAUUGCUCUAUGUUGCCACUAGGAAAAGAAUUGUAAGCAAGAAGAGGCAACGAAUAUCGUCUCAUCCACGGAGGAGGCACAUUCCCUAUCAGAACCAUGAGACUUGUUGUGAGAAGCUCUCAUUUGUAACAAGCUUAUACCGAAACCUGCUCCGGAUGGGACAAUUUUUUUACCACAUCAUGUUGAUGCCGUUCAAUGAUAGCAUGCCAAGUUUCAUGAAUUUCAGAAGAGUUUUGGAUUUACUAGAACUUUAAAACCAAGUAUCUCAAUGUUUGCGGCAUUGGCAGGAUUAGGCCUGGGCAUUUGGUAUAAAGCGUUUUUUUUCAAAUUCGUUUAACAAAAAUGGAAACCGAAAAUGACAGCUAAAAAUAGCUAACCGAGAUUUCGGUUAACCGAGUUAUUCGGUUUAGUUUUCGGUUUAUACCGUAAUUGCCCGACACGCCAAAAUAGUUUUAGCUUCGUCUAUAUCAGUGUCCAACCUGCGUUGUUAUAUAGCCUGCCUACCCACCCUUUUGUCCAUCACGGACAAAGGUGGGACUAAACGAUUAACUGGCAACACUCCAUGCUGAUUUAAAUGCGGAUGCUAACACUAAAAAGAUGCCCAACUACAAAUAGCAUGGGACUUGGCAUGUCCGGUGAUACGUCUCAAACGUAUCUAUAUUUUUUGAUGUUUUCACGCUGUUAUCUUGCCUUCUUUGUAUGUUUUAUGUACCUUCUUAUAUCUUUUUGGGACUAACUUAUUAAUUCAGUGCCAAGUGCCAUUUCUUGUUUUUUCCGUGUUUUUGACUCUUUUCAGAUCUGAUUUUGGAAUGGAGUCCAAACGGAAGAAAAACCCCGAAAUGAUUUUUUCCCGAAUGGAAGAAGUCUAGGGGGCUUUUGGGCCAAGCCAGGUGGGCUCCAGGGAGCCCACAAGCCCCCACUCCGCCACCAGGGGGGAGGCGGCGGUGGGCAGGCUUNNNNNNNCCCUGGCCGCCCCCUGACCUAGGUCUUUGGCCUAUAAAUUCCCAAAUAUUCCGCAAAAAANNNNNNNNNNNNNNNNNNNNNNNNNNNNNNNNNNNNNNNNNNNNNNNNNNNNNNNNNNNNNNNNNNNNNNNNNNNNNNNNNNNNNNNNNNNNNNNNNNNNNNNNNNNNNNNNNNNNNNNNNNNNNNNNNNNNNNNNNNNNNNNAAAUCAGGGGAGCCUCAAGCUUCCGUUUCCGCGAGAUCUCAUCUGGAGAUCCUUCCCAGCACCCUGCCGGAGGGGACUUUGGGGUUGGAGGGCUUCUUCAUCAUCAUCAUCGCCCCUCCAAUGACUCGUGAGUAGUUCACUUUAGACUUACGGGUCCGUAGUUAGUAGCUAGAUGGCUUCUUCUCUCUCUUGGAUCUUCAAUACAAAGUUCUCCAAGAUCUUCAUGGAGAUUUAUUCGAUGUAAUCUUGUUUGGCGGUGUGUUUGUCGAGAUCCUAUGAAUUGUGGACUUAUGAUCAGAUUAUCUAUGAUAUAUAUUUGAGUCUUUGCUGAUUUCUUAUAUGCAUGAUUUGAUAUCCUUGUAAGUCUCUCCGAGUCUUGGGUUUUGUUUGGCCAACUAGAUCUAUGAUUCUUGCAAUGGGAGAAGUGCUUGGUUUUGGGUUCUGCCAUGUGGUGACCUUUCCCAGUGACAGUAGGGGCAGCAAGGCACACAUCAAGCAGUUGCCAUUAAGGGUAAAAAUAUGGGGCUUUUAUUAUUGGUUUGAGAUUAUCCCUCUGCAUCAUGUCAUCUUGCUUAAGGCGUUACUCUGUUCUGAUGGACUUAAUACACUAGAUGCAUGCUGGAUAGCGGUCGACGUGUGGAGUAAUAGUAGUAGAUGCAGAAAGUAUCGGUCUACUUGUUUCGGACGUGAUGCCUAUAGAAAUAAUCAUUGCAUAGAUAUCGCCACGACUCUGCACAGUUCUAUCAAUUUCUCGACAGUAAUUUGUUCACCCACCAUCUACUUGCUUUCAUGAGAGAAGCCACUAGUAAACACUACGGCCCCCGGGUCUAUUCACAUCCAUCGUUUACAUCUCUGCUUUUACUUUGCUUUGUUACUUUGUUGCUUUGAGUUCUCACUUGGCAAACAAUCUAUAAGGGAUUGACAACCCCUUCAUAGCGUAGGGUGCAAGCUUUUGUGUUUGUGCAGGAUCUUGAGAUACUCUUCUGCCGGAUUGAUACCUUGGUUCUCAAACUGAGGGAAAUACUUACCGUCGCUGUGCUACAUCACCCUUUCCGCUUCGAGGGAACACCAAUGCAAGGCUCCAAGGACACGGGGGAAAUCCUUUGCAUACUUUCCUAGGAAGUCCCUUAAGGCGUAGCCGUAGCUGAAGGAUUCCUGGUGCCGUCGACACAACUAUUUCUGGCGCCGUUGCAAGGGAUACACAUCAAACAUCAGAAGUAUUUCUGGCGCUGUUGCCGGGGAGGAGAAAUGAAGAUCUAUCCAAGUAGGUCUCACAAACUCUUCUCUUGCAUUUACUUUUGUUGCCCGUUGCCUCUCAUUUUCCUCUCCCCCACUUCACAUUUGCCUUUUUCGUUCGCCCUUUUCUCUCGCUUGCUCUCUGUUCACUUGUGUGCCAUGUGCCCUCAAUAUGCUUGCAUCUUCGCUUGCUAAAAAUCUAGUGAUAUGGAUCCUCAUCCACUUGCUAGUCUCUUUAAGAGACCCACUCGUGUGGAACAAAUUGCUAGUGAGUUGAGGGCAAUUGACUAUUUCUUUGGAGUUUUGCGUAAGAAGCGUGAAUCUGAAAAUUGUGAGCAAGAAAUUCAUGAAGUGAUUCACGAGGGCUCCUUGGAUUAAAAGCAUGAUUGCAAUGAUUUCACUAUAAAUCCUAUUAGUGACAAUCAUGCUAAAAAUAUGCAAAACCCUAAGCUUGGGGAUGCUAGUUUUGCUUUGUCCACUACUUGUUGCAAUAAUCAUGAUUGGGGUGAUGAUCUUUCUUAUAAUCUUGAAAAUUUGUUCAAACCUCAUGAUGAAUAUGAUAUUUGCAAUAAUAUUGAAAGUGGGUUUGGAGACGUCAUGACUUUAGUUGAUGAUAGUCCCACUAUUUUUGAAGAGCGUCAACUUUGCAUGCUUGUAGAUCAUGAAAAGAUAGCCUUAUGUGCUGGUUAUAUUGUUGAAUUCAUUCAUGAUGCUACUGAAAAUUACGAUGAGAGAGGAUCAUAUGCUUCUACUUAUUGCAAUAGUAUCAAGCUUCCUCUCCAUGUGUUGAAAUUUUUGAAGCUAUGCUUGUUUUGCCUUCCUAUGCUAGUUGAUUCUUACUCCAGCAAGUUGUUUGUUCACAAAAUCCCUAUGAAUAGGAAGUGUGUUAGACUUAAAUGUGCUAGCCAUAUGCUCCAUGAUGCUCUCGUUGUGUUUCAAUCCUUACCUUUUAUGUGAGCAUCAUUGAAAUCAAUGCCUAGCUAAGGGCGUUAAACGAUAGCGCUUGUUGGGAGGCAACCCAAUGAAUAAAUUUUUCUUUGCUUUUUUGCUUCCUGUUUUGUGUUUUCCACACUUUAAAAAUUCUGUUAUGAUUGUGUUUUUUGUGUCUCUUUUUGCGUUUGUGCCAAGCAAAACCGUUAUGAUUAGUCUUGAGGAUGAUCGUUUGGUCACACUGGAAAAGACAGAAACUUUCUGCUCACGAAAAGAAUUUUCAUUUUUGUUCUGUAAGAGCUUUUGAGUUGAUUCUUUUUGCUUAUGAUUUCUAUGCAAAUUAUGCAGACUGUCCUAAUGUUUCAGAAAUUUUGAAGUACCAGAGGUAUACUAAACAUACAGAUUGCUACAGACUGGUCUGCUGUUAACAAAUUCUAUUUUUGUUGUGUUAGUUGCUUAUUUUGAUGAAACUAUGGAUAGUAUCGGGGGGUAUUAGCCAUGGAAGAUUGAAAGUACAGUAACCCAACAUCAGCACAAGUAUAAUUUAAGUUUGCUACAGUACCUAAGAAAGUGGUGGUUUGCUUUCUUGUACUAAUGUUAUCACGAGUUUCUGUUUAAGUUUCGUGUUGUGAAGUUUUCAAGUUUUGGGUGAAGUUCUUAUGGACAAAAAGAUAAAGAGUGGCAAGAGCUCAAGAUUGGGGAUUCCCAAGGCACCCCAAGAGAUUCAAGGAUGCCGUAAACGCUUAAGCUUGGGGAUGCCCCGGGAAGGCAUCCCCUCUCUUGUCUUCAAUCCAUCGGUAACGUUACUUGGGGCUAUAUUUAUAUUCACCACAUGUUAUGUGUUUUUGCUUGGAGCGUCUUGUAUCGUAGGAGUCUUUUAUUUUUUUUGUGUCACAAUGAUCCUUGCUGCACACCUAGAGAGAGAUACAUGCUCACACCGUGAUUUUGUCGAGCUUCACUUAUAUCUUUUGGUAGACAAUUCGGCUCACAUGUGCUUCACUUUGUGACAGCCCGAUGCCGACGUUCCAGAAGAUUCCCCUCUCUUUCCGUUUUCGUCGUGUGGGUAUUUUCAUUUGUCGCAUCAUCAUCGCAUCAUGCACAUCAUCAGCAUUGCAUCGGCAUCUCGUUGCCGCCAGUUUUCAAAAUUUGCAUCCGUUGUUAGUUGCCGGUUAACGUUGUUGUUUGUUCCAAGCCUGACCGCACACGCACGCGCCCGCGACACCGUCGUAACCCUGUUUUUAAAGUGUGCGUAAAACUUUCUCUGAUCGGGUCGAGAUUUGACGUGCGAUCUCAUUUUAAUCUAGCUAGGCCGCCUGUCGAAUUUCGUCGCGAUCGGAGUCCGUCUGGUACCCGAACGGUCGACCGUAGCGGCACCGUAUUCGGUCUACCGUCGGACGUCUGUCGGUGUUUUAAAAUUCGUGCCGCGCCGCCCGUUUCCCCUCUCGUCUCCGGAUAUCUACACAACACGGCCACGUACCCAUUCCCUCGUGCGGAAUCGUCUGAAUCCGACCCCGCGGUUGGAUCCGGAUCGCGAUUCCGGUUAAUCGAGCCCCCCGUUUGUCUAUAUAUAGCCCCCAUGCCUUAAUUAGAGAGUCCUCCCUAAUCCCUCCUUGUUUUUGCGCCCCCACCAAACCCUAGCCGCCCCUGUCUCCCUCCUCGCGCCAGGCCCUCCCGGCCCAGAUCAGGGCCCGCUCGAGCCCAUCUGGGCCCGAGUUCCCACAGCAGCAGCCACCGCCGAUCCGGGCCAGCACCAGCGCCAGCACCGGUGCCAGCCACCGCUGACAGCGUUCCCGUGGUCUACUCCCGGCGUUGCUCCUCGCCAGCCGCCGGCCGCCACCUCCUCCCAUCGCUGCCGGCCAGCCGCCGCCUCCUUCCGUCGCUGCCGGCCAGCCGCAGCUCAUCCCGCCGUCAGAUCCGGCCGCCGCCUCGCCCACGCCUCUUCCCAGCCGCGCUGGUUCCCCGAUCUGCACCGCCGCCAUGCGCCGCCAGCCCGCGCCGCCCCGUUCCGGAUCCCGCCGCCCCGGUCGCCGGUUUCCUCGCCCCGCCUCGUCCGCAUGGCCGCCACCAUGGCUGCCCGCGAGCUCCUCGUGCGGGAGAGCCAGGGGGCUUGCCCGACCGCCCACUCGUGGCCCUCCCGUGGGCUGGCGCUAGGUGGGCUAUGCGGCCCAGCGCACCGCCUGCCUCCUCGAGGCCCAGCGCAGCCGGCUCCCCCCUUCGGCCCAGGCGUCCAGGCCGCCUCUUCCCCUUUAGCCGGCCUUUCGGCCCAAGGUGAGCCACCCCCGCUAAACCCCGCUCGGGCGCAUGCUAGUUAUCUAGCGCCCAUUUGCUAUUAGGCCCAUUUAGUAAUUUAGGUUUUUAUUCCGUUUUAGAUAAUUACAGUAAAUACGUAUAUUAAUAUGCCCGUAUCUUUUUAUUCGUAAGUCGGAACGAGGAGUACUUUAUAUGGUUUUGGGGUAGUUUUGCGAGUAGAACACGUUUCCGCAACUUGCAUAUUUUUUUUGACGUUGUUUGACGUAUCGUAUGCAUGGAUUUACAUGCUGUCUCAAUAGGAAAGUGCCCGCAUUUAUUUUCCGCGUGUGUUCGAAUAGCUCGAAUGCCAUGAUAGAAAUGCCUAUGUUUUAGGAAUUAUUUUUUCGUGUAUUUUAGAGUGGUCACUCGUAUUUUUGCGCGUAGGAUUAGCCGGUAGUUUAUUUUCCCGUAUCUAGGUGUUUAUCUCGCAUUAAUGUGUGACAUUAUUUCGUGUUGCAAACCCCACAUAUUUUAUAUGUUUCCGGGGUAGAAAAAUCCCAUGGAUUUUUUCUGUGCAAUUAGUUUUAGCUUUUGAGUAAGUUAGUUCGCGCGAUAUUUUGCCGUGAUGCCCUUUUGGUUAAUUCGUAGGAUUUAUUCCGUGCGUCGUUUGACGGAGUUGUCAACUAGAGAUGCCCUUUGGAUGUUUUGUUUAGCCGCUGGUAUUUUUGGUUGCAAUAGAAAUGCAUGUUUAGGUGUGUUUUGAUUGCCCUCAAGUUGCUUGAAACAGUGCUGUUUUAGAGUAGCUGAAAUAUUUCUAAGUCUGGGAUCUGUUAUUAUUUUGUUGCUGUCUUGUCUUGCUUGCAUCUUGUGAUCUGUAGCUCUUUUGAGGUUGGUCCAAUGGAGUAAGUUGUAGCCCUUGUGUUUCUCUAGCAUGCUGUGAAGUUUCAUGCCAUUUGGAGUCCUGUAGCUAUAGGUUUUGCUCCUGUCAAUAUAGCUUCAGAUCAAAAACUGCACUUUCAUGAGGUGUAAUUUUCACUAAGUCUGAAAUAGUGUGUGAGAUGCCGUUUUGUGUCUUCUUGUGCUAGUGCUCCUUGCUGCCAUGCUAGUGGUUGUUAGUUGUUUGUAGUAGUGCUUCUUGCCCUCUUCCGUGCCAUGCCUUGCAUGAGUUUAUCGGAGUUGUGUAGCUCGCAGUUGUGGGGCGUAGAAUAUGCUAUGUGGCUGAUUUUGGCAGCUUGUAGUCAUUUCUUGAUUUGCUCGUAGUUUUUGAACCGUAGCUCCGAUUUGAUCGUGUCCUACAUGAAACUUGCUUAGAAUCUCGUGUAGUUUCUUUUUCUCUUUCUGGUUGUUUGUUUUGAGGUGCUUGUGACCGUCGUUGCUCACAUAUUGCAUUCAUGCCAUCAUAUCUUGCGGUGCUUGUAUCUUUUGAUCCGUAGCUCCAUUGGAGAUGUUCUCUACGUGUAGAUUGCUUGCCUUGAUGCGUAGAAUCAUGUGAACCUAUUUGUUUUGCUGUUUAACAACUAAUUAAAAUCAUUAGGCCAGAUCUGGACAGAAUCGUAAAUUAACUUGUGAGGUCGUUUCGGAGGUGUUAUAAGACAUUUCCGACCUCAUUUAAAAUGCCUAGAUAGAUAGUUUAAUUUCCGCUUCACCUCUUGCAUGUUUAAUCACAUUUAAUAUUUCCGUGUACCUAAUCGGGAUAGAACUAAAUAAAUAGACGUGGAGUAUCGUCAAUAUGCAACUCAUUGCAUAUUGAACUUCACUUAAUGUGUAGAGUUGAUUAUGUGAUUGAUCAUGCCGUGACUUGCAUGUAUUCAGCUGCUCAUGCAUCAUUUGUGUUGUUGCACCGUGUGAUGAAUUCCGUGUGUUGAUUCGUGUUUCCGGUUUUCCCCGUCUCGAUAGAGUUCCGCAAGCGUGUCGGAUGUGAGGACCCGUUCGACUACGUCGGUUCGUCUGCUUCACGGAGGCAUUCUUCUUCCAAGCGGGAUGUCAGGCAAGAUGAUCAUUUCCCCAGAUACCAUUACUACCAUUGCCAUGCUAGUUUACCGUUUCUGUCGAUUAUGUCUCGUUGCCUACCACAUGUUAAAUACCAGCCUCUCAACAAUGCCAUGUUAACCUUCAACCUGUUCGACCUAGCAAACCACUGAUUGGCUAUGUUACCGCUUGCUUAACCCUGUGUUAGCGUUGCUAGUUGCAGGUGCAGUUGCUUCCAUGUGAUAACAUGGGUUCCUUGUUAUAUCACCAUAUUAAAUGCUAUUUAAUUUAAUGCACCUAUAUACUGGUAAAAGGUGGAAGGCUCGGCCUUUCUAGCCUGGUGUUUUGUUCCACCUUUGCCCCCUUAGUUACAAGCUACCGGUGUUAUGUUCCAUAAUCGAGCACUCCUAACACGAUCGGGGUUGUUAUGGGGACCCCCUUGAUAAUUUGUUUUAGAUUAAAGCUGGUCUGGCAAGGCCCAACAUUGGUACUACAUUUGCCUAAUCACCUAAUAAAAUUGCAUAGGGAUCCGCCGGCACCCGCGGACUAUUUUAAUCAACCCCCGGGCCAGUGCUCCUCAUGAGUAUUGGUCCAAAACAGAGCAGCUUAUUAACGCUACCCGGGGCAACUCGGCGUUUGGCGUGGUAACCAUCGCUCAUCCGUCGUGUCCUGAGAACGAGGUACGCGACUCCUAUCGGGAUCGUCGACACGUCGGGCGGCCUUGCUGGAUUAGUUUUACCUUUGACGAGAUAUCUUGUGCAUCGGGAUUCCGGUGAUGCUUUGGGUAAUCUCACAGUUGAGGUUUUCCACUAGGGAAUCCGACGAGAUCGCGAGCUUCGUGAUUGAGGAUUUCUAUGCGGCUUGUGGUAAUUUGUGAUGGACUAAUUGGAGCACCCCUGCAGGGUUAAAUCUUUUCGGAAAGCCGUGCCCGCGGUUAUGUGGCAACAUGGAUACUUUGUUUAACACUGGUUCUAGAUAACUUGAAGUUAACUUAAUUGAAACUUGCCAACUGUGUGCGUAACCGUGACUGUCUCUUUCGUGAGUUCUUUCUCCGAUCGGAGACACGGUGGGGUUAUGUCUGACGUAGGUAGGUGUUCAGGAUCAUUCAUUUGAUCAUCAGUAGUCACGUCCGUUAUGCGUAGAUCUUCCCCCUCUUAUUCUUGUACUCGUAAGUUAGCCACCAAAUAUAUGCUUAGUCGCUGCUGCAACCUCACCACUUAACCAUACCUCACCCAUUAAGCUUUGCAAGGGAUACACAACAAACAUCAUCCGGCUACUCGCGUGGUCAGCUUGGCCCAUGUGACAUUUUCUGUCGCUCGCGCACGCGCUCGAGGCUACUGGCAUGGAAAUUUUGUGUGUAGCGACAUAGGCGCGUGAGAAGCCUCUACUGGUCUGUACGUUGACACAGUCCCUACGUACAUUCGGGUUUGCUUUCGGUAAACUGAGCAAAAACCGAACCGACCGAACCAAGUUCGGUUAUCAGAGGUGAAAACCGAAUUUUUUUGUAACAUAAUUAAAAACCAAAAUUUCGGUUUAUUCAGUAUCGGUAUCGGUUCGGUCUCUGGUUUGUCGGUAUUUAUGCCCACCCCUAGGCAGGAUGCCGGGGUGUUUGAACUUCAUUCCCAUUUCUUGCAUGGGACCUAAGCAUGCACGCGAGGACACACAUUUUAUUUGUCAACCCUUUUUUCUUCACUCAAGCAUGUGCACAUCGUUCAAAUUUGAAUUAUGCACAUAAAAUGACGAGAAAACUCAGUUAAUGUAUAAAAAAUGUCCAAACGAACCCCAAAAAAUUCCAAAUUUUAACAAUACACUCACGUUGCCACUAGGGAAAAAAUUGAAAGCAAGAAGAGGCAACAAAUAUCAUUUCAUCCACGAAGGAGGCACAUUCCCUACCAGAACCAUGAGGCUUGUUGUGAGAAGCUCUGGUUUGUGAGAAUCUUAUACGCAAACCUGCCCCAAAUGGGACAAACUUUUUACCACAUCAUGUUGAUGUCGUUCAAUGAUAGCAUGCCAAGUUUCAUGAAUUUCAGAUGAGUUUUGUAUUUACUUAAAUUUUAAAACCAUCUAUCUCAAUGUUUGCGGGCGAGAGAGGAUGCCGAGGUGUUUGAACUUCAUUCACCUUUCUUGCAUGUGACCUAAGGAUGCAUGCAAGGACACAUAUUUGAUUUUGCAACCCUUUUUUCUGCACUAGAGAAUGUGCAUAUAGUUCAAAUUUGAAUUAUGCAUAUAAAAUGCCUAGAAACUUGAGUUAAUGUAUAAACAUGUGCAAACGAACCGCAAACAAUUCCAAAUUUUGACAAGACACUCAUGUUGCUCUAUGUUGCUACUACAAAAAUGGAAAGCAAGAAGAGGCAAUGCAUAUCGUUUCAUCCAAGAAGGAGACACAUUCCCUACCAGAACCAUGAGGCUUGUUGUGAGAAGUUGUGGUUUGUGGGAAGCUUAUACCCAAACCUGCCCCAUGGGAUAACUUUUUUACCACAACAUGUUGAUGCCGUUCCAUGAUAGCUUGCGAGGUUUCAUGAAUUUCAGAUGAGUUUUGGAUUACUUGAAUUUUAAAACCAUGUAUCUCAAUGUUUGCGGCCAAGCGACGGUGCCUAUGUGUUUGACAUCCAUUCUCAUUUCUUGCGUGGGACCUAAGGAUGAAACCAAGGACACACAUUUGAUUUUUCAACCCAUUUUUAUGCACAGGAGCAUGUGCGUGUAGUUCAAAUUUCAAGUAUGCACAUAAAUAACUAGAAACUCAGUUAACGUAUAAAAAUGUCGAAAUGAACCCUGAAAAAUUCCAAAAUUGAACAUGACAAUCGUGUUGUUCUAUGUUGACACCGGAAAAAAUUUGAAAGCAAGAAGAGGCAACAAAUAUAGUUUCGUACACAAAGGUGACACGUUCCCUAUUGGAACCACGAGGCUUCUUGUGAGAAGCUUAUACCAAAACCUGCCCCAAAUGGGACAAUUUUUUUACCACAACAUGUUGAUGCCAUUCCAUGAUAGCAUGCCAAGGUUCAUGAAUUUCAAAAAAGUUUUGGAUUUACUAGAAUUUCAAAACCAAGUAUCUCAAUGUUUGCCAACGAGCCACACUGCUGAUGUGUUUGAAAUUCAUCCCCAUUUCUUGCAUGGAACAUAAGCAUUAACCCACGGACACAUAUAUGAUUUUACAACCCAUUUUGGAGCACUGGAGGAUGUGCAUGUUGUUUAAUUUUGAAUUAUGCACGUGAAAUGCCUAGCAAACCAAGUUAAUGUAUAAAAAUGUCCGAACGAACCCUGAAUAAUUCCAUUGUCUAGGUUAGCUAGCUUUUUUAAAAUGUUGAACUUGCUCAAUUAAGAAGUGUGGGUAUGUUGUAGGCUCUUUUGUGUACCCAAAUUAUGCAAUGACGUGGAUGACGACUAUAACGAGGGAAAUUUGGACCAAAAUUUGCACGUUCAAACUCAUCAUACACGGGGUAAGCUAUAUGAAUCAUUUGUGAUGUCCUUGCGCGCUAGUUUUUUCGCUUCACCGAGCCAAUUUUUUUGGCUUUCGUGGAAAUAUCCACCUCCCCGCCCCCCUUACCAAGAGCCACAUUUCCCCUAUUUCCGCCUUCCUUUCCAAGUUCAAAUCUUCACUCCUUGCUUGCAGAACCGCCUCCUCGCCGACGACCCGCCUUCACGCUGCUUGGCCUCGUCGAUCGAGACAGGUAAUCCACACCCGACCCCGAUUCUCCUCCUCCUUCUACAUCCCACAUGCCCCGACCACCGGCACAACACCUUCCACCCAAAUUACCGACCCCUACUCCAAAUAAUCCAUGGUGCACGUAGUAUAGCCAAGAGCUCAAGGAGCAUUUGGCAGCGGAGAAGCAAAUCACGGCCGCACGCAUGGAUGAGGUCGCAAUUGUUGUCAUUCGUGCCCAACCCCAGAUCUUGGAGGACCACCUCGUUGUCGCCUCGUGCACUGAUUCCGCGACGCGGUUAGCUACUUUAAAUGACAUCUCGUGGUGUUUUCUUGAGUCCAUAGUCGGUGCCUUCGACGAAGACUACAAUGUGUUUUCUGAGCGUGACCGUGCUUACAUCAACUCAAGAGACAACAGGUUGGUGCCCAGAGCGGCUCAGAUAACUCACCACUACGAGGAGGGCACCCACGAUGUGGAGGCCUCACCCUCUUCCAUGUCCAAUGAUCGAAUCAUCACCGAUAUCUGUGACGAUGAGGAGUAGCUUGUCUUAUUAGUUCACUAUAAGGAUCUAUGUGCAGUUAGCUACCUAAGCCGGUUAAUCAUGUUUGGUUUACCAAUUGCAUGUAUUGCUCAUGCCUUUCCUUAACAAAUUCUAGUGAGUUGUCCUAUGUACUUUUACCAUGCAAUCUGAUCCUCUAGUGUAUAUGUUCUAUAUGUCGUGAAAUGUGAUGCUCACUUAUUAACUGUUUGGUUAAUUUGUUGUCGUCUUCAGUUAAAUGUUUGGUUCAAUUCUGCAAUGUGAUGUUCAAUUCUUCUAGGGGCAAUUUUGUUUUGUCUUCCAUGCGAUAAAUAAAUCAAAUUUGGCUGUACAAAAUACAUGAGAAACAAAUACAGUUGAUAUAUUUCCAAGUUUUCAAGCAUGCUUGGUUUGGUUAACUGUCUGAUCUUCUAGUAUGUUAUACAUUGUGCAUUGUGGUGCUCAGUUAAUGUUUGAUUCAUUUGUUGUGCUGUUUAGUUAACUGUUUGGUUCAAUUCUUGAAUGCGAUGCUCAAUUGUUGUUGGUGCAUUUUUUAAUUGUCUACCAUGUGAGAAAUAAAUCGAAUUUGACUGUACUAAAUACAUGAGAAACAAAUACACUGAUAUAUUUCCAAGUUGUUAAGCAUGCUUGGUUGGUUUAACUAUCUGAUCUUCUAGAAUGUUAUACAUUAUGAAAUGUGGUGCUCAGUUAAUGUUUGAUUCAUUUAUUGUGCUUUUUGUUAAAUGUUUGGUUCAAUUCUUCAAUGCGAUGUUCAAUUGUUGUUUGUGCAUUUUUUUAUUGUCUACCAUGUGAAAAAUAAAUUGAAUUUGGGUGUACUAAAUACAUAAGAAACAAAUACAAUUGCUAUAUUUCCAAGUUGUUAAGCAUGCUUGGUUUGCUUAACUGUGUGAUCUUCUAUUAGGAGUAUGUUAUAUUGUGCAAUGUGGUGCUUAGUUAAUGUUUGGUUCAUUUAUUGUGGUGCUCAUUUAAUCUGCUGAAUCUGCAACGUGUUUAUUUUUUAUUAACAUAUUGUAUUCAUAGCAUGCUAACCCUCACUUAACUUGAUCAAUAACUACCUUAUAUGUGUUGCACGGAAACAAUGGUAAGCAUUGAGGUUUUCACAUGGAUGGUCCUUUGUCUAAUAGUAGCACAUCAUUGUGAAACUGCAGGAACGAUUCUAAUAUUUAGGUUUUUAACAAUUUGGUCCUGCACAUGUAGGUCCCGCUGACACAGGUUUUGACCCACCGUUCGACCCUUUUUUCAUAUGGGGAAAUGAGUUGUAAAUGAAUAUCAGUCAAGUCAAGAAACUCAGAAAGAUUGUUAGGAUAAAGAAAAUAGCGACAAAAAAAACAAGAUCUUUGUUUGCACAAUGAAGAAGACAUCACUGCACUACAAGAUAGUAUUAACUAUUAUACUUGUCUUUUUUAUUCCUUUGCACCAUUUCAAAUCUAGAGAAGAUAUUUAUGCAUAUCCUUGUUUUUAGGCCUAUCCAAAGCAGUCCACUCAUGAUUACCUCCAAACCACCUGUAUGGUGAGGAGGCAAGGAAGGUAUUCAUAUAACACCCACGGUACAAUCUUGAAGUCUUCCUGAAGAGGAUGAAGGAUGGACGGUCAAUUGAUACGUCUCCGUCGUAUCUAAUUUUCCGAACUCUUUUGCCCUUGUUUUGGACUCUAAUUUACAUGAUUUGAAUGGAACUAAUCCGGACUGACGCUGUUUUCAGCAGAAUUGCCAUGGUGUUGUUUUUGUGCAGAAAUAAAAGUUCUCGGAAUGUCCUGCAAAUUUACGGAGAAAUUUUCCGGAAUAAAUGAAAAAUACCUGCGCAAAGAUCCACCGGAGGAGGUGUGCUAGUGGGCCACAAGCCCCUGGGCCGCGGCCACCCCCUGGCCGCGCCGUGAGGGCUUGUGGGGCCCACGUGGCACCACCGCCUCCAAACUCAGCUCUAUAUCUUCCGUCUCGCCCGGAAAAAAAAUCAGAGAGAAGGAUUCAUCACGUUUUACGAUACGGAGGCGCCGCCACCCCCUGUUCUUCAUCUGGAGGGCAGAUCUGUAGUCCGCUUUGGGCUCCGGAGAGGGGAAAUCGUCGCCAUCGUCAUCAUCAACCUUCCUCCAUCGACAAUUCCAUGAUGCUCUUCAUCGUUCGCGAGUAAUCUCAUCGUAGGCUUGCUGGACGGUGAUGAGUUGGAUGAGAUCCAUCAUGUAAUCGAGUUAGUUUUGACGGGGAUUGAUCCCUAGUAUCCACUAUGUUCUGAGAUUGAUGUUGCUACUACUUUGCCAUGCUUAAUGCUUGUCACUAGGGCCCGAGUGCCAUGAUUUCAGAUCUGAACCUAUUAUGUUGUCGCCAAUAUAUGUGUGUUUUAGAUCCUAUCUUGCAAGUUGUAGUCACCUACUAUGUGUUAUGACCCGGCAACCCCGGAGUGACAAUAGCCGGAACCAGUCCCGGAGAUGACCAUAGUAUGAGGAGUUCAUGUAUUCACCAAGUGUUAAUGCAUUGGUCCAGUUCUUUAUUAAAAGGAGAACCUUAAUAUCCCGUAGUUUCCAUUAGGACCCCGCUGCCACGGGAGACAAUAGAUGUCAUGCAAGUUCUUUUCCCUAAGCACGUAUGACUACAUACGGAAUACAUGCCUACAUUAGAUUGACGAACGGGAGCUAGUUACAUGUCUCUCCGUGUUAUAGCUGUUACAUGAUGAAUCAUAUCCGUCAUACUCAUCCAUCACCGAUCCACUGCCUACGAGUCUUUUACUAUUGGUUCUUCUUACAUUACUUUGUCCAGGCUUGUCCCUUGCUACAAAGGGAUUGGGCCACUUUGUCGCUACUGAUGUCACUCUGCUGUUAGUGGCUGCUGCUUUCACUACUGCUGUUCCUUGCUACUUUGCUGUUACUUGUUGCAAGACCCUUUUCCGACACCAUUGCCGGGGAAGAAUAGUUCCCCGUCCAUGUGCAACUUGCUGGCGCCAUUGAUACAAUAGUUAGGAAUAGUCUGCCGUCAACAGAUCGUUUCUGACACCGUUGCUAUCAUACUACUUUGCUACUGAUACUUUGCUUGCAGACACUAAUCUUUCAGGUGCGGUUGAAUCUGACAAACUCAGCUGCUAAUACUUGAGAAUAUUCUUUCGCUUCCCCUUGAGGCAAAUCAACAAAUUUGGGUUGAAUACUCUACCCUCGAAAACUGUUGCGAUCCCCUACACUUGUGGGUUAUCAAGACUAUUUUCUGGCGCCGUUGUCGGGGAGGCACAACUAUAUUCUAUGAGUCACUUGGGAUUGACGUCUGCUGAUCACUAUGAGGAAUCCGAUAGAUCCAAGAACUAAGGUCUUUCCUUCCACUACGAGGACAGGUAAGGAACUGCCAUCUAGCUCUGCACUUGAUUCACCUUCAGUUAUGAGUAAGUUUUUGACAUCGCCUCCUGCUAGAAGUAUUGAUAUGUCGCCUGUGCUUGAUGAUGCUACUUCUGCUCUCCAUGAUGCUUAUGUUGAUGCUAUGCUUGAUACUAUGCCUGAUGAUGCUAUGCUUGAUACUAUGCCUAUUGAUGCUAUGCUUGANNNNNNNNNNNNNNNNNNNNNNNNNNNNNNNNNNNNNNNNNNNNNNNNNNNNNNNNNNNNNNNNNNNNNNNNNNNNNNNNNNNNNNNNNNNNNNNNNNNNNNNNNNNNNNNNNNNNNNNNNNNNNNNNNNNNNNNNNNNNNNNNNNNNNNNNNNNNNNNNNNNNNNNNNNNNNNNNNNNNNNNNNNNUUGAUACUGCUUUGCCACUAGGUGCAUUCCUUGAUGCACAACUUGCUAGCAUUGCUGCUAGAUGUGAUGAUACUUCUGAAACUACUAAUACUAUUGAAGUAGAACCUGCUAUUUUGCCUGCUAGAACUAGCUCUCCUAUGCCUGAAUUGCCUGAUAUGCCUGAUACGCGUUAUGUUAUGGAGGGAGAGAUAGCUGAGGAUUUCCUUGCGUGUAAGGAUAGCUAUGAUGUUGAGAAACUACUGCGCAAGUGGAAAGAAAAAUCUCUGAACGCUAGGAUGAAAUACGACAAGAAGUUUGCUACUUCGCCUAUCUUUGUGACCGAUAAGGAUUAUGAAUUCUCUGUCGACCCUGAGUUAAUCACUCUAGUCGAAUAUGAUCCUUUUCACGGUUAUGAGUCUGGAACGGUUGUAGCCCAUCUUACCAAACUGCAUGAUAUAGCCACCCUAUUCACUAGUGAGGAAAAGAUCCGCCACUACUAUAUCCUCAAGCUGUUUCCUUUCUCACUAAAGGAUGAUGCUAAGACCUGGUUCACUUCUCUUGCUCCUGGUUGUGUGCGUAGCCCCCAGGAUAUGGUCUACUACUUCUCUGAAAAAUGUUUCCCUGCCCAUAAGAAGCAAGCUGCCUUGCAGAAAAUAUACAACUUUGCUCAAGCUGAAGAAGAGAGUCUCCCACAAGCUUGGGGGAGGCUCGUCCAGCUACUGAAUGCUUUGCCUGAUCACCCUCUUGAGAAGAAUGAAAUACUUGAUAUCUUCUAUAAUGGACUUACCGAUUCUUCCAAAGACCACCUAGAUAGUUGUGCUGGUAGUGUUUUUAGGGAACAAACUGUAGAACAAGUUGAGAUUCUAUUGAAUAACAUCUUGUGCAAUGAGAAUGCUUGGACUAUUCCCGAACCACCUCCUAAUCCAACUCCGAAGAAAAAAGGUCUUCUAUUCCUCAGUCUCGAAGAUAUGCAAGAAGCUAAGAAAUCUAUGCGGGAGAAAGGCAUUAAAUCUGAAGAUGUCAAAAAUCUACCACCUAUCGAAGAGAUCCAUGGUCUUGAUAACCCGAUACAGGUAGUAGAAGUAAAUUAUGUGCGUAGGUUUGAUGAGAGUGAUAUUCCUUUUGAUAAACCUGCUAGCUUAUGCAUGGAUGAAUUUGAUAACUUUGUUGCCAAACAACAGAGUUUCAAUGAUUAUGUUAGUAGACAAUUGGAACAGAAUGCUCGUAUGCUUAGUCAUUUAAGUGCUUGUGUGGACAGAAAUGUGAAUGAUCUUAAGCUUCUGAGUAAAGAUGCCUCUAUGGUUACUACUCAGGUAGAACAAGUACUUAAAGCUCAAAAUGACUUGCUCAAUGAGUUGAAUGACAAUUCUGUCAGAGUCGUUACUAGAGGCGGUAGAAUGACCCAGGAACCUUUGUAUCCUGAGGGUCAUCCGAAGAGAAUUAAACAAGAUUCUCAAGGAGUUAGCACAGAUGGACCUAGUCAUCCUAGAAAGAAGAAGAAAGAUGAUAGGAACCUGUACGCUAGAAACCCUGUUGCUGCUACACCUGAGAGUCCAAACGAUGCCUCUGUCUCUGAUGCUGAAACACAAUCUGGUGAUGAACGUGAGCCUAAUGAUAAUAUCAAUAGUGAUGUUCAUGUUGAUGCUCAACCUAGCAAUGAAAAGGAUGUGGAGAUUGAACCUGUUGAUCUUGAUAACCCACACCCUAAGACUAAGAGAUACGAUAAGAAUGACUUCGUUGCUAGGAAGCACGGUAAAGAAAGGGAACCAUGGGUUCAUAAACCUAUGCCCUUUCCUCCCAAACCAUCCAAGAAAAAGCAUGAUGAGGAUUUUGAGCGCUUCGUUGAAAUGAUCAGACCCGUCUUUCUGCAAAUGUGUUUGACGGAUAUGCUCAAAAUGUCUCAGUAUGCUAAGUACAUGAAAGAUAUUGUGACUAAUAAGAGGAGGAUACCUGAGGUUGAGAUUUCCACCAUGCUCGCUAACUAUACCUUCAAGGGUGGAACUCCUAAGAAACUAGGUGAUCCCGGUGUGCCCACUAUACCUUGCUCCAUUAAAGGCAACUACGUUAGAACUGCGUUAUGCGACCUUGGAUCUGGUGUUAGUGUUAUGCCUCUCUCUCUCUUUAUCGUAGGCUUGAACUGGAUAAGUUGACACCCACUGAAAUCUCUCUGCAAAUGGCCGACAAAUCAACUACUUUCCCUAUCAGCAUUUGCGAGGAUGUGCCUGUUGUGGUUGCUAACGUCACUAUCUUAACAGACUUUGUUAUCUUGGAUAUUCCCGAGGACGAUGCCAUGGUUGUCAUCCUCGGAAGACCCUUUUUAAACACCACAGGGGCUGUUAUAGAUUGCAACAAAGGCAAUGCCACUUUACAUGUCAACGGUAAUGAGCAUACGGUGCACUUUCCGAAGAAACAAUAUCGAGUACAUUGCAUCAAUGCUAUCGAAAAACUUCAUCGAUUCUUAUUGGGAGCUUUGAAUGCCCUAUUCCUCGUGUCAAGAUGAUGUAUGAUUUGCUUGCUGGGGAAAUUCACAUCCCCAUUGAGGUGACCUAGUGACUAUUCGAAAAUUCUUCGUCUUCUUUUGCGAUUCGAGAAAGUUUUGUCGAGGGGAUUUGAUCAACCCCAUUGAUGGAUUUCUUUCGAUGACCAUGCGAUGGAUGAAUCAAGGAGUCACAAACCUCUGUUCGAAGCUUUCACCUUAGUUUGCUUAGAAGAAAAAUGAUAAAUUUAGUUUAGUUUUCACUAUUUUCUGUUUUAGCGUCGAGUAGAAAAGUACCCCGAAAAUAAAAGUUCUCCAAACGUCGUGAAAAUCAAGUAUGAUUUUUUCUGGAUUUUUUGAAAAAUACUGAGACGAAGAGCUUGUCUGGGGGAUGCACAAGUGAGCCACAAGCUGUGAGGGCGCGGACACCCCCCUGGCCGCGCCACCCAGGCUUGUGGGGCCCACAAGCACCCCCUCCACUCAUUCUUGCUCUCAUCUGGUUCUCCUACCUCCAGAAAAAAUCGUUUCGCAGCUCAAACCCGUAUUCUUGCUCCUCUUGCUGGGAUUUUUGAUCUCUUUGCUCAAAUCACCGUUCUCCAAACUGCUUUGGGGGAAAUUACUCCUUGGUAAGUGACUCCUCCAUUGGUCCAAUUAGUUUUUGCUCUAGUGCCUUAUACUCCGCGUAUUUUUGUUGCCUUGGUGACCAUGUUCUUGAGCUUUGCAUGCUGAUUUUAGCAGGUCCUAAGUAGUUUUGAUGCUUAAUAUGGCCUCUAGACACUUGUGGGAGUAGUUGCUACGAGUUUAGUUGAGCCUUGUUCACUUUUCCUUAGAAUCACUAAAAAUUUCAGAAAUUUUCAGAGAUAGAAAAGGGAAAAGAUGAGGAGGUUCUCAAGAGGCUCGUCAAGCCGUGACCCCAAGGAUGAUGGGAGUGAGAAGAAGCCCAAGUAUUUGGUCCCUCGAGUCGCAGAAGUUCGAGCGUGUGAGUGGCCAAGUGACGUGGUCUUACACGCCACUGGAAUUUAUGAGGACUUUCAUCACCUGGUGGAGAACGCAGGCCUUACCGCCUUCGUUGAAGAUAAGUGUCCACAAUACCUCCUCCUCACUAAUAUCUUCGUACAAAGCUUUAACUUCUAUCCGAGGAAGAAUCCUCCUAUGGUUGAGUUUAAACUUUAUGGUAUCCCACAGCGCAUGACACUUCAGGAUUUUUGCAAUGUUUGCAAAUUACCCUACUUUGGGGAUAUUCAUGAACCUCGUCCACGGGACUUGGAAGCUUUCAUCGAUACAAUUGUUGUAGGAGAGGAGAGAGGAGUGUCUUGCGCUAGAGCUGCUAGCACUCAUUUUCCCAUGCUUCGGUACUUCUCACUAUUUGUGGGAAAAUGUUUGAUUGGCCGUGGGAAGGCUGGGUCACUUAGUUCCCCAGAUCUUGUGGUCUUGCGCGAAGCCCUUUAUAAUGAUAAAACUUAUAGCUUGGGCGCUAUAGUAGCUCAACAGUUGAACAUGAACCGUUCUAAAGGCAUUGUCUAUGGAGGUAUCUAUGCUACUCGUCUUGCUAGACACUUUGAGAUACCUAUUAGACUGGAGGAGGAAGAAGAGAUUCUUCUUCCCGAGAGAUAUCUAGAUUACGAUAGCAUGGUUCGCCAUGACUUUCUUGAUAGAGAUAUAAAUAGAAGGGUGAUUUAUAACCUGGUAUUUAGUCAGGGUACUCGUGAGACUAUUACUUUGCCUGCUCCUUCUUUGUUCAAUCUUGAUGCAGGCAGGUACACUAUUAUGCCCUCGAACAUCUACGCAUAUUGGGGCUUGGCCCAACCACAGGUGCCCGUGCCCGAGCCACCAGUCGAGUACCAGACGCCAGUUUAUCAGUGGGAGCCAGAGGAGCUCACACAGAAGUGGCAUCCUCAGUCCACUCUGGAGUACCCUGGAGCUGGUUAUUUCCCACCUUGGGAGUAGACCAACUUAGGCCAAAAGCCUAAGCUUGGGGGAGUACGUGUUUCUCACCGACUUUACAUUUUUGCUUAUGCUUUCACUUUGUUCGUCGGUGUUCACACUUUGCCACUGUAUCAUCCAUGCUAGUUUAUUUUAUUUUUUUAGUUUUCUUUUCGUGUGUCUGUCUAGUUUGAGAAAAACCAAAAAGAUUUUCUUUUCUUCUUUUUGCUUGUUGGGAGCUUUCCCGUGUAGAUAGUUUUCUUUUUCUUUGGCUCAAGGUAGAAGAUAAUGGUUACAAUGUUUAGUGGCUCUUGCAUGCAUACCUGUUUAGCUUUCAAAGAGCCAUAUUACUUUGUCUUCUCCUUUGUGUUUGCCUGCAGAUUCCAGCGUAGUCCAAUGCACGAGCAUUCUUAUUAUUGUUCACAUCAUUCGGUCGUGCAAGUGAAAGGCAAUAAUGAUGAUAUGUGAUGAAGUGACUGAGCCUGGAAAAGCUGGUAUGAACUCGAUCUAUUUUGUUUUUGUAAAUAUGACUAGCUCAUCAUGCCCGAUUCAGCUUUGUUGUGAGAGAAACAUGUUUGCAAUGACAACUUAGAUAUCAUAGUUCCUUAUGCCAUGCUUACUUAGCUAGGAGCUUAUCAUGGUUUGUCUUAGUUGCCAACAUGAAUGUUGAGAUGACUAUGAUGUAGUAUGAUAGGAUGGUAUCCUCCUUUGAAUGUUUCAAGUGGCUUGACUUGGCGCAUGUUCACGCAUGUAGUAGAAACAAAAUCAACAUAGCCUCUAUGAUGAUCAUGUUCAUGGUGAUUUAUGUCCUACUCAUGCUUGCACUCAAUGUUAGUUAAUCUCAAUGCAUUUUGAUGACUCUUGUCUCUCUCUAGUUGGUCGCUUCCUAGUCUUUUGCUAGCCUUCACUUGUACUAAGCGGGAAUACUGCUUGUGCAUCCACCUCCAUAAACCCAAAGUUGUUCCAUAUGAGUCCACCAUACCUACCUAUGUGCGGUAUCUACCUACCGUUCCAAGUAAAUUUGCAUGUGCCACUCUCUAAACCUUCAAGAAAUAAUCUGUUUUGCAUGCCCGAACCACUCAUGUAGCGACAGGGGGCUAUUGGUAUCUUCCAUGCUAGGCGUAUUAUCCUCGAUAUGUGUUUAUUCACUAUCAUUCACGAGAAAGGGGCCGGUAAUUGGAAUUCCCAGUUCCAUGCUCAAAUCGAAAAGAUAAUUGCAAACAAAACUCCCCCAGGCUUGAUGUUGGUAUGGACGGUACCCGAGGAUUCGGCUAGCCGUGGAGUGUGAUUGAUUGGUGGUGCGGGAGUCAAAACUUUACUUUUCUGUUUGGGAACCACCUAUAGCAUGUGUAGCGGGGAAGAUGUUGAGAACUCUUAGUCAUUGCGUUGACAAUAAAAGCAUGCCACCCAAAAUUAUUAUCUCUGUUUUCAAAGCUUGAGCUCUGGAACCUCUGCAAAUCAAUGCUUCCCUCUGCGAAGGGCCUGUCUAUUUAUGUUCCUGUUGAGUCAUCCUCCUCUUACAAAAGCACCAAUUUGAGAGCACCUCUGUCAUUUUUAUGCUUUGCUUUUAACUGUGUUGAGUAUGACUGUGACUGGAUCUUCUUUGCCAUGAAUUACAAUGUUUAGUCAGCUCUUGGUCUUUGAAGGUGCUCUGCAUUUAUGUUUUGCGGUCUGAGAAAGAGCUUGCGAGAUACCAUCUGUUCGCACUGCUUCAUGUUGUUUUGAUUGAAGUGUUGACAUUUGAGACUUAUAAUUAUUUGCUCGCUAGUUGAUUAUGCCAUUGAUAUGAGUUUACGGUGAGACCUAGAUGUCAUUUGCUUAUGUGGUUUGCUUGUGAUCUUGCUGAAAUUCUGGUUAUGAGUUAGACUUAGUUGCAACAACAAGAUCAAACAGAGUUCGUCAAAGUUUUUCUUUUGUCUCUUGCAGUUUGUCAACUGAAUUGCUUGAGGACAAGCAAGGCUUUAAGCUUGGGGGAGUUGAUACGUCUCCGUCAUAUCUACUUUUCCGAACUCUUUUGCCCUUGUUUUGAACUCUAAUUUGCAUGAUUUUAAUGGAACUAACCCGGACUGACGCUGUUUUCAGCAGAAUUGCCAUGGUGUUUGUUUUUGUGCAGAAAUAAAAGUUCUCGGAAUGUCCUAAAGAUUUACGAAGAAUUUUUCCGGAAUAAAUGAAAAAUACCUGCGCAAAGAUCCACCGGAGGAGGUGUGUCAGUGGGCCACAAGCCCCUGGGCCGCGGCCACCCCCCUGGCCGCGCCGUGAGGGCUUGUGGGGCCCACGUGGCACCACCGCCUCCAAACUCAGCUCUAUAUCUUCCGUCUCGCCCAGAAAAAUAUUAGAGAGAAGGAUUCAUCGCGUUUUACGAUACGGAGGCGCCGCCACUCCCUGUUCUUCAUCUGGAGGGCAGAUCUGGAGUCCGUUUUGGGCUCCGGAGAGGUGAAAUCAUCGCCAUCGUCAUCAUCAACCUUCCUCCAUCGAGAAUUCCAUGAUGCUCUUCAUCGUUCGUGAGUAAUCUCAUCGUAUGCUUGCUGGACGGUGAUGAGUUGGAUGAGAUGUAUCAUGUAAUCGAGUUAGUUUUGACGGGGACUGAUCCCUAGUAUCCANNNNNNNNNNNNNNNNNNNNNNNNNNNNNNNNNNNNNNNNNNNNNNNNNNNNNNNNNNNNNNNNNNNNNNNNNNNNNNNNNNNNNNNNNNNNNNNNNNNNNNNNNNNNNNNNNNNNNNNNNNNNNNNNNNNNNNNNNNNNNNNNNNNNNNNNNNNNNNNNNNNNNNNNNNNNNNNNNNNNNNNNNNNNNNNNNNNNNNNNNNNNNNNNNNNNNNNNNNNNNNNNNNNNNNNNNNNNNNNNNNNNNNNNNNNNNNNNNNNNNNNNNNNNNNNNNNNNNNNNNNNNNNNNNNNNNNNNNNNNNNNNNNNNNNNNNNNNNNNNNNNNNNNNNNNNNNNNNNNNNNNNNNNNNNNNNNNNNNNNNNNNNNNNNNNNNNNNNNNNNNNNNNNNNNNNNNNNNNNNNNNNNNNNNNNNNNNNNNNNCUUAAUAUCCCGUAGUUUCCAUUAGGACCCCGCUGCCACGGGAGACAAUAGAUGUCAUGCAAGUUCUUUUCCCUAAGCACGUAUGACUACAUACGGAAUACAUGCCUACAUUAGAUUGUCGAACGGGAGCUAGUUACAUGUCUCUCCGUGUUAUAGCUGUUACAUGAUGAAUCAUAUCCGUCAUACUCAUCCAUCAUCGAUCCACUGCCUACGAGUUUUUUACUACUGGUUCUUGUUACGUUACUUUGUCCAGGCUUGUCCCUUGCUACAAAGGGAUUGGGCCACUUUGUCGCUACUGCUGUCACUCUGCUGUUACUUGCUGCUGUUGUCACUACUGCUGUUCCUUGCUACUUUGCUGUUACUUGUUGCAAGACCCUUUUCCGACACCGUUGCCGGGGAAGAAUAGUUCCCCGCCCACGUGCAACUUACUGGCGCCAUUGAUACAACAGUUAGGAAUAGUCUGCCGUCAACAGAUCAUUUCUGACACCGUUGCUAUCAUACUACUUUGCUACUGAUACUUUGCUUUCAGACACUAAUCUUUCAGGUGUGGUUGAGUCUGGCAAACUCAGCUGCUAAUACUUGAGAAUAUUCUUUCGCUUCCCUUUGAGGCGAAUCAACAAAUUUGGGUUGAAUACUCUACCCUCGAAAACUGUUGCGAUCCCCUACACUUGUGGGUUAUCAUGAAUCAUCCAGAGGCGCUGGCCUAAAGUUGCAAAGACCUUCAACAUCAAUGAAGGAUCAAUAUUUGCCUUCCGCAUCAACAGUUUUCUAGAUGAGAUUCAUGUGUCUAUCUACUGUCUAUGAUGCUAAUUUCCAAAGGUUAUAUAUGUUGCAUGUUAAACUUGGUGGUGGUGUAGUUGUGUAAUGGGGUAGCUAGCUAUAUGCCUAUAUGGUGUAACUGAGUGCUGAAGCUACAUGAUGUUGUACUCUAAUGUAUUUCAAUUACGAAAUCCUGGUUCCGUGAUAUGAUGAAAUAUAUUUUGUGCUUAAUAUAAAAGGUCAAUUUGUUUAAUAAAUGGAUUAUUGAUAAUAAGCCAAUUAGCACGCUAAUUGGGCUUCUGUAUUGCAAACGGUUAGUGAGAAAACACAGUGGGUGAUGGCCUAAGACAACACACACAGUUUCUCGGACAAAAACGUGUUGGAUCAGUGAACAAUCACACAUGACUUCCUCUUGAAAACUGUUUUGUGUUAGGCCUCCUUGCACAAAUGUUUUCCACAUAAAAAGUGUGUGUGAUGGACAACCUAUGCCACACAACUUCUUCUACGUACCAUGCACGAUGCAUUCAAGAACGCAAUCGAUAAAAUUAUUAAUAUCGUCGGCAAUGGCAAUACUAUCGUAGAUGAUUUGAUGGGGAAAAUUGUGUGUGAUGUAUGAGUGAAUAGAAACAAUUGUCCGAGAUUCAACGUGUGGGAUGUACAUACGAAUGGAAACGUUCUUCUUGGAUUGACUAUGUGGGACGUACAUACAAACAGAAACGAUUGGGCCUGUAUAAUUAUAUGCGAUGGCUAGCCCAAUCGCACACGAGCUCAUUUUGCGCAGCGUGUGUGACUGGAGGACCUAUCCUCGACGGUUUCUAGGUCAUGUGGGAAUGACUGCCCUAUCGCCCACACUCACUAGGCGAUGGUUUGAAAUGAUGUCACGGAAAGGGGUUAAAAAGGUUUGUAUAGCACGUUGCUAUAGCAGUGCUAGUCCCGUGUUGACAUAAGCCAUGGUGGAAUAGACAAGGCCACUUCUUCGUGUACCCCUUGUGGGUGGAGCCCUCCGUGGACUCUUGAAGCUAUUACCAUCCGUGGGUUGAAGUCUCCACUAAUGUGGACGUACGAUAGCACCACCUAUCGGAACCACGCCGAAAAUCGUCGUGUCAACCUUUGCGAUUGAUCUUCCAAUCCCUACCCUCUACUUACAUAUGCAUGUCAUUACUUUCCACUGCAAUACUUUUAGAUAUGCAUGUGUAGGGUGUGCUUGAUUUGUACAACUGCUAAAACUGGCCCACAACUAAAAUUGGGAGAAGGCUAGGUUUUCAUUUGGUUAAGUAGUCUAAUCACCCCCCUCUAGACAUACUUUGUGUCCUACAAGUGAUAAAAGAGCUUUGGUACCCAUUGCAUUGGUUUCACAACCUAGGAGAGUAUGGCGUCUAGUGAGGGAAAUUACCACCGUAGAGUUCCAUAUUUUUAUAUUACAAACUUUGCUAGUUGGAAGCACAAGAUGAAAAUGCAUAUUCUUGGUCAUAACCCCACUGUUUGGGUUGUUGUUCGUGUUGGUUUGCAAGGUGAAUUCUUUGGUGAUGGCAAAGAACUGAUCACGAAGCAACAACGGAAGAAUUGAAGAUGUUGCAAUACAAUACUCAAGCAUGCGACAUUCUAUUCAACUGCUUUUGCCCCGAAGGGUUCAACAAAAUCAGCCGUCUUGAGAAUGUCAAGUAAAUUUGGGACACUUUCAUUGAUAUGCACAAAGGUACUGAAUCCGUCAGGGAACCUAAGUUGUAUGUGAUACAAAGUUAGCUUGACAAGUUCAAGAUGAAAGAUGGUGAAUGAGUCGGUGAGAUGUACUCUAGGCUAGAUCUCAUCACAAAUGAGAUUGCCGGCUUAGGAAGAGAAGAGAUGACCAAAAAAUUCAUCAUUAAGAAGAUACUUAGAUCUUGUAUGGGAAGUAUGACACCCUGUGCACCUGAUCCAAAUGAUGCCAAACUACAAGGAUCUCAAGCCAACGGAAGUCACUGGAAGGAUUGUCGCCCAUGAAAGGUCACUCAAUGACAAAGAAGAGUUGCACAACAAGUAAAGCGGUGCUUACAAAGCUUCAAGUGAUGCUCCCUCGACUUCAAAUAAAAACCUUGUCACCAAUGAAGAGAUAAGACCCUUGGUUAGGAAAUUCAACAAAGAGAAGAGUCACCUAGAAGACGAAGCUCAAGAGAAGAGUCACCUUGAAGAGAGAGGAGGAGUAGAGAAAAUCGUUAUGAACAAAGACCCUCCCAGAGAAGUAAGGAAUCGGAGAAGAAGGACAAGUACACCAAGGUCCACUGAAGAAGAAGACAUCAAGCUCAUGUUGGUGAAUGGGUAUCCGACUCUGAGUCUAACAACCAAUCUGAGAGAAGCUACCACUCCAACUAAGACUAUAGUCAAGAUUAAGGUGUUGCCGGUCUUGCACUCGUAUCCUCCAACUCCUGUGACAUAUUUGAUUCACCAAAUGAAGGGAUUGGAAGUUGCUUCAUGGAUAAAGGCCCCAAGCUAUCACACCCCGAGUACUUUGACUUUAAUAGUGAUGAGGAUGGCAUGUUAGGAGAAGAUAACUUGCUCUUUGAUAAAACUAGUGAUAAAAAUGAAAAUGAACUUGAUGAUAAUCAUGCUAGUCAAGAUAAAUCGUAUGACGAUGAUAAUAAAUAGACUGAACGACUAACUAAAAAAACUAACACUCUUAAGUUAGCUCAUGAAUCUACUCUAGAAGAUCAUAUAGAUCUUGAAACAACUCAUGAGAAGCUACACUUAGAUAUGCUAAAUGUAGAGCAAGAGCAUGAGUUUCUAAAAGCAAUCAAUGAUGAUCUUCGAAACAAGAGUUCUUCUUUUCUAUCCAAACGAUUACUCUUGUCUACUUUUGUUCCACAACUUAAACCUAAUCACACUAGUAACAAAGGCAAGAAAUUUUCUUAACCUAGUAACAACAAUGCUAAUGCUAAAUCAAAUGAUGUUGUUGCUAGUAGCUCUCUUGAUUCCACUAAUGAUUCUAUUAGCCAAAUUACACUUGAGCAAGAAUUUUUUUUAUUGAAAGGAAUUAUAGAGAGAGGGGUCUUCAAGAGUCUUGCUGGAUGUAAGAAAUUCAAGGAAAUUUACGCAAGCUAGGAGGACACCGGAAGAAGCAAGGUGUUGGCAACUUCAAUGCCAACGGAUUUGAAUGGGAAGAAGGUCAAUACCCCAUCCCAAAGUUUGUUCCCCAAAAUGAGAAGCAUGAUCCUAGUAUCCCCAAAGGAACAAGCUCUCAAGAUGACCUUCCACCACAAGACCACAAGGGCAAGUACAAGCUUCAAGAGGAGAUUGACUCAUUUGAGGAAGAACAACACGCCAUGGUCAAGUGGAUUCCCAAGGGCACUACUAGCUCUACUUCAUCUAGUGCUACCACAACUCCAAGGAUCCCCAUCAAGUUGAUGUGGGUCCCCAAGAAUAAGAACUAGAGAAGUUCCUAAGGGGUGACUUCGCCAAUGAAAUUCACUCUUAUUCAUUUUGGCAAGAACUUGAUGCAAUCAACUCCAACCAUAUGCAUUAGUUCAUGGAGUCAUAGAUUGCCUUAAAGGUAAGCAAGGGACAAGGUAACUAAUGUAUCAAUGGACUUCAUCCGACAUGUACUUCACUCCAUGUCCAUAGAUAUCCUUGUAUUUGUUCAUUGUACUUAGUACUAACCAAUGUAGGUGAGAAGAGUAAGAAACAACGAGGAUUGCUCCCAACUCAAGAUGGUAUUCAUCAACAAUGAGCAUCCACCACUACUACACCUACAUGAAGUCUUCUACGACAAAACCCAAGUUAGUUUAUCCCUAUUAGGGGGAUGUCACAUCAAGGGGGAGCUUUACUCUAAUACUUGAGUAUAAUCAUCUCUUAAGGUGUGAAAAUAUUUAAAGCUUUAAGUAAACAUGGCAACCACACUUGUGCUUAAACGGUGAGUAUGACCUAUGAUCAAGUAUUCUUGCUUGGCUCCCAUGUCAAUAUACUUAUAUAUAGAUGCCUUUGUCAUCGCCAAAGUGCUUGGUAGAUACUAGAGUGGUUGUGCAUGUUUGCCAUGUUUUAUUUGACAUCUUAUUGUGUGAGCAUGUUGGUAUGCAUAUUUUUGCUUAUUCGAGGAUAUCCAAUUGUUGUUAUUUGGCUUUUCAUUUUCUUUGGCCCAUUGUAUAUACAAGAAUGCCUAGGUACCCCUCUCUAGCUAUGUAUGCUUUCUCGUCUCAAAUUCUAUUCAUGCUACAUCACAAAAUUUGAGCAAGAACUUUAGGGACACUUAGUGUGAGGAGCACUCGGAGAUCCAUCUCGACAGAAUCUGACUUCCAAAACCUCCCAUGUGCCACUUGGUGUGACCAACUCCAAAUCUCGGUCCCACCGAAGAACUAGGGUAGGUACCAGCGAUAAGUAAAUCUUGGCCUCACUGAAUUUCACUGUCACCAGAUAGUUAUGGAACUCAGUGGCACCGAUAUUUCCAACUCGGUGUCAACGACAGCAGGGGAUAUGUAUAUCCAGUGGACCCAACUUUUGAAAUUCAAUAGUCAAACAUCACACCCGCAAACCCCUUGAUGUCAUGCUCUCGUCUCCAGGACAUCGCCAUUCAUUUCCCAUGCACCCUCGCCGCAAGAGUGCUUGUCAUCAGCGGCAAUCUCUCCUGCCGCCACUGCCGUAGGAGGUCUUCAUCGAAAGUAGGGUAAAGACCUUGCCCCUAUUUGCAAUCCUUAAUCCAAUUCUUGCGCAAAUAGGUCAAGUACAUCUAUAAUCUACGAUUGCAAUACUCCUAUACAGAAGAAAACACCAUUAGAUUAAAGAACAAGAGGUUUUUAGGUUUAAUCAUCUGCAAACUGAAUCUUGGUGUUACCGAGUUAGAAAAAUUGGUCUCACCGAUUUAUGUUUUAGGGCUAUAGAGAACAAACUCGGUGAAACUAAGUUACUCUUUUCGGUGAAACCGAAAACUCUUCCAAGUUUCUGUAAAGGAGGUUGUUUGUCUCAGUGGCUCCGAAAUUCUUUACUCGGUGGAGUCGAAAUCCUUUUUGCAGAAAGUUAAACUUAAAACUUUGAGUUCAAAAUUUUGAAAACUUCUGUGAUCUGUGAUGCUCAUCCACUCCUACUAUUCUACUUCUAUUCACAUGGACAACUUGUUUUCUUGGUUGCUUGUCACCUUGUCAGUAUGUCAGGUUCACAUGAUAGCCAGAAUGAUUCCAGAGAACCCAGUGUGGAAAUGGACUCAGGCACUAGUACCGAGAUGACUAUUUCUGACCCAGGUACUCCAAGCUCCCAUGAUUUGCCGAAGGCAGCUACCAGGUCCAGAAAGAAGAUUAAUUCACAUGAGGAGGAUGUUGACUUAAUUCUAGAGGAAAGCGUUCCCCAAAAGCAAAAGGAGAGGAUCAUAGUCAAGAAAACCGUGAUAAAGGAGUAUGCCAGGACUGAAUCUAUGAGAGCUCCAGAGACAACUCAGAAAGGGAUGAAACUCACCCUUGAGAACCCCUCUUCCAAGAAAGCUAAGAAGCUAUGGCAGAAGAGAGCUAGGAAGAGAGUUGUGCAUGUUGUUAGAAGGCCAACUUCCAUGUAUGAAGAUCCAACAGAAGCUACUAAGGAAGAAGAGGAAGAGGAAACUGCUAAUCCAUCUUCUUCAAAGAAGAAGCUUAUGGAACAUGCUAUGCCAAGCAUGUAUGCACCCAAGAAUAAACCUUCUGCUCCUAAGUCUAAGAAGCUAGUAGCUCUUGAGAGGUAUACUAGGGAUAUACCUGCAAUAGGGAAGAACAAGGGCUCUGCAUCUAGAGAAACUAUUGCAGAGCAGGAAGAAGAUCUUUAUGUGCUGAGGAAGUUGAGAGCUCACUUGGCAUUGCACAAAGAUGCUCAUCCAGUUGUUGAGGACAUGAAAAAGAGAAGGGAUCAAGGUCCAAGACAGUGGAGAACUACAGAUCCCUAUGUUGUUAGGAGGAGAACAACUAUUGAUCCUCGCGUUCACACCAUGGAGCAACAAGAUUUCUAUGAGACACUGUUAUUGGACAAGAGUCCUGCAGUAAGUGACAUAAGAUAUGUAGACUGGGACUACACAAAGGAACAUGAGGACUUGUUCCCUCAUGUGAGAGAAAAUUUUAGGGCAAUUAAUAUUGAAGAUUUUGUUGGCAAAGAGAUGACUGCGUGGAAUGAUGAGAUGAUCAUGCAAUUCUACUUUACUGCACACUUUUAUCUAGAUGGUAGGAUUGUUUGGAUGACUGAAGGUCACAUGUAUGAGUCAACUUUGGAGGACUAGGCUACAAUCAUUGGUGCCCCAAAGGACCAAGAGGGUGACUUGGGUGUGUACUGUGAGCCAAAAAUGAUCAAAACAAUACGGCUAAUACAUACAAUCUAGUUCCCCACCAGUACUUGAAGACACACAAGAUUGGCUCCGUCUACUUCCUGCAAGCAGGGAUACCCACUACAAACACCAUUAUAAGGUACACCCUCAUGCCCAAGUUAGGAGAUGAGAAUAUGAUCAGAGGGUAUUCCAUCAACAUGCCACACCACAUUGAUUCUCACACAAGGAUUAGAGUGAUGGAUCUGAUAGUUGGGUCAGACAGGAGGACAUCUGCUGAUCAGAAGAGAUCAUGUGGAUAUGCUCCGUACAUUCAGAUGCUCAUCAAUGCCAAGAUUGGGAAGCAUGCAUAUCAACUUGAUCGUCCACGCUUGCCUCUUCAGCCAGAGUCCAAAGACAACGAGGUAGUGAUGGACCUUAGCCAUCCCAUCUCAGGUACAGCUCGUCAGCACACAGAGGCAGCAACAGAGGCACCCGCAGCCAGAGCAGCUUCGGCACCACACCUGAGAUCCAGAGAGGAGGAGAUGUAAUUUCUUGUCAGCACCAUCCAGAGGAUGGGGAAGAAUAUUUCUGAGAUUUUGUUGAACAAGAAGAGCCUUGAUAGGAUCAUGGAGACUAAAUUCCAUGACCUAUAUAUCAAAAUAACAGAGUUGGCUACCACUGUUGAGCAGCUAAUGCAUGAAGUUGAUCCAGUGCGGACACCUCGCUCCAGCAGUGAUGAUGAUGAUUUGUCUCUUCCUACGACUACUCAGUUCAGGACUCGGACUUGGUCUGCAGCUAUGCUAGUUCUAGAAGUUAGACCAUAUUCAUUAGCCCAAGCAUCAGCGCCUUCAGCUCCACCAGAUCCCGCACCUCCAGUGUCAACACCUCCACCUUAGAGGACGUUGAUGACGAGAUGAUGUAUAUACUUCUCGCACCUUGUUGGUUACCCCAAGUGGAAGGUUGAGAUGUAGUCAGCAGCAAGUUUUCCCUUACACGGAGACUCUAAGUUUUAUCGAACCAGGAGGACUCCUAUGAUCAACAAGUAGGUGUCUUCCACCCUGACGCUAGCAGAAGACAUGGACCUGCACACACACAAAUAACUUUGCUCCCAACGAGUACAGAGAGGUUGUCAGUCUCUCCGGCCUUGUAGUUUGCAAAGGAUCAAAACACAAGCGGGAAUGGUGAUAGUGAUUGCAAUGGAAAAGUAAAUAAAAGCGGUAAAUGAUGGAGGUGUAAACAAUGAUGAUGAUAUGGAUCGGAGUCACAUGAUGUUUACUAGUGAUGUCUCUCUCCCAAAAGACGAUAAACAACUAUGCUUGGGUAAACAAAUCACAGUUGGGCAAUUGACAUAAUUAUGAACGCACCGCAAUGCUAAUUAUGCUACUUGAUAGUUAAAGGUUCAAUAGUAAUGGGUACUACGCCAAGACAAGUAGACCGUUUAUUCAUUAGCGUCUACUUACUAAUCACCGACCUUGAGAUACCUAUCCAGAACAUCUCUCCGGUAUUAAGUUGCGAGCCCCAUCCAAAGUGUAAACUCAAAGCAACAUACAAUUGCAUUAACGAACUAUGCGUAAGGUAAACAAUCCUUGCAACCAUGGUCACAAGCACCGUUGUUUUCUCCCUCGUGGCAACAACACAUCCCCUAGUCUCAUGCUUCUGUCACUCAAGCUAGACAUCGAGGGGCAUGAACCCACAAUCAUGCAUAACACUCCCUCUUGGAGUUACAAUCUACUACUCGGCCAAAGCAAUAAAUAGGAAGGGAGAACAUGCAUGAAUCACUAAGGAACGUAAUAUAGAAGGAUAAUCAAAUAAAUAACUCAUAACAAUCUGAACAUAAUCUCAUAAUCCAUCGGAUCCCAACAAACCGAGCAUAGCAAUAGCAAUAGCAAUAGAAUUACAUAGAUGCCUUGAUCAUGUAGGGCAGCUCACAAGGACUAACCAUUGAAGCACAACAUUGGAGAGAAGACAUCACAUAAGUACUGGUCAUGGACCCAUGGUCCAAGGAGGACUACUCACGGCACGUCUGGGAAGCGUCCAUGGCGGUGGAGAAGCUCCCGGAGGUAAAUCCUCCCUCCAGCAGGGUGCCGGGAAGAGGUCUCCUCACGCUCCCGAUCUCGGAAGCGCUCCGGCGGCGGAACGAUAGAGAAAUUCGCGAUUCUGGAAGUCAUGGAAGGGUUUCCUCUCGGAGGACUAAAUAUAGGCCAAACAAGGGCACCGGAGGAGGUGUGGCCCAUCCAGGCGGCCUCCUGGCGCGGCCAGGGAGUAGGCGCGCCAGCAAGUUGCCUAGACGGCCCCUGGCCCCCCUCUGGCCCAUCUUCGGUGAUCUGGAAGCUUCCAUUUCGCUGAUUUUUUAUAUAUUUUACCUGGAAUUUUGUGGGCUUCGGAAAAUUGGGUAAAAGCCCGUGCAAAAUAGACAUCAACACACAGAAACCGACACUGGGUGCACUGAGUUAAUAGGUUAGUCCAAAUAUGUGUAAAAUGACAUAAACGUGUAGCAAAACAUAUAGCAAUGUCACCCAAAAGAUCAUCGAACAAGCAUAAAUUAUAGAUACAUUUGGGACGUAUCAGACAUCCGUCGAAGCUUUCGCCGAUGCUCUCGUGUCGACUCCAUCAACUGCUACCAGAGGAGAUCGAGCCCAGAGCGAUGCUUAGCUCUAGACCUUUGGACUUUUUGGUAACUUGUUGCCAAAGGGGGAGACAUGUAUAGAUCAUUAGGGCUUCAAGAGAGAGUGUUUUGUCUUUUAUUGAUCUCUUUUGGUUUUUCAAAACAUUUGGUCUUUUGGUCGUUUUAAACUUCGUUGUGUUUGAUCAUACACUCUGAUUGUUGAUUCUACUAUGUUAUAUCCUUGAGCUAUAUACGUGUUGAUCAUUCACACAUUUGUUUGGUGUUAUGUGCAUUACUAUUCAUUCAUAUCAUUUAUGGCCAACACCAAGAUGUAUGUAACAUGGAAGAGUGACUCAUGAUCCUAAUCGAUUGUGCAUUUGCAUUCAAAUGCAAAUUUAAAAUAGUGCACAAAUUUAGGGUGAGCUCUUGUUUUCACAUGCUUCUCAAAGCGAUGAUCCUAAUCAUUGAUUAUAUCUUUUGUUGAAUCUUUGAUCUAUAUAUUGUCAUCAAUUACCAAAAAGGGGGAGAUUGAAAGCACAAUUUCUUCCUAAGGUGGUUUUGGUAAUUAAUAACAACAUAUGUAUCAUUGAACUAAUGCUUCUAUCCAAGUAUAUUUCAGAAAAGCUCAAAGAAGCAUUGGCUAAAGUAUUGUGAGGAGAUACCCCUUGAUGCAAGGAAAAGGAAUAGGAUUGGCCAAGCUUCAAGCUACAAGACCCUACAUUUUAUAUUUGUGAGAAAUCACAUUGAGUCCAUAGGAAAUCCAAUACUAUUAAAAGUGGGGUGAGGUAUCUAUGGUGAUUGGUUGCUCAAGUGCUUAUAGAUAGCCACCAAAAAUACUCAGCCAUUCUCCCACAAUAUUCUCUAUCCAAAGCCUAAACAUCAAAAUCGAUGCCAUCAACAAUUUCCACUCAGCCCUACCGAUUUUUACAAAGACAAAACCUUUGCCAAACCCUAGAAUGUCGGUACCACCAACUUCCACUUUGGUGCCAAUGAAAAUUAGUGACCAACUUUCUGGUCUGAGAAUUGAAAUUUCGGAGUAUUUGGAAACUUCCCUAGGUCACCAUAUCGGUACCACUGAGAAUUCUAUAUCGGUCUCACUGAGAAUUCGAAAGUUGCCACAUUUAGUGUAACUCGGUGCUACCGAGAUUCAUUUCAGUUUCAUCAAGUUGGGCAAUAAUGUUGUAACGGUUGGAUUUUUAGAGAUGCCUAUAUAUACCCAUCCACCACCUCUCAUUACUAGAGUAAGCACUCAGAACACACACACUUGCCAUAUCCAUUUUUGAGAGAGAGAACCACCUACUCAUGUGUUGAGAUCAAGAUAUUCCAAUCCAUCCAUUAGAAACUUGAUCUCUAGCCUCCCCAAGUUGCUUUCCACCCUAUCAAUCUCUUCUACCCAUGUCAAAUCUGUGAGAGAGUGAUUGAGUGUUGAGGAGACUAUCUUUUGAAGCACAAAAGCAAGGAGUUCAUCGUUCUACCGCAUCUAUUACCUUUUGGAGGGUGGUGCCUCCUAGAUUGGUUUGGUGUCGCUUGGGAGCCUCCUACUUUGUGUUGUGGAGUUGAACCAAGAUGUUUGUAAGGGCAAGGAGAUCGCCUACUUCGUGUGGAUCAACCUGAGUGAGGCUAGUCCUGUGUGGACAUAAGUCAUGGUGGAAUAGACAAGGCCGCUUCUUCAUGGACCCCUUGUGGGUGGAGUCCUCCGUGGACUCUCGCAGCCGUUACCCUCCGUGGGUUGAAGUCUCCAAUAACGUGGACGUAUGAUAGCACCACCUACCGGAACCACACCAAAAAUUGUCAUGUCAACCUUUGCGUUUGAUCUUCCUAUCCCUACCCUCUACUUACAUUUUGAUGUCAUUACUUUCUGCUGCAAUACUCUUAGAUAUGCAUGUGUAGGGUGUGCUUGACAUGCUAUAGCUGCUAAAACUGGCCCACAACUAAAAUUGGGAAAAGUCUUAGUUUUUAUUUGGUCAACAAGUCUAAUCACUCCCCUCUAGACAUACUUUGGAUCCUACAGCAUGCCCCUUUUUAGUGACGUUGCGAGCUUGAUAAGUCAGGGUGGUCCAAUUUUAAAAAGUACUUUUUUCUACCCUAUAUAUAGGUUAUGGAGAAAAUACCAGGGUGGUCCAUGGACCACCUUGUCCACCCCCUAGAUACGCCACUGCCGCUUCUGCGAUCAGGACGACGAGACACUAAAUCACAUACUCUUAACAUGUGUGUUGGCACGAUCGGUAUGGCACAUGGUUCUUUCAGCAUUGGGCAAGCCGUAGUGGGUUCCUACCAUGGAGGCGGAGUUGGUCGAUUGGUGUAGUUCUUGCAGGGUAGAGGAUCUGGCCAUGAAGGAUGUGCGGGUCCUUAUCGUUCUUGGACUGUGGGAGCUCUAGAAGCAUCAUAGUGUGGUGGUUUUUAGGGUGCUUCGCCAUCAGACAUGGUAGUGAUUAGUAUAAUCACAAGAGAAUGUAAAGUGUGGAAGCUAGUUGGUCUUUUGAAGGGUGACUUCGCCACCUUCAUAGGAAGGCUAGCUAUGUGGGAUAUAUAGAGUAGUUAGUUACUAGAGAGUUGUAGUGAGGUGGAUGUGUAUUUAUCACAUUUAAUCCCAUGUAAGAAAUUUUGGGGCUCUUUUCCCUACCCUUCUUUUAUGCAUGAUACACACACUCGUGCGUAUUCUAGAAAAAAAUGCCUUCAGCGAGCAAAGUAAAAAAAUUUGAGAGUCAGGAGAGGGCAAUAUAUCAAGAUUCAUAUUUGGGUUUUCAAACUAAAAUCAUGACCAUAGUUUGCAGAUGAGAUGCAAAGUUAUCUCCUCUAUCUUUUGAAACUUUCCACCUAUAGAAUUAGGUUUCAUGUGGUAGACAAUUUUGAAUAUGGUUGGAAAUAGCGGUGGAAGAUAGCACAAAAACUAACUCCAUGGUGCACUUAUGUGGAGGGGUAUAUUCAUACGAUGAGCUUAGAUAGAGGGUGGCUAAUGUGCAUGGUCGUGGCCGCGUGUGGUUUUAGGUAGAGCGAUUAAUCCGUUAUUCCCAUUGCUAUCGUGCAUGUUAUUGCCUUCCUUUUCCGCUUUGCAACGCAAAAAGUUGUCCCGACCCCAGUUAGAUUUUUUUGGAGAAUUGAAAACACUUUAUUCACUCAAAAAGUUUUCACAAAUAGAAAGUUAUAUCCGGUCUAUCUAAGAGCCACACAUGUCGGCCAUGAUCUUGAGUAGUCAUUGUCUCUGUCAAGGAAUGAGCUUCACUGUUAGAAGGGAAAGAGGGAUCGGUGGAAUAGUUGAUUUAUUUCUGGAACCUCGUGGGCAUAUAUAUAGGAGUAAAUUAUCUACUUGGACUACAAGACAAGCUGUAAUACUUCCUAGUCUAUCUUAUGUUUCCAAUCUAAUAACAAUACUAAACAUCCCCCACAGUCACAACGGUAGCGACGCAAAUGGUGAGACUAGAGAAGAAUCUGAAGUUAAUCCAACGUUCAUCCCCCACAGUCGUAAAGGUAGAUGCAUCCCAGAAGUUGUAGUGCGAGUGAAAAACCGAUGAGGUUGCUCAAGCAAGGCGGUAGCCCUUUAUGCCAUUGUCGAGGUAGCCAAGAGCAUAGGAUGGUGGAGUUGUGGUCGAGGUAGCCGUGUGAAGAACGUCAUGGUCGAUGUUGAGUCAGGGUGGCCGGUGUCGAGGUAGUCACCGUGGAGCCGCGAGCGCAAGGAGGCGCCGAGUUAGUCAUGUGUGUAUUGACAUCGAAGUAGUGGUGCGCUAGGAAGAAGUCAUUGUUGGAUGCCGAAAGGAUCGAUAUGGUUGAUUAGAGAGGGGGGGGGGUGAAUACGCAACUCCUAAUUUUAACUUUUCCUAACAAAUUAGGUUUACCAACAAAUAGGUUGCCUAGAUAUGCAACUAUGUGAACAACCUAUAUGAUGCUAGCAACAACAACAAUACAAGCAGGCAAAUGAUGCAACAAAAGUAAAUCUUGCACAAAGUAAAGGUAAAAAAUAACCACAAGUCGAACUGGUAGAGAUGAGGAUGUGUUACUGAAGUUCCUUCCCUUUGUAGGGAAGUACGUCUCUGUUGUAGUGGUGUGGAGGCACAAUGCUCCGCAAGAAGCCACUAGGGCCACCGUAUUCUCCUCACUCACUCACACAAUGCGAGAUGUCGUGAUUCCACUAGUGGUGCCCUUGAAGGCGAUGAUCGAACCGAUACAAAUAAGGCUGGGGCGAUCUCCAUAACUUAAUUGGAGGCUCCCAACACCACCACGAAGCUUCACCACAAUGAAUGUGGAUUCGAGGUGACCUCUUUGUCGUGGUUUUGUCACGGCAAAUGUCCUCGUGAAAGGACUUAGUGAAGGAGCCAUCGCACCUUGGUGGCGACUCAAAGGGGGUGAGCGGAAGCGAGACUCAGAUUUACCUAGGUUCGGCCCCUCGUGUGGAGGUAAAAGCCUACGUCCUGCUUUGUGUAUAUUGAUGAUGGAUUCGAUUACAAGGAGGGCGUAACUAGCGUGAUCUAGCUCUCGAUAAUUUCUAACUUGAUCUAUGUGCCCCAGAGACUCGCCUUUAUAUACAGGUCGAGGCCCUAGGGUUUACAAAAGUCUUGGACACAUUGCAGAUCGUGCUCUUCCAUAUCUCUAAGUCACCGUGUUUACCAAGCCAGGAAACCUCCUUGGCGGCUUAUCUUCUUCAUCAAUCCUGAACCACCAUCCGACUCAUGGGACCCCGCGGUAGGCCUCGGCAUUCGGUAUAAACCGAAAGUUCGGUUGCUACCGUUUUUUUUCAAAUUCGGUUAACUAAACUGGAAACCGAAAAUGACAGCUAAAAAUAGCUAACCGAGUUAUUUGGUUUAGUUUUCGGUUUAUACCGUAAUUGCCGGACACGCCAAAAUAGUUUUAGCUUCGUCUAUAUCAGUGUCCAACCUACGUUUCUAUAUAGCCUGCCUACCCACCCUUUUGUCCAUCACGGACCGAGGUGGGACUAAACGAUUAACUGGCAACACUCCAUGCUGAUUUAAGUGCGGAUGCUAACACUAAAAGGAAGCCCAACUACAAAUAGCAUGGGCCUUGGCGUGUCCGGCUACUCGCGUGGUCAGCUUGGCCCACGUGACAUUUUCUGUCGCUCGCGCACGCGCUCGAGGCUACUGGCGUGGAAAUUUUGUGUGUAGCGACACACGCGUGGGAGAAGCCUCUACUGGUCUGUACGUUGACACAGUCCCUACGUACAUUCGGUUUUGCUUUCGGUUAACUGAGCAAAAACCGAACCGACCGAACCAAGUUCGGUUAUCAAAAGUCGAAAACCGAUUUCUUGUGUACCAUCAUUAAAAACCGAAAUUUCGGUUUAUUCGGUUUUGGUAUCGGUUUGGUCUCCGGUUUGUCGGUUUUUAUGCCCACCCCUACCCGGCGGCCUUGUGAAGAAUAUCUCUCGACACGCCUCAGGCCUGGGCCAAGGCUUACACUAACCAUGUAUGAGUCGCCGCUUUUCUGACCCGACCCAAUUAGGGCGGGUCACACCGGAGGUAAUAUCCCCAACAUUAGGCGUGAGAUUGACUUGAAUUUAUUCAUGCCAAUGAACUUCCACGCUCACUAUGGGCGACUUGUACUACAUCCAUCCCUUUGAUAAGUGACAAGCCGCCAUCUCUCACAAAUUGUCUGAGCCGCCAGGUUAGUUAUUGAUGACAUCACCUUUUCCUCCAUUUCCGGGAUUUGUUUACAUAAUUUCCAACGGAUCUUUUUCGUCCUCAUCCUGCUAUCCCGAAAAUCUAGGUGCCAUAAUUGUUGGUUUUCAAUCUGUCGCCUCUAUUCCUGCGCCCGCCGCUUUGUCUCCAGCGCCAGGCCUUUAAAUAUCCAUGGGGGGAGGCAAUGCCACCUACCCCCACUUCCUUCUUCUAGACGCAUCAUCUUCUUCAAACACGCCUCGACUGCUUUGUCGCCACCGGAGCUGUGCCGCAAACCGUUGCCGUCCGGCCACUUCCUGACCCAGUUGAAGGUGCGGCCGCCGUCGUAGGUCUUCCUCGUUGGGCAUCUUCUUCUUCUUCCACGUAAACCUCCCUUUCUCAGUAGAGGUAGAUCCGAACCUUCAUAUUUCUUAGGGUGCCAUUAGAACUUCACGAAUGCCUCGUGUUCUUGCUUUUUGUCAAACCUAGAUGCGGCACCAUAGAUCUGUGAAAUAAUUAAUGCAAUAAUUCUUGUUAAAUCUCCUAUCAAUCCACUAUUUCUCCGCAGCUCAUAGAUCUACGCACCAUUUUCAUAAUGUUCUUCCGCGUUCUUGUAGUAUCUGAACCCUCGGCCAGGUUAUUUUUCUUUGCUGGAAACACUCGUAGAUCCGUAAAUUACCAUUUGAUGUUAGAAACAUGUUUGUCUCCAAUCAAGAAUGUUCCUAAGGAAAAAAAACCCUUUUUAGAGCCGCCACUCGUCACCCUUCACCAUGGCGAGUUAGAAUAUUCCCACAAAUACAUCUUUGAUCAUUUUAGCUAGCGAGUUAAAACAUUCCGUGGAUUCUGAUAACCCGCCCUGCUCCUUUCCUUUGUAGUUAUGGGCACUAUCUCAAAAUGCAACAGGCGGCCAACCAAAGUUAAUGAUGCUUAUCUUGAUAAGUUUGUUUUGGCGGGUUAUCUUGACCCCAAAGAAGUUGUUGGCUGGCGAACCGCCUUUGGCGAGACAAUUCCUCAACCCGCCGAAGGAGAAGUAGUUGUCUUCGCCGAUCACUUCGAACGAGGCUUCAAGCCGCGUGGCUCCAUGUUUUUCAGAGAUGCUUUGCACUUUUCCAACCUUCAUCCUCAAGACGUGUGGACAAACUCCAUCAGCAAUCUCUGUCAGUUCCAAGUGUUUUGCGAAGCUUAUCUGCAAAUAGAACCCACAGUGUUACUGUUUAGGAAAUUUUUUCAUCUGAACCGCCAGACCGAGUUCGCCAGCGGGCCCUGCUUGGAACUUGGGGGGUUAACAUUCAACGACGUCGUGAAUGCGGGUUCCCAUCUGUUCUUCUGCCCAACCAUCCCAAAGGCUGGGCAGAGUCUUGGUUCUAUUGCUGCGACACAUCUCCACCCGACGAGAACCCACUUCCGGGUUUCAGAGAAGAACGAUUGCCCAUGGAUUUCAAGCUUCCAGAAAAACUAACUGAAGAAGAAGAAUCAACUUUUAUCCCCGCUUUCUCCAAGCUAAGGUCUUUGACCAACAAUGGGCUUACUGGGAUUGACCUAAUCCGUUCUUGGGUGGAGUGGAGGAUUCUGCCUUUGAGUCGCCGGGAGGGCCAUAUGUGUGAGUAUGAUGGUAGCUUGAACCACCCCCAAUGUUUCUUCCAUACAAGUCUUACUCAAGAAGACAUUGUUGAAAUUAUCAAGAAGUUAACUAGCGAGCCCUUAGAGAACUGCACCAAGAUUGGUCUCAAGCCUUUCUGUCUCUCCAACCCGGCUCCAGUGGUAACAACCUAAGCCGCCUCCUUUUAUUCUUUCAAAAUGUUUACCCAUGUUCCUAAUCCGAACUGUCACUAUAUCAAUCAGAGUAGUUCAGCGUUUUGGUCUCAAAAGCCCAAAGUGACUGUCCAAAAAACAACCAAGCCGCCUCCCAAUAAGAAGAAGAACAAGGGCAAAGCCGUCGCCAAGGAGUCAUCUAUCGUUGGCGAGUCUCGAGCCUCCGAAGAGCAAUCAGAGGUAAAAGUUACCUUUUCCUUAUUAUUGCGCACUAUCUUAUACUUAUGCUCCAUUACCUUUGUCCGUAGGAUGAUGGCUAUGGAAGCCAGGAUGACGCUGUCGAGGUAAUUUCUAUUUCUUCCGACUCAACUUCUUCUCCCCCCAAGACGGCCAGGUGAAUCUGUGCAAAAGUUCCCAUGUCUCACCCGAAUGCUCAUUUGGACCCCAAUUUCCUUUUGAAGAAGGCGAGUUACACCCCUAAACGCCAUACCCGAAGCCAUUCCGGCGACUUAAUGUCUGGGUUACCCGAAAAAGCAACUGGUUGAGAACGACAAAGUGAGGUAUGUUCCCACAAGUAUCUUUUCCUUCUUGUAUAAGAUUUGCUCGCCAUUCGUUCACUCCUUGAAUUUUCGCUCAUCUCGUUUCACCUCCUUCAUCUUGCGACUCAGUAAUGUCGACUCUCCCCCCAAUGAUUCGUGUUCAGGGGCAAGUUCCUUUACUAGACUUUUUUUCUUUCCAAUACCGAUGCAUGUCUUAACUUUUUUGCUUUUACAUCUCAGAGCACAAGCAAAGAAAAGGAAAACUAGCGGCUCAUCUUCUGCUACUAAGGCAGCUGAAGUAUUUGGUAUGAGCGGCCCUGUCCUAGAAUUUGGUGCAGAACCAGCGGCGACUGAUGAUGACCUUGUGGAUGAUUUUCCUGAUGUCCGGAUUGAUCCUUCAAGCCCUCUGAAGGAGCUAACUGAAAAUGUUAACCCACCAAGCACUUCCAAGGCGCCUGAAGACCUAGAUACCUUAGUUGUUACUGGUACUGGUCACUCUAAGCCUGCAACUGUGGUGUUAACAAAACAUGCAUCCAAAGAGGCCCACUCUUCUGCAGAACAAGACAUUACCAAGCUGAAGCUUCCCAAUUAUGAGAAACUUGAAUUUGAGCAACUCUACUCUGGUUUCGUAAGUCGUCUGGAAACAAGCUAUGAAAUGGAAAAGAGCUUGGCCAAUAUGAUGCGGAUAAAACAUGAGGUACGUCCUUUGUUAUUUGUAUUUCCACCCAUUAGCUUUCCAGAAGACUAGUUUCCUUUGAUGAAUUUUGUUAUGUGAGAGACCCAUAUCUUCCUGUAGCCCCCAAGGGCCGGGUCAUCUUUUAAAAGAUGAGUCGGGUCUUGAAUCUAGUAAAGAACUUCAACCUAUAGCCCCCAAGGGCCGGGUCAUCUUUUGAAAGAUGAGCCGGGUCUUGAAUUUAAUAAAAAAAACUUCAACCUCUAGCCCCCAAGGGUCGGGUCAUCUUUUGAAAGAUGAAUCGGGUCUUGAAUUUAGUAAAAAACUUCAACCUGUAGACCCCAAGGGCCGGGUCAUCUUUUCAAAGAUGAGUCGGAUCUUGAAUUUAGUAAAAACCUUCAACCUGUAGCCCCCAAGGGCCGGGUCAUCUUUUGAAAGAUGAGACGGGUCUUGAAUUUAGUAAAAAAACUUCAAUCUAUAGCCCCCAAGGACCAGGUCAUCUUUUGAAAGAUGAGCCGGAUCUUGAAUUUAGUAAAAAACUUCAACCUAUAGCCCCCAAGGGCCGGGUCAUCUUUUGAAAGAUGAGACGGGUCUUGAAUUUGAUAUGACUUGAAAAGAAUCAUACAUUAGCCCCCAAGUGUCAGGGAUGUUGCUUGUAAUAGUUCUGAAACUUGCUUCCCCAAAAUUUAUUUGCAGGAAUCCUUGACUCGGGCCGACUCAAUCUUGGAUAGUUUGAAAGAAAACUUAGCCGAACAGCAGGAUGCUCGAGCUAAGUUUGAAGAGAAAUAUCGCCUGACCCUUGCUGACAUGGAGAAGAUGAAAGUUGAACAUCAGAAAUUUGAAAAGAAAGCCCAUGCUGAUCAAGCCGCCAUCGUGAAGCGGGCGGAACAAGCCGAAGAAAAACUAGAAGCCGCUCUGCAAGAACUCUCCGGCUUAAAACAUCAGAUCUCCAACAUGACCCAAGCCAUCUUUGGUAAGGAUCAAUUCCCCUCAUCUAAAAAGGGCUGCAAAGUAUUUCAAAUGCUAAUUAUCUCAUUCUACCCUUCGUAGGUCCGCGAGCCUCCCACCUGCAGAAAGACUACAUUGUAAAGCUGAAGGCGAUUUAUACGUUCACAGAGUAGUUGUACACGGGAGACAUGAUGACCAUGAAGGCCGUGAUGGGCAACAAAGAGCCCAUAAAGUCCAUAAAACACAUGCUGGGUUGUCUAUCAACAUUGCCGCCACAAGUGGAAGAAUUAAAAAGAUCAGCCGCUAGGAAAGGAGCACUGACCACUUUAAGCCGGUGUCUGGCAUAUGCUCCUGAACUUAAGCCGGAGGAGGUCGGUGCUGGAUUUCCAGAAUUGAAGGAUGAUGAGUCGUAGUUCACCGAAGAGGACUACAACCAAUCUAUGCAAGCAUCUCGCACUGCGGCAACUCAGCUAGUAGCCAGCCUGGACUUAGGAAAAUACCAGGCAGCUUAUGAUGAGAGCAAUAAAAAGGUGACUCCUCCUUCAUACGAAGUCACCAACCUGACUCCUUGACGCCGUAAGAAUCCCUUUGACUUUGAUGUAAAUCUGUCUGCCAUCUUGAGCGAUGAAGAUGAGUUCGUCGCCUUGACCAAUUGCAAUUGGAAACUGGGCAACUUACAGAUCGAAGAUGGAGAAAGCUCGAAGCAGGGUGAUUCAAAGGCAGCUUGAAGUGACUGAGCAUGAAGUCGAUUCUCAAAGAAUAUGGUGAUCUUUUUCUGAUCGGGAGAUGAUUCCCGGGUGGCCUAGUGAGCCAUGUAAUAGUCUUAGGUAUCUGGAAAACAGUGUCACAACCAUAUCUUAUGUUGUUUGGAAGUUUUAACCUUCAGUAAUAUGAAUCGCCCUUUCCAAACCUGUGUCAUAGUUUGACAAAAAAAAUUCUUCAACCUGUUUAUGAGGGAAAACAUCAUAAGCUGACUCAAUGAGUCGCGACAAGUAAUAAACCGGCCCAGUGGGUCACGGCGAGUUGUAAACAAGGAGCCGGCUCAGUGAGUCGCGGCGAGUUAUACAAAUGUUUUAUUCAACCUUGCGGCAAUGCCACGAAGGUAGUCAUAAAAUUUGUCGGCUCGAUGAGUUACGAUAGGAUAGGACGAGUUUGCAAAACUCUAGUGCUACCCCAAGAAGGCUUUUGCAACAACCCAAGUUAUUUAGACCGACUGAUCAGGCGCGGGUCAAGCUUCAGUGAAGCAGGUUCAGUGAACCAACGGUUUGUCUAUUUUCCAUGUGUUGGCUCUUGCUGGCACCUUUCAUGUUUUAACCAAGGCAAGUUGAGGGUCCAAAAGCGGAUUGACUCGCCAAGAGUACAUGGGUCCAUAGGGCGAUUCGUCCAACACAUAGUCCAGUAUAACCAUUUGUAAUGCGGUAAUUUUUCGCUAGCCAAGAGGGUAUUCAGGCUGAACUCAGUGAGUGGAAGCCCCUAAGUGACCUAUGAUUAGGGGAAAAACCAGACAUGGGAUUGUAGAAGCGUAUCCGCUCUUACUGCAAAACGACUUGGGAGCUAGUAGCCCCCAAGUAAGCCGGCUUAAUUCUCAAAAUCAUAUAAGGCGCCCAUGUUUGAACCGUGCAACGUGGCAACUUUGGUCCUCUUUGGCUUACCAGUAUCCAGUUUUUAAAUAAGCACAUCAUGGCGACUUAUGCUCUUUGAUACUUAUAGCGUCCAUGCUUGGACGACUUAUAGAACAAUAAAGACUCAUGCUUUCAAGAAGCUGAAACGGCACAGGACCCCGAAGUUCGUGGGUGCCGGCUCUAUUGCUUUAUAAAUAAAAGAUUACAAAUUUGAGAUUGUAAAAAUAAAUAAGGAGCCCGUGGCUCUAAGUGUAGUAUGGCCGCAAGUGGGCGAUGUUCCAUGGGCGAGUUGUCUCAACCUCUGUCGUUGGCAGAUACGUCUCCAACGUAUCUACUUUUCCAAACUCUUUUGCCCUUGUUUUGGACUAUAAUUUGCGUGAUUUGAAUGGAACUAACCUGGAGUGAUGCUGUUUUCAGCAGAGUUGCCUUGGUGUUACUUUUGUGCAGAAAUCAAAGUUCUCCAAACGUCCUGAAAAUUUACGGGGAGUAGUUUUGGAAAAUAUCAAAAAUACAUGCGCCAGAAUCCACCUCAGGGGGUGGGCCAGUGGGCCACAAGCCCCUGCUCCACCACCACCCCCUGUUGGCGGUGGGCAGGCUUGUGGGGCCCACAGGCCUCUGCCGCCCGCAACUCCAGCUCUAUAAGUUGUCUUUUGUCCCAGAAAAAAUAAAAAAGAGAAGUUUUCGUCGCGUUUUCGAUACGGAGGCGCCGCCACCACCUGUUCUUCAUCUGGAGGGCAGAUCUGGAGUCCGUCUUGGGCUCCCUAGAGGGGAAAUCGUCGCCAUCGUCAUCAUCAACCUUCUUCCCUCUCCAAUUCCAUGAAGCUCUUCGUCGUUCGUGAGUAAUCUAUUCGUAGGCUGGCUGGACGGUGAUGAGUAGGAUGAGAUCUAUCAUGUAAUCGAGUUAGUUUUCACGGGGAUUGAUCCCUAGUAUCCACUAUGUUCUGAGAUUUGAUGUUGCUACUACUUUGCCAUGCUUAAUGCAUGUCACUAGGGCCCGAGUGCCAUGAUUUAAGAUCUGAAAUUAUUAUGUUGUCACCAAUAUNNNNGUGUUUUAGAUCCGAUGUUGCAAGUUGUAGUUACCUACUAUGUGUUAUGAUCCGGCAACCCCGGAGUGACAAUAACCGGAACCACUCCCGGUGAUGACCAUAGUUUGAGGAGUUCAUGUGUUCACCAAGUGCUAAUGCGUUGGUCCGGUUCUUUAUUAAAAGGAGAACCUUAAUAUCCCGUAGUUUCCUUUUGGACCCUGCUGCCACGGGAGGGAUGGACAAUAGAUGUCAUGCAAGUUCUUUUCCCUAAGCACGUAUGACGACACAAGGAAUGCAUGCCUACAUCACAUUGACGAACGGGAGCUAGCCACAUAUCUCUCCGUGUUAUAACUGUUGCAUGAUGAAUAUCAUCCAAACAAAUCACCGAUCCAAUGCCUACGAGUUUGUCCUACUGUUGCUACUGCCGUUACUUGUCUUGCGCUGCUACUACUGUUGCUACUGCCAUUACUUGUCUUGCUGUGCUGCUACUACUAUUGCUACUGUUGUUACUUGUCUUGCUCUGUUGCUGCCGCUACUGUUGCUACUACUGUCGCUUGCUACUGUUGCCACUUGCUACUGCUGUCACUACUGCUGUUCCUUGCCACUGUUAUUGCUCGUUACACUGCCGAUACCCGCUACUUUGUUGUUACUAAUUCGCUGUUACUAUUGUGCUUGCAGAUACUAAUCUUUCAGGUGUGGUUGAAUCUGACAAAUUCAGCUGCUAAUACUUCAGAGUAUACUCUCAUCUCCUGUAUGGCGUACCUACAAAUUUGGGUGGAAUACUCUACCCUCGAAAACUGCUGCGAACCCACGCGCUGGUGGGCCAUCAACAACAUUCUUCUAGUUUCAUUGCCGGGGAGUGCUAUCAGCAUUCUUCCGGUGCCGUUGCAGGAGAAGGUUAGUUGUUUAUAAGCAUUCGUCUAGCUAACACUAGAGAUUGCAGGAUCAGCCCUUUUCUGGAGUCAUUGCCAGGGAAGCACAGCUGACGUCAACAAUUUUCUGGCGCCGUUGCCGGGGAGGUAUUGCUAUAUUCUCUGAGUCACUUGGGAUUUAUAUCUGCUGAUCACUAUGAAGAAUUUGAAGGAUCCGAAGACCAAAGUCUUGCCUUCAACUACGAGGGGAGGUAAAGAAUUGCCAUCUAGCUCUGCACUUGAUUCACCUUCAGUUAUGAGUAAGUUUGCGACAUCACCUCCUGCUAGAAAUCUUGAUAUGUCGCAUGUGCUUGAUGAUGCUUGUGAUACUACUGCUAGAGAUGCUAUGCUUGAUACUAUGCCUGAUACUGCUAGAGAUGCUAUGCUUGAUACUAUGCUUGAUACUGCUAGAGAUGCUAUGCUUGAUACUGCUUUGCCUGACGAUGCUAGAGAUGCUAUUAUGCCUGAUGAUGCUAUGCUUGAUACUGCUAGAGAUACUCCUUUGCCUGAUGUUCCAUUGGGAGCGUUCCUUGAUACUCAUAUUGCUAGAGUUACUGCCAAUGCUCGUGAUGCUUCUGAUACUGCCGAUGCUAUUGAGAUAGAACCUGCUUUUGCUCCUGUUAGACCUAGCUCUCCUAGAUAUGAAUUGCCUGGUAUACCUGAGGGUUAUGUUAUGGAGGGAGAGAUAGCUGAGGAUUUUCUUGCGUGUAAGGAUGCCUAUGACGCUGAGAAAUUAAUUCUCAAGUGGAAGGAAAAAUCUCGGGAAGUUAGGAUGAGAAAUGAACCGAAGUUUGCUACUUCGCCUAUCUUUGUCACCGAUAAGGAUUAUGAAUUCUCUGUCGACCCUGAGNNNNNNNNNNNNNNNNNNNNNNNNNNNNNNNNNNNNNNNNNNNNNNNNNNNNNNNNNNNNNNNNNNNNNNNNNNNNNNNNNNNNNNNNNNNNNNNNNNNNGGAAAGCUGACGGCAUCUCUUCCUAAAACAGAAGACGAAGUAGGUUUGGGUUUGUUGGAUUGGAAACUGCUGAAAGGUUCAACGAUUUUUACUCGCCUACUAUAUAUAAGAACAAAAACAAAUUCCGCGUGCGUUCGUUCCUUACAUUUGUCACGCGACGGCAGGAAGAAGAGCUAAUGUGAAAAUCCCCUUUGGUGUGCUGAAGAUCAAACACAAGACAUAUGUUGCCUUGACCGCUUCCCCUAGGACUGAUUAUCCACCGCCGCUGUCUCCAGUCUAAUUAACCUCGCUUUGCUGACUGGCCCUGUCCCAGAAUCCAUCCCAAUAAUCACCGUCAGCGAGAAAACAAACAAAGCCAAGCGAAACAAAACGCGUCCGCGUGGUCGCGUCCUUCCCUUCUUCUUCUCACCUUUGCCUCCUCUUCCAGCUCUCAGUAACAGCGGCAUCCGGCGCCACUAAUUAAUUGCAGCUGUAGCACCGCCCGCCCGCCCGCUCCGUGGAGCUUACAAGCACCAGCGAGGAGAGUCGAGGCGCGCACGUGGGUGGGUCUGCGCGCGCCGUCCACCUCCUUCACCACCGCCACCAGGCCACCGUCGUCGUCCUAGAUCCAACAGCCUUUGCCCUGGACUUCCUCAGCGGCUAGUGGCGGAGGGACGCGCGAUGGCUGCCGGCCGUGGGCUCCCGCUCCUCCUCGUCCUGGCCGCCCUCCUGGUCGGGCUCGCCUCCGCUUCCCCCUUCAUCUCCGGUGCGCUCCCUGCUCCUGCUCUGCUCUGCUGUCUCGGCGGUUCGCGUUACGCUUCGCAGCGGCUUGUGUUCUGACGGAUUACUCUCGUCGUGCUGUUUUUUUUUUUUUUNNNNNNNNNNNNNNNNNNNNNNNNNNNNNNNNNNNNNNNNNNNNNNNNNNNNNNNNNNNNNNNNNNNNNNNNNNNNNNNNNNNNNNNNNNNNNNNNNNNNGUGGACACCGUGUUGUCGCGUGGACGAAAGUUUGCAUGCCAAGGUGGGCUGGGAGUUCCGGAUUUACUGGCUGAAUCUAGCCCCUCGAAGCCCAAUGGCCUUGGCUGCAAUGCACGCACACACACUUCGAGGCCUUAGAAGGGGUUUGGCAUCAAAGUACCGGCGAAGGCGAGAGCGAUCUUUCAGACAACAGCAACCACUACUGUGGGGGACGGCCAAAACACGCUCUUUUGGGAAGACAAGGUGGAUGCAAGGGCUCGGGAUUCAGGACUUGGCGCCAAGACUAUAUAUCCGCACUUCGCCAAGAGUCUAAAGUGUUCGGACAGUAUUUGACGAGCUGUAAGAUGGCACUUGGGCCAGAGAUGUCGGGCUCAACAUAUAUCACCCAACGCUCGUGGAAUUCCUUACCACCCGGGAGCAAACACAAGAUGUUCAGCUAGCUCCCAACGAGCGGGACACCACAUGGUGGGCUUGUGAGAUAAUGGAUGCUACACCGCAAGCUAUGCUUACGCAUCAAAGUUUUGAGGCCGACAAGUGGCGCCGUACGCGGUAUUCGUGUGGAAAUCAAAGGCCCCGCUCCAGUGCCAUUUUUUCUCAUGGUUUGCGGCCCAGAACAUGUGCUGGACGUCGGAUCGCCUUGCACGACACGACCUACCCCAUCAAGACGCAUGUGAAAGCACAAUUUCCCCCUAAGGUGGUUUUGGUAAUUAAUAAUAACAUAUGCGUCAUUUAACUAAUGAUUCUAUACAAGUAUAUUUCAGAAAAUUUCAAAGAUGCAUUGGUUAAAGGAUUGUGAGGAGAUACCCCUUGAUGCAAGGAAAAGGAAUAUGAUUGACCAAGCUUCAAGCUACAAGACUCAACAUUUUAUAUUUGUGAGAAAUCACAUUUUAGUUCAUAGGAAAGCCAAUACUAUUAAAAGGGGUGAGGUAUCUAUGAUGAAUUGGUUGCUCAAGUGCUUAGAGAUAGCCACCAAAAAUACUCAGUCAUUCUCCCACAAUAUUCUCUGUCCAAAGCCUAAACAUCAAAAUCGAUGCCACCAAAAAUUUCAACCCGGCCCUACCGAUUUUUACAGGGACAUAACCUUUGCCAAACCCUAGAAUGUCGGUACCACCAACUUCCACUUUGGUGCCAAUGAAAAUCAGUGACCAACUUUCUGGUCUGUCGAUUUCAAAAAUUGAAAUUUGGAGUUUUGAAGUCGGCCUCACCGAGAUUUGGUAACUGCCCUAGGUCACCAUAUUGGUACCACCAAGAUUCCUAUAUCGGUCUCGCUGAGAAUUCGAAAGUUUCCACAUUUAGUGCAACUCGAUGCCACCGAGAUUCGUUUUGAUUUCACCGAGUUGGGCAAUAAUUUUGUAACGGUUGGAUUUUUGGAGAUGCCUAUAUAUACCCAUCCACCACCUCUCAUUCGUAGAGUAAGCACUCAGAACACACACACUUUCCAUAUCCAUUUUUCAGAGAGAGAACCACCUACUCAUGUGUUGAGAUCAAGAUAUUUCAAUCCAUCCAUUAGAAACUUGAUCUCUAGCAUCCCCAAGUUGCUUUCCACCCAAUCAAUCUCUUCUACCCAUGCCAAAUCUAUGAGAGAGUGGUUGAGUAUUGAGGAGACUAUCUUUUGAAGCACAAGAGCAACGAGUUCAUCGUUCUACCACAUCUAUUAUCUUUUGGACGGUGGUGCCUCCUAGAUUGGUUAGGUGUCGCUUGGGAGCCUCCUACUUCAUGUUGUGGAGUUGGACCAAGAAGUUUGUUUGGGCAAGGAGAUCGUCUACUUCGUGAAGAUCUACCCGAGUGAGGCUACACUACCACAAGAUUGUCCAAACACGACACUACAAUCAGAGACCCUUCAAUGAAACUGUAUGCGAUGCAUUAAUCGCAAACGGUGUUGUAAGAAAACCGUAAAAAAUGAAAAAAACUAUUUGUGAUGGCACAGACAUCAAACACGAUUCAGAUCAGAGCUGCGUGUGCGAUGCAUGGCAAACAGUUAAUCCAUAUGAAUUAUUUGCGAUUAUACAGAACAAUAGAAACAGUCAGCCAAAUGAGGGUGUGUGCGAUAUACGAAAUAAAGUUCAGUGGGAUGAAUUGUCUGUGAUUAGGCAACACAACAGAAAUGUUCAGCAAGAUCAAGGUGUGUGCGAUGGAGGGCAUAUAGUUCACUUGGAUGAACUGUUUGCGAUGAGUCAAUGUUGGGGAUCGUAGUAAUUUCAAAAAAAUUCCUACGCCAUACAAGGAUGUAUCUAUGGAGAUACCAGCAACGAGUGAAGUAGUAGAGCAUCUUCAUACCUUUGAAGAUCGCUAAGCGGAAGCGUUGCUAGAACGUGGUUGAUGGAGUCGUACUUGCAGCGAUUUAGAUCGCGGUAGAUUCUGAUCUAUGCACCGAACGACGGUGCCUCCGUGUUCAACACACGUACAACCCGGUGACGUCUCCUCCUUCUUGAUCCAACAAGGAGAGAGGAGAAGUUAAGGGAGAGCUCCGGCAGCACGACGGUGUGGUGGCGGUGGAGCUACGUGGUUCUCCGGUAGGGCUUCGCCAAGCGUUGCGGAGGAGGAAAAAGAGAGAGGUAGGGCUGCGCCGUGGGAGAGAGAUGAAUUGUUGUGUCUCAAAAAUCCCCAAACCUCAAGUAUAUAUAGUAGGAGGGAGAGGGAGGGCUGCCUUGGCCCCUCAACCAAGGAGGAGAGGUUCGGCCGAGCUAGGGAGGAGUCCACCUCCCACAAGGGAGGUGGAUUCCUUCCUUUUAAAUCCUCUUUUGCCCCAUCUCUUUAUCCCUAGCCGCAUGGGCCUUUAGGGAAGGCCUUGGCCAGCCUAAUAAGGGAUGGUACACCUCCUCUAACAGCCCAUAAAGUCCUUUGGUCGUCACACCCCUCCCCGGGGUCCUCCGGCACCCUCCCGGCACUCCCGGUACACUACCGAUGAGCCCGAAACUUUUUCGGUGACCAAAACAGGACUUCCUAUAUAUCAAUCUUUACCUCCAGACCAUUCCGGAGCUCCUCGUGACGUCUGGGAUCUCAUCCCGGACUCCGAACAAACUUCGGUAACCACAUACUAUUCCCUUUACAACUCUAGCGGCAUCAAACCUUAAGUGUGUAGACCCUACGGGUUCGGGAGACAUGCAGACAUGACCGAGACAUCUCUCCGACCAAUAACCAACAGCGAGGUCUGGAUAUCCAUGUUGGUUCCCACAUUUUCCACGAUGAUCUCAUCGGAUGAACUAUGAUGUCAAGGAUUCAAUCAAUCCCGUAUGCAAUUCCUUUUGUCUACCGGUAUGAUACUUGCCCGAGAUUCGAUCGUCGGUAUCCCCAUACCUUGUUCAAUAUCGUUACUGGCAAGUCUCUUUACUCGUUCUGUAGCACAUCAUCCCAUGACUAACUCCUUAGUCACACCGAGCUCAAUAUGAUGAUGGAUUACCGAGUGGGCCCCGAGAUACCUCUUCGUCACACGGAGUGACAAAUCCUAGUCUUGAUUCGCACAACCCAAUACACUUUUGGUGAUACCCGUAGUGCACCUUUAUAAUCACCCAGUUACGUUGUAACGUUUGAUACACCCAAAGCACUCCUACGGUAUCUGGGAGUUGCACAAUCUCAUGGUAUAAGAAAAUGAUACUUGACAUUAGAAAAGCUUUAGCAGACGAACAUCACGAUCUAGUGCUAUGCUUAGGAUUGGGUCUUGUCCAUCACAUCAUUCCCCAAUGAUGUGAUCCCGUUAUCAACGACAUCCAUUGUCCAUGAUCAGGAACCCAUGAUCAUAUAUUGAUCAACGAGCUAGCCAACUGAGGCUCACUAGGGACACAUUGUGAUCUAUAUAUUCACACAUGUAUUACGGUUUCCGGUUAAUACAAUUAUAGCAUGAAUAAUAGACAAUUAUCAUGAACUAGGAAAUAUAAUAAUAACCACUUUAUUAUUACCUCUAGGGCAUUUUUCCAACAGUCUCCCACUUGCACUAGAGUCAAUAAUCUAGUUACAUUGUGAUGAAUCGAACACCCAUAGAGUGCUGGUGUUGAUCAUGUUUUGCUCGUGGAAGAGGUUUAGUCAACGGGUCUGUGACAUUCAGAUCCGUGUAUACUUUACAAAUUUCUAUAUCUCCAUCCUGGAUGUAUCCACGAAUGGAGUUGAAGUGGCGCUUGAUGUGCUUGGUUUUCUUGUGAAACCUGGGCUCCUUUGCAAUGGCAAUAGCUCCAGUUUUGUCACAGAACAGAGUCAUCGGGCCCGACGCACUUAGAAUCAUUCCUAGGUCGGUGAUGAACUCCUUCAUCCAGACUCCUUCCUGUGCUGCUUCCGAAGAAGCUAUGUACUCCACUUCACAUGUAGAUGCCGCCACGAUGCUUUGCUUGCAACUGCACCAGCUAACUGCCCCAUUAUUCAAAAUGUACACGUAUCUGGUUUGUGACUUGGAGUCAUCAGAAUCUGUGUUGAAGCUAGUAUCGACGUAACCCUUUACGACAAGCUCUUCGGCACCUCCAUAAACGAGAAACAUAUCUUUAGUCCUUUUCACGUACUUAAUGAUGUUCUUGACCGCUGUCCAGUGAUCCACUCCUGGAUCAUUCUGGUACCUCCCUACCAAACUUAUGGCAAGGUUCACAUCAGGUCUGGUACACAGCAUGGCAUACAUGAUAGAGCCUAUGGCUGAAGCAUAGGGGACGAUACUCAUCUUUUCUCUAUCUUCCACCGUGGUCGGUCGUUGAGUCGCACUCAACCUCACACCUUGUAAUACUACAAGAACCCCUUCUUAGCCUUCUCCAUAUUGAACUUCUUCAAUAUCUUGUCAAGGUAUGUGCUUUGUGAAAGACCUAUGAGGCGUCUCGAUCUAUCUCUAUAGAUCUUGAUGCAUAAUAUGUAAGCAACUUCUCCAAGGUCCUUCAUUGAAAAACUCUUAUUCAAAUAGGCCUUUAUGAUUUCCAAUAGUUCUAUAUCAUUUCCCAUCAACAAUAUGUCAUCCACAUAUAAUAUGAGAAAUGCUACAAAGCUCCCACUCACUUUCUUGUAAAUACAGGUUUCCCCAUAAGUCUGUACAAACCCAAACGCUUUGAUCACCUCAUCAAAGCGAAUGUUCCAACUCCGAGAUGCUUGUACUGGCCCAUAGAUGGAGCGCUGGAGCUUGCAUACCUUGUUAGGAUUGCUAGGAUCGACAAAACCUUCCGACUGUAUCAUAUACAAUUCUUCCUUAAGAAAGCCGUUCAGGAAUAUUGUUUUGACGUCCAUUUGUCAGAUUUCAUAACCAUAGAAUGCGGAAAUUGCUAACAUGAGAAGGUCUCAUCGUAGUCAAUCCCUUGAACUUGUCGACAACCCUUAGCGACAAGUCGAGCCUUAUAGAUGGUCACAUUACCAUUCGCGUCAGUCUUCUUCUUGAAGAUCCAUUUUUUUAUGGCUCGCCGAUCAUCGGGCAAGUCCACCAAAGUCCAUACUUUGUUCAAAUACAUGGAUCCUAUCUCGGAUUUCAUGGCCUCAAGCCAUUUGUUGGAAUCCGGGCCCGCCAUCGCUUCUUCAUAGUUCGAAGGUUCACUAUUGUCCAACAACAUGAUUUACAUGACAGGGUUGCCGUACAUUAUGGUGCGGAACGUACCCUUGUCGACCUUCGAGGUUCAAUAGCAACUUGAUCCGAAGCAUCAUGAUCAUCAUCAUUAACUUCUUCUCUUGCCGGUGCGGGCGCUUCAGAAACAUUUUCUUGCGCUGCGCUACUCCCCGGUUCGAGAGGAGGUAUAAUUACCUCAUCAAGUUCUAUUUUCCUCCCACUUACUUCUUUCGAGAGAAACUCUUUCUCUAGAAAGGAUCCGUUCCUAGCAACAAAGAUCUUGCCUUCGGAUCUAAGAUAAAAGGUGUACCCAAUAGUUUCCUUAGGGUAUCCUAUGAAGAUGCAUUUUUCUGGUUUGGGUUCGAGCUUCUCUGGUUGAAGUUUCUUCACAUAAGCAUCGCAACCCCAAACUUUCAGAAAUGACAGCUUAGGUUUCUUGCCAAACCAUAAUUCAUACCGUGUCGUCUCAACGGAUUUAGACGGUGCCCUAUUUAAAGUGAAUGCGGUAGUUUCCAAUGCAUAUCCCCAAAAUGAUAGCGGUAAAUCAGUAAGAGACAUCAUAGAUCGUACCAUAUCUAAUAGAGUGCGAUUACAACGUUCACACACACCGUUACGCUGCGGUGUGCCUGGCGGCGUGAGUUGUGAAACAAUUCCACAUUUCCUUAGGUGCGUGCCAAACUCGUGACUCAAAUAUUCUCCUCCACGAUCAGAUCGUAGAAACUUUAUUUUCUUGUCACGUUGAUUCUCCACCUCAUUCUGAAAUUCCUUGAACUUUUCAAAGGUUUUAAACUUGUGCUUCAUUAAGUAGACAUACCCAUAUCUACUCAAAUCAUUAGUGAGGGUGAGAACAUAACGAUAGCCUCCGCGAGCUUCAAUGUUUAUUGGACCGCAUACAUUAGUAUGCAUUAUUUCCAAUAAGUUGGUUGCUCGCUCCAUUAUUCCGGAGAAUGGUGUCUUGGUCAUCUUGCCCAUGAGGCACGACUCGCAUGUGUCAAAUGAUUCAAAAUCAAGAGACUCCAAAAGUCCAUCAGUAUGGAGUUUCUUCAUGCGCUUUACGCCGAUAUGACCAAGGCGGCAGUGCCACAAGUAUGUGGGACUAUGAUUAUCAACCUUACAUCUUUUGGUACUCACACUAUGAAUAUGUGUAUCAUCACGAUCGAGAUUCAUCAGGAAUAAACCAUUUACCAGCGGGGCAUGACCAUAAAACAUACCACUCAUAUAAAUAGAACAACCAUUAUUCUCAGAUUUAAAUGAGUAGCCAUCUUGCAUCAAGCGAGAUCCCGAUACAAUGUUCAUGCUUAAAGCUGGUACUAAAUAACAAUUAUUAAGCUUUAUAACUAAUCCCGAAGGUAGAUAUAGAGGUAGCGUGCCGACAACGAUCACAUCGACCUUGGAACCAUUCCUGACGCGCAUCGUCACCUCAUCCUUAGCCAACCUACGCUUGUUCCGCAGUUCCUGCUUAGAGUUGCAAAUGUGAGCAACAACACCGGUAUCAAAUACCCAGGAGCUACUACAAGCGCUGGUAAGGUACACAUCAAUAACAAGUAUAUCACAUAUACCUUUGACGUUGCCGGCCUUCUUGUCCGCUAAGUACUUGGGGCAAUUCCGCUUCCAGUGACCGAUUCCCUUGCAGUAAUAGCACUCAGUCUCAGGCUUGGGUCCUUUCUUUUACUUCUUCCCGGCAACUGGCUUACCGGGCACGACAACUGCUUUGCCGUCUUUCUUGAAGCUUUUCUUACCCUUGCCCUUCUUGAAACUGAUGCUCUUUCAUGAUUUCUACCUCCGCAGAUUUCAACAUUGAAUACAACUCAGGAAUAGUCUUUUCCAUCCCUUGCAUGUUGUAAUUCAUCACAAAGCCUUUAUAGCUUGGUGGAAGCGACUCGAGGAUUCUGUCAAUGACCGCAUCAUCUGGAAGUUCAACUCCCAGCUGAGUCAAGCGGUUGUGCAACCCAGACAUUCUGAGUAUGUGCUCACUGACAUAACUAUUCUCCUCCAUCUUACAGCUAAAGAACUCGUCGGAUACUCCAUAUAUCUCGACUCGGGCAUGAGCUUGAAAAAUAAUUUUCAGAUCCUCGAACAUCUCAUAUGCUCCGUGAUGCUCCAAACGCCUUUGGAGCCCCGGUUCUAAACUGUAAAGCAUGUCGCACUGAACGAGAGAGUAGUCAUCACUCCGCGAGUGCCAGGCGUUCCCAACGUCCUGAUCUGCCGCAGGAACGGGAGGAUCACCUAGUGGUGCCGUAAGGACAUAUGCCUUCUUGGCAGCAUUGAGGAUGAGCUUUAAGUUACGAGCCCAAUCCGCAUAGUUGCUCCCAUCGUCUUUCAGCUUGGUUUUCUCUAGGAACGCGUUGAAGUUGAAUGAGACAUUUGCGUUGUCCAUUUGAUCUACAAUAUUUGUAAAUACACUAUUAGACUAAGUUCAUGAUAAUUAAGUUCAUCUAAUCAAAUUACUAAUGAACUCCCACUUAGAUCGACAUCCCUCUAGUCAUCCAAGUGACACAUGAUCCACGUCGACUAGCCCGUGUCCGAUCAUCACGUGAGACGGACUAGUCAUCAACGGUGAGCAUCUCUAUGCUGAUCGUAUCAACCAUACGACUCAUGUUCGACCUUUCGGUCUCCCAUAUUCGAGGUCAUGUCUGUAGAUGCUAGGAUCGGCGAGUCAACCUAAGUGUUCUGCGUGUGUAAACUGGCUUACACGCGUUGUAUGCGAUAGAAUCUAUCACACCCGAUCAACAUGUGGUGCUUCGAAACAACGAACCUUCGCAACGGUGCACACUUAGGGGAAUACAUAUCUCGAAAUUUUAAUGAGGGAUCAUCUUAUAUUUGCUACCGUUGUUCUAAGCAAUACGAUGUAAAACAUGAUAAACAUCACAUGCAAUCAUAUAGUGACAUGAUAUGGCCAAUAUCAUCUUGCUCCUUUGAUCACCAUCUUCGGGGCACCAUGAUCAUCAUCAUCACCAUGGGUAUCGUAGUAAUUUCAAAAAAAUUCCUACGCCAUACAAGGAUCUAUCUAUGGAGAAACCAGCAACGAGUGAAGUAGUAGAGCAUCUUCAUACCUUUGAAGAUCGCUAAGCGGAACCGUUGCUAGAACGGGGUUGAUGGAGUCGUACUCGCAGCGAUUCAGAUUGCGGUAGAUUCUGAUCUAUGCACCGAACAACGGUGCCUCCCUGUUCAACACACGUACAGCCCGGUGAUGUCUCCUCCUUCUUGAUCCAGCAAGGAGAGAGGAGAAGUUGAGGGAGAGCUCCGGCAGCACGACGGCGUGGUGGCGGUGGAGCUAUGUGGUUCUCCGGCAGGGCUUCGCCAAGCGCUACGGAGGAGGAAGAAGAGAGAGGUAGGGCUGUGCCGUGGGAGAGAGAUGAAUUUUUGUGUCUCAAAAAUCCCAAAACCUCAAGUAUAUAUAGGAGGAGGGAGAGGGAGGGCUGCCUUGGCCCCUCCUCCAAGGAGGAGAGGUUCGACCGAGCUAGGGAGGAGUCCACCUCCCACAAGGGAGGUGGAUUCCUUCCUUUUAAAUCCUCUCUUGCCUUAUCUCUUUAUCCCUAGCCGCAUGGGCCUUUAGGAAAGGCCUUGGCCAACCCAAUAAGGGCUGGUCCACCUCCUCUAACAGCCCAUGAAGUCCUUUGGUCGUCACACCCCUCCCGGGGGAGGGGGUCCUCCGGCACCCUCCCGGCACUCGUGGUACACUACCGAUGAGCCCGAAACUUUUUCAGUGACCAAAACAGGACUUCCUAUAUAUCAAUCUUUACCUCCGGACCAUUACAGAGCUCCUCGUGAUGUCCGGGAUCUCAUACGGGACUCUGAAGAACCUUCAGUAACCACAGACCAUUCCCUUUACAACUCUAGCGUCAUCAAACCUUAAGUGUGUAGACCCUACGGGUUCGGAAGACAUGCAGACAUGACCGAGACAUCUCUCCGGCCAAUGACCAACAGUGGGGUCUGGAUAUCCAUGUUGGUUCCGACAUGUUCCACGAUGAUCUCAUCGGAUGAACCACAAUGUCAAGGAUUCAAUCAAUCCCGUAUGCAAUUCCCUUUGUCUACCGAUAUGAUACUUGCCCGAGAUUCGAUCGUCGGUAUACCCAUACCUUGUUCAAUCUCGUUACUGGCAAGUUGUUGGGGAAAGUUGCAUGGGAAACAAAAAAAUUCCUAUGCACACGGAGACCUAUCAUGGUGAUGUCCAUCUACGAGUGGAGAUUAGAUCUACAUACCCUUGUAGAUCGCACAUCGGGAAGCGUUAAGAAACGCGGUUGAUGUAGUGGAACGUCUUCACGUCCCUCGAACCGUCCCACGAACCGUCUCGCGAUCCGUCCCGCGAUCCGUUCAUAUCUAGCGCUGAACGGAUGACACCUCCGCAUUCAGCACACGUACAAGUCAACAAUGAUCUCGGCCUUCUUGAUCCAGCAAGCAAGACGGAGAAGUAGAUGAGUGCUCCGGCAGCAUGAUGGCGCUCCGGUGGUGGUGAUGAUCUACUCCUCAGGGCUCCGCCUGAGCUCCGUAGAAAUCUGAUCUAGAGGUAAAACUAUGUGGAAUAGGCUAGAGUUGCACGUGGAAAAGUUGUGUCCCAAAAAGCCCUAAACCACCACUAUAUAUAGGAGGAAGGGGGAGGGGCUAGCCUUGAGGCACAAGGCCUCAAGGUGCACCGGCCUCCAGGAGGAGGAGGACUCCUCCUCCAAUUCGGUUUGGGAAGGACUCCUUCUCUUCCUUCCCACCUCCCACCUCCCUCUUUCCUUUUUGUUUUUAUGUUCUUUUGGUAUUUUCUUAUGUGGCGCCAUAGCCCUCUUGGGCUGACUCCACCAGCCCAAUAAGGACUUGUGGCGCCACCCUAGGGCCUUGGGCUCACUCCCGGGUGGCUGGGCCCCUCCCGGUAAACACCCCGAACCCAUUCGUCACUCCCGCUACACUACCGGAAUUGCCCGAAACUUUCCGGUGACCAAAUGAAACCAUCCUAUAUAUCAAUCUUCGUUUCCGGACCAUUACGGAAACCCUCGUGACGUCCAUGAUCUCAUCCGGGACUCCGAACAACAUUCGGUAACCACCCAUAUAACUUAACUGUACUAAAACAUCAUCGAACCUUAAGUGUGCAGACCCUACGGGUUCGAGAACUAUGCAGACAUGACUAGAGACACUCCUCGGUCAAUAUCCAAUAGCGGGACUUGGAUGCCCAUAUUGGAUCCUACAUAUUCUCCAAAGAUCUUAUCGAUUGAACCUUAGUGCCAAGGAUUCAUAUAAUCCCGUAUGUCAUUCCCUUUGUCCUUCAGUAUGUUACUUGCCCGAGAUUCGAUCGCCGAUAUACGCAUACCUAUUUCAAUCUCGUUACCGGCAAGUCUCUUUACUAAUUUCGUAAUACAAGAUCCCNNNNNNNNNNNNNNNNNNNNNNNNNNNNNNNNNNNNNNNNNNNNNNNNNNNNNNNNNNNNNNNNNNNNNNNNNNNNNNNNNNNNNNNNNNNNNNNNNNNNNNNNNNNNNNNNNNNNNNNNNNNNNNNNNNNNNNNNNNNNNNNNNNNNNNNNNNNNNNNNNNNNNNNNNNNNNNNNNNNNNNNNNNUUACCGAGUGGGCCCCAAGAUACCUCUCCGUCACACAGAAUGACAAAUCCCAGUCUUGAUCCAUACUAACUCAACGGACACCUUCGAAGAUACCUAUAGAACACCUUUAUAGUCACCCAGUUACGUUGCGACGUUUGAUGCACAUAAGGUAUUCCUCCGGUGGCAGUGAGUUAUAUGAUCUCAUGGUCAUAGGAAUAAUACUUGACACACAGAAAACAAUAGCAAUAAAACAACACGAUCAAUAUGAUACAUUCAUAGUUUGGGUCUAGUCCAUCACAUGAUUCUCCUAAUGAUGUGAUCGAGUUAUCAAGCAACAACAAUUUCACAUAGUUAGAAAACCUUGACUAUCCUUGAUCAACUGGCUAGCCAACUAGAGGCUUGCUAAGGACAUUGUUUUGUCUAUGUAUCCACACAUGUAUCUAUGUUUUCAUUCAAUACAAUUAUAGCAUGGAUAAUAAACGAUUAUCUUUGUAACAGGAAAUAUAAUAAUAACUAUUUAUCAUUGCCUCUAGGGCGUAUUUCCAACAGUCUCCCACUUGCACUAGAGUCAAUAAUCUAGUCCUCACAUUGCCAUGUGAUUUACAUUGUAAUAAAUCUAACACCCAUACAGUUCUGGUGUUGAUCAUGUUUUGCCCAUGGAAGAGGUUUAGUCAGCGGGUCUGCUACAUUCAGAUCCGUGUGCACUUUGCAAAUAUUCACGUCCUCUCCUUCGACGUAGUCGCGGAUGAGGUUGAAGCGUCGUUUGAUGUGUCUGGUCUUCUUGUGAAACCUUGGUUCCUUUGCUAGAGCAAUGGCACCAGUGUUGUCACAGAACAUAGUUAUUGGAUUUAGUGCGCUCGGCACAACUCCAAGAUCCGUCAUGAACUGCUUCAUCCAGACACCCUCCUUUGCUGCCUUCGAGGCAACCAUGUACUCCGCUUCACAUGUAGAAUCUGCUAUGAUGCUUUGCUUGGAACUGCACCAGCUUACCGCAGCCCCAUUAAGAAUAAAUACGUAUCCGGUUUGUGACUUAGAGUCAUCUGUAUCGGUGUCAAAGCUUGCAUCGACGUAACCCUUUAUGACGAGCUCUUCAUCACCUCCAUAAAUGAGAAAAAUUUCCUUAGUCCUUUUCAGGUACUUAAGGAUAUUCUUGAUCGCCGCCCACUGAUCCACUCCUGGAUUACUCUGAAACCUGCCUGCCAUACUUAUGGCCAAGCUGACAUGUGGUCUAGUGCACAACAUUGCAUACAUGAUAGAACCUAUGGCUGAAGCAUAGGGGACGGAACUCAUUUGUUCUCUAUCUUCUGUAGUUGCUGGGCACCGAGUCUUACUCAAUUUUAUACCUUGUAACACUGGCAAGAACCCUUUCUUGGACUGUUCCAUUUUGAACUUCUUCAAAACUUUAUCAAGGUAUGUACUUUGUGAAAGUCCUAUCAGGCGUCUCAAUCUAUCCCUAUAGAUCUUAAUGCCUAGAAUGUAAGCAGCUGCUCCUAGGUCCUUCAUAGAGAAACUUUUUUUCAAGUAAUCCUUUACGCUCUCCAAAAACUCCACGUUGUUUCCAAUCAGCAAUAUGUCAUCCACAUAUAAUAUUAGAAACGCCACAGAGCUCCCACUCACUUUCUUGUAAAUACAAGAUUCUCCAACCACUUGUAUAAACCCGAAUGCUUUGAUCACCUCAUCAAAGCGCUUAUUCCAACUCCGAGAUGCUUGCACUAGUCCAUAAAUGGAUCGCUGGAGCUUGCACACUUUGUUAGCAUUCUUUGGAUCGACAAAACCUUUGGGUUGCAUCAUAUACAACUCUUCCUUAAGAAAACCGUUAAGGAACGCCGUUUUUACAUCCAUCUGCCAGAUUUCAUAAUCGAAAAAUGCAGCUAUUGCUAACAUGAUUCAGACGGACUUAAGCAUCGCUACCGGUGAGAACGUCUCAUCGUAGUCAACUCCUUGAACUUGUGAAAAACCCUUUGCCAGAAGUCGAGCUUUAUAAACUAUCACAUUACCGUCUGCGUCCGUCUUCUUCUUAAAGAUCCAUUUGUUCUGAAUAGCCUUGCGGCCUUCAGGUAGUACUUCCAAAGUCCACACUUUGUUUUCGUACAUAGAUCCUACCUCGUACUUCAUGGCCUCCAGCCAUUUGUUGGAAUCUGGGCCCACCAUUGCUUCUUCAUAAUUCGCAGGUUCAUUGUUGUCUAACAACAUGAUUGAUAAGACAGGAUUAUCGUACCACUCAGGAGUAGUACGUAUUCUUGUCGACCUGCGAGGUCCGAUAGGAACUUGAUCCGAAUUUUCAUGAUCAUCAUGAUCAACUUCCUCCUCAAUCGGUGUCGCAACGACAAGGGUUUCCCCUUGCCCCGCGCCACCCUCUAGAGGGACUAGAGGUUCGACAACCUCAUCAAGUUCUAUCUUCCUCCCACUCAAUUCGUUCGAGAGAAACUACUUCUCAAGGAAAGCUCCGUUUUUAGCAGCAAACACUUUGCCCUCGGAUUUGAGAUAGAAGGUGUACCCAACUGUCUCCUUUGGGUGACCUAUGAAGACGCACUUUUCCGCUUUGGGUUCCAGCUUUUCAGGCUGAAGCUUUUUGACAUAAGCAUCACAUCCCCAAACUUUAAGAAACAACAAUUUUGGUCUUUUGCCAUACCACAAUUCGUAUGGUGUCAUCUCAACGGAUUUUGAUGGUGCCCUAUCUAAAGUGAAUGCAGAUGUCUCUAAUGCAUAACCCCAAAAUGAUAACGACAAAUCAGUAAGAGACAUCAUAGAUCGCACCAUUUCUAACAAAGUACGAUUAUGACGUUCGGACACACCAUUACGCUGUGGUGUUCUAGGCGGUGUCAACUGUGAAACAAUUCCACAUUGUCUUAAGUGAGCACAAAACUCGAAACUCAGAUAUUCACCCCCAUGAUUAGACCGUAGGAACUUGAUCUUCUUGUUACGAUGAUUUUCAACUUCACUCUGAAAUUGCUUGAACAUCUCAAACGUUUCAGACUUGUGCUUCAUCAAGUAGAUAUAUCCAUACCUACUCAAAUCGUUAGUGAAGGUGAGAAAAUAACAAUAUCCGCCGCGCGCCUCCACACUCAUCGGACCGCACACAUCGGUAUGUAUGAUUUCCAACAAGACACUUGCACGCUCCAUUGUUCCGAAGAACGAAGUCUUAGUCAUCUUGCCCAUGAGGCAUGGUUCGCACGUGUCAAGUAAUUCAAAGUCAAGUGACUCCAAAAGUCCAUCGGAAUGGAGUUUCUUAAUGCGCUUUACACCAAUAUGACCUAAGCGACAGUGCCACAAAAACAUGGCACUAUCAUUGUUAACUCUAAAUCUUUUGGUCUCAAUGUUAUGUAUGUGUGUAUCGCUAUCAAGAUUCAAUAUGAACAAUCCUCUCACAUUGGGUGCAUGACCAUAAAAGAUAUUACUCAUAGAAAUAGAACAACCAUUAUUCUCUGACUUAAACGAGUAACCGUCUCGCAAUAAACAAGAUCCAGAUAUAAUGUUCAUGCUUAACACACGCACUAAAUAACAAUUAUUUAAGUUCAUAAGUAAUCCUGAUGGUAACUGAAGUGAAUCUAUGCCGACGGCGAUUGCAUCAACCUUGGAACCAUUUCCCACGCGCAUCGUCACUUCAUCCUUCGCCAGCCUUCGUUUAUUCCGCAGUUCCUGUUUCGAGUUGCAAAUAUGAGCAACAGAACCGGUAUUGAAUACCCAGGCACUACUACGAGAGUUGGUUAAGUACACAUCAAUAACAUGUAUAUUGAAUAUACCUAAUUUUUCCUUGGCCGCCUUCUUAUUAGCCAAAUACUUGGGGCAGUUGCGCUUCGAGUGACCCAGUCCCUUGCAAUAAUAACACUCUGUUUCAGGCUUAGGCCCAGCCUUGGGUUUCGUUGUCAGAUUGGCAACAGGCUUGCUGCUCUUCUUGGAGUUACCCUUCUUACCUUUGUCGUUUCUCUUGAAACUAGUGGUCUUAUUGACCAUCAACACUUGAUGCUCUUUCCGGAGUUCUGACUCUGCGACUUUCAGCAUCGCGAAUAACGCGCCAGAUGACUUGUUCAUCCCUUGCAUGUUAUAGUUCAACACAAAGCUCUUGUAGCUUGGUGGCAGUGAUUGAAGAAUUCUGUUAGUGAUAGCCUCUUGCGGGAGUUCAAUCCCCAGCUAAGCUAGACGGUUUGAGUACCCAGACAUUUUGAGCACAUGUUCACUGACAGACGAAUUCUCCUCCAUCUUGCAAGCAUAUAAUUUAUCUGAGUUCUCAUACCUCUCGAUCCGGGCGUUCUUCUGAAAGAUAAACUUCAACUCCUGGAACAUCUCAUAUGCUCCAUGACGUUCAAAGCGGCGUUGAAGUCCUGGCUCUAAGCCAUACAAGACUACACAUUGAACUACUGAGUAGUCCUCCUUACGUGUUAACCAAGCGUUCUUAACAUCUUGGUCAACCGUAGCGGGUGGUUCAUCUCCUAGCGCAGCAUUAAGGACAUAAUCCUUCUCCCAGCUUGCGGGAGCAACUUAAGAUUAUGAGCCCAGUCUAUAAAGUUGCUUCCAUCAUCUUUCAACUUAGCUUUCUCUAGGAACAUAUUAAAAUUCAGCGUGAGAGUUGCGUGAGCCAUUGAUCUACAACACAAAUAUUGCAAAGUGGAAUUAGACUAUGUUUAAGAUAAAUAGAGUUUAAUUAAUCAAAUUACUAAUAAACUCCCACUCAAAAAGUACAUUUCUCUAGUCAUUUGAGUGGUACAUGAUCCAAAUUCACUAACUCAAGUCCGAUCAUCACGUGAGUUGAGAAUAGUUUGAGUGGUAAGCAUCUCUAUGCUAAUUAUAUCAACUAUACGAUUCAUGCUUGACCUUUCGGUCUCAUGUGUUCCGAGGCCAUGUCUGCACAUGCUAGGAUCGUCAUGUUUAACCCGAGUGUUCCGCGUGUGCAACUGUUUUGCACCCGUUGUAUGUGAACGUUGAGUCUAUCACACCCGAUCAUUACGUGGUGUCUCAAAACGACAAACUAUCGCAAUGGUGCACAGUCGGGGAGAACGCAAUUUCGUCUUGAAAUUUAGUGAGAGAUCACCUUAUAAUGCUACCGUCGUUCUAAGAAAAAUAAAGUGCAUAAAAGGAUUAACAUCACAUGCAAUUCAUAAGUGACAUGAUAUGGUCAUCAUCUUGUGCUUCUUGAUCUCCAUCACUUAAGCACCGGCAUGAUCUUCUUGUCACCGGCACCACACCAUGAUCUCCAUCAUCAUGAUCUCCAUCAACGUGUCACCAUCGAGGUUGUCGUGCUAUCUAUGCUAUUACUACUAAAGCUACGACCUAACAAUAUAGUAAACGCAUCUACAAACACAAACGUUAGUUUAAAGACAACCCUAUGGCUCCUGCCGGUUGCCGUAGCAUCGACGUGCAAGUCGAUAUUAACUAUUACAACAUGAUCAUCUCAUACAUCCAAUAUAUCACAUCACGUCAUUGGCCAUAUCAUAUCACAAGCAUACCCAGCAAAAACAAGUUAGACGUCCUCUAAUUUGUUGUUGCAUGUUAUAUGUGACUGCUGUGGGUAUCUAGUAUGAUCGCAUCUUACUUACGCAAAAACCACAACGGAGAUGUGCAAAUUGCUAUUUAACCUCUCCAAGGACCGCCUCGGUCAAAACCAAUUCAACUAAAGUUGAAGAAACAAGCACCCGCGAGUCAUCUUUAUGCAACAAGGUUGCAUGUCAAUCGAUGAAACCAGUCUCUCGUAAGCGUAGGAGUUAUGUCGGUCCGGGCUGCUUCAAUCCAACAAUACUGCUGAAUAGAGAAAAGACUAAGGAGGACAGAAAAUCGAACAUCACCGUCCACAAAACCUUUUGUGUUCUACUCGAGAUAACAUCUACGCAUGAACCUAGCUCAUGAUGCCACUGUUGGGGAAUGUUGCAUGGGAAACAAAAAACUUCCUACGCACACGAAGACCUAUCAUGGUGAUGUCCAUCUACGAGUGGAGAUUAGAUCUACAUACCCUAGUAGAUCGCACAACAGGAAGCGUUAGGAAACGCAGUUGAUGUAGUGGAACAUCUUCACGUCCCUCGAACCGUCCCACGAACCGUCCCGCGAUCCGUCCCACGAUCCGUUCCGAUCUAGCGCCGAACGGAUGGCACCUCAGCGUUCAACACACGUACAACUCGACGAUGAUCUCGGCCUUCUUGAUCUAGCAAGCAAGACAAAGAAGUAGUUGAGUUCUCCGGGAGCGUGACGGCGCUCCGGUGUUGGUGAUGAUCUACUCUUGGAGGGAUCCGCCCGAGCUCCGCACAAAUCCGACCUAGAGGCAAAACUAUGUGGAAUAGGCUAGAGUUGCACGUGGCAAAGUUGUGUCUCAAAAAGCCCUAAACCACCACUAUACAUAGGAGGAAGGGGGAGGGGCUAGCCUUGAGGCACAAGGCCUCAAGGUGCACCGGACGCCAGGAGGAGGAGGACUCCUCCUCCAAUUCGGUUUGGGAAGGAGGAGUCCUCCUCUUCCUUUCCACCUCCCUCUUUCCUUUUUCUUUUUCUUCUUUUGGUAUUUUCUUAUGUGGCGCCAUAGCCCUCUUGGGCUGACUCCACCAGCCCAAUAAGGACUUGUGGAGCCACCCUAGGGCCUUGGGCUCACUCCCGGGUGGGUGGGCCCCUCCCGGUAAACACCCGGAACCCAUUCGUCACUCCGGGUUCACUGCCGGAAUUGCGUGAAACUUUCCGGUGACCAAAUGAAACCAUCCUAUAUAUCAAUCUUCGUUUCCGGACCAUUACGGAAACCCUCGUGACGUCCAUGAUCUCAUCCGGGACUCCGAACAACAUUCGGUAACCACCCAUAUAACUUAACAAUACUAAAACAUCAUCGAACCUUAAGUGUGCAGACCCUGCGGGUUCGAGAACUAUGCAGACAUGACCCAAGACACUCCUCGGUCAAUAUCCAAUAGCGGGACCUGGAUGCCCAUAUUGGAUCCUACAUAUGCUCUGAAGAUCUUAUCGGUUGAACCUCAGUGCCAAGGAUUCAUAUAAUCCCGUAUGUCAUUCCCUUUGUCCUUCAGUAUGUUACUUGCCCGUGAUUCGAUCAUCGGUAUCCGCAUACCUAUUUCAAUCUCGUUACCGGCAAGUCUCUUUACUCAUUCCGUAAUACAAGAUCCCNNNNNNNNNNNNNNNNNNNNNNNNNNNNNNNNNNNNNNNNNNNNNNNNNNNNNNNNNNNNNNNNNNNNNNNNNNNNNNNNNNNNNNNNNNNNNNNNNNNNNNNNNNNNNNNNNNNNNNNNNNNNNNNNNNNNNNNNNNNNNNNNNNNNNNNNNNNNNNNNNNNNNNNNNNNNNNNNNNNNNNNNNNNNNNNNNNNNNNNNNNNNNNNNNNNNNNNNNNNNNNNNNNNNNNNNNNNNNNNNNNNNNCCAUACUAACUCAACGGACACCUUCGGAGAUACCUAUAGAACACCUUUAUAGUCACCCAGUUACGUUGCGACGUUUGAUGCACAUAAGGUAUUCCUCCGGUGGCAGUGAGUUAUAUGAUCUCAUGGUCAUAGGAAUAAUACUUGACACACAGAAAACAAUAACAAUAAAACGACACGAUCAAUAUGCUACGUUCAUAGUUUGGGUCUAGUACAUCACAUGAUUCUCCUAAUGAUGUGAUCCAGUUAUCAAGCAACAACAAUUGCACAUAGUUAGAAAACCUUGACUAUCCUUGAUCAACUGGCUAGCCAACUAGAGGCUUGCUAGGGACAUUGUUUUGUCUAUGUAUCCACACAUGUAUCUAUGUUUUCAUUCAAUACAAUUAUAGCAUGGAUAAUGAACGAUUAUCUUUGUAAUAGGGAAUAUAAUAAUAACUAUUUAUCAUUGCCUGUAGGGCAUAUUUCCAACACAAGUCUCUUUACUCGUUUCGUGACACAUCAUCCCAUGACUAACUCCUUAGUCACACUGAGCUCAAUAUGAUGAUGGAUUACCGAAUGGGCCCAGAUGUACCUCUCCGUCACAUGGAGUGACAAAUCCCAGUCUCAAUUCGCACAACCCAACAGACACUUUCGGAGAUAUCCGUAGUGCACCUUUAUAAUCACCCAGUUACGUUGUGACGUUUGAUACACCCAAAGCACUCCUACGGUAUCCGGGAGUUGCACAAUCUCAUGGUCUAAGGAAAUGAUACUUGACAUUAGAAAAGCUUUAGCAAACGAAUAACACGAUCUAGUGCUAUGCUUAGGAUUGGGUCUUGUCCAUCACAUAUUCGCAUCAUUCCCCAAUGAUGUGAUCCCGUUAUCAAUGACAUCCAAUGUCCAUGAUCAUCUAUUGAUCAAUGAGCUAGCCAACUAGGGGCUCACUAGGGGCACAUUGUGAUCUAUAUAUUCACACAUGUAUUACGGCUUCCGGUUAAUACAAUUAUAGCAUGAAUAAUGGACAGUUAUCAUGAACUAGGAAAUAUAAUAAUAACCACUUUAUUAUUGCCUCUAGGGCAUUUUUCCAACAGUCAAGACAACAGAAACAGUUUAACUGAACAAGAUGUGUGUGAUAUGCGGCAAACGGUCCGAAAUCAGAAAUGUGUGCAAAUGCCGAUAAUAACACAGACGAUUACUGCUAAUAAGGCGUGUGAUUUUCUCUGUCUACAGAAUAAGAACACACACACACACACAGACGCACACACACACACACACAGACACGCACUGACAUAUAUAUAUAUAACUAAAAUAAACAUCCAAUUACAUAAGUGACUAUACAAAUAAUUCGCACACACCUUAGUAAACAUUUGCAUGCAUUCUAAACUAGGAGAAACGAUCAUCUACUUCUUGUGACGCUCCCACCAUUGCUCUGUGGCACAAUCCCUCGUCUGGGGUAGGACGAAGACACUUCCUCAUGUCAAUGAUCUGCGUGUACAUCUCGUAGCUUGUGUACACGUCGUUGACCGCGUACUUGAUGUGUUAUCCAUCCAGUCUCUGAUCCGAGGCACCGUUCCCGGCGUUCUGGUACUUCUUGCUCUCAUCCUUCAUCUUCAUGUAGUAGGGGUCGAUGAUGGCCGAGGCGAGGUCAACCAGGGAGUUCUGUUUGUUAUCGGUGCUGCACCAGACUUUGUAGCGGUCACGUAUGUUGACAAGAUUCUGGCAGUUCAAGCCCGAAACAUCGAGCGCUUUUUGAUCGUUGGUGGUGUCCACUGUAACGAAACUGUAGUCGGGGCUGUUGAUAAACCUGGCGAAACGCUCGCAGGUCCUUGUGGCCAUGUGGUAGUGGUAGGACGAGGACGUCAUGUCACACGCACAACUGGGCGGUGACAACCAUCUGAUCUUGCCCGCCACGACCGCUGGUGAGCUCGAAGUCAAAGGCGACCACUUGGUACAUGUCCUUAGUAAGCAAGUGAUCCAUAGUUUGGAUGGACCUCUCCAUUGAGAUCGGCUCGUUCGUGUACACCACCGAGAGGUCCUUCCCCCUCACGUGGGUGUCCACUAUGUGAUGCGUGGUGAACUGCCCCCCCCGUUGUCGUCGUCGGCCGCUCAGAGCGCCAUUGUAGCCACGGGGAGUGCCAUUGGAAAAGCUCGAUAUCCUCUCUGUAUGUGCCAUCAUGGGUGUGCUUAUUGUGUCGUGUGACGCGAGAGAUGAAGGUAAAUGGACAUGGGAAUAAAUGGGGGCGAGGCAGCCUGGAUUCUCGGCACGGCCGCAUGGCAGUUUUUGCAGCGAGUAACUGCAUCGUGGCGCGGCGCCCGUCGCAACCGCGUGCAUAAUGGCAACACGAAUGCACGUGAUCAUGUGCCGGCCCCAAACAUUGACAGCACACAUGGAGGGACACGGGCAGAGCGCCGAGAGGGACGCGAUAGAAGAACGCGUGCGGCGGGACGCGAGUAGAGCGCAUCGCGGCCGCCUCAAUCGUGAGAAACCACACACAUAUAACACUUGAACACGCAAGGAAUGGUCAUCUACAAGCCGUCCGACAGUGGAGAGCCAACGGCAUGAUGUGAAACUACGUCGCGUUCCACAUCACACGAUCGUCGAACAAUCAUUCGUGACGCUGCGUAGAGAGCGGACGUGUGCUACUACCUCCGUCUUGGUCUAUUAGUCCCCUUUAUAUUUUGUGCCAUAUUUUGACCUUAAAUUUAACUAACAAAAUGUUAAUGCAUGUUAUAAAAAUAAUAUAAUUGGAGGGUAUGUUCAAAUAUGAAUCCAACGGUAUAAUCUUUGGCGACACGCAUUCACAUUUUAGUAGUUAAAUUGCUAGUCAAAAUUUGGCACAAAAAUACAAAGAGGACUUAUAAACCAGUACAGAGGUAGUAGGUCAUUAAAUAACAAAUAUUAUUUUUUCAUUAACCGUUUGUGUACGUGUCGCUUCGUCCUCCUCUCGCACGUCUUGUGAGUUGUCACCCCGCUGCAAGCUUGGGCACCGUGCGGGUGUUGGCCAAGCGGUGGCUCAAAGUGACACCAAUGAAUCAUCGGUGAGCCCAUUCCCGCACAACCACAUAGGUUCCCGAGCUUUGCCACGCAAGCUUCCCGCCCGGCUCUACCAAAUCCCAAUGCUUACCGGCCUGCUAUAUAAACUCUCACGACCAUCGAGUCAUGCAUCGCAUUUUCCUCCUCCUCCCUGUAUCUUAUGUGGUCUGCUUCUCCCACAAUCGCCAAUGGCACCGGUCCGUCAUCGUCGCUCAGCCACUCCACCGUCAUGAGAGCACAUCUCCAGCUGGGAGGCCACACCGCAGCGGCGGUGUAGCCCAGAGUAGUGUAGUGUGCAUGGCAUCCCUGUUGGGUGUGCGCGUAACACCCACCACACGCUCUACCGCCACUGCGUGUCGAGAGCUGCUGCCAGCCGCCGUUGCUUCCACCCCACCGUAUGCCGCCAUGGCCUCCACACCAUCAUCGAAAGUCGGGGCAAUCACCCGCUCCACCGCCGCGGCCCGAAAGCGGGAGGUGGUCAUCAUGGCCGCCACACCACUGUUGGCCACUGUGUCCAUCACCCACUGUGCCACCAUGACCCGAAGGCGAGAGUUGACGGUCGUGGCUGCCAGUCCACCAUCGACCGCCGGGGUCAUCACCGGCCCUGCCACCGCCGCUCGAAGGAGGAAGGUGGAUCCCCACAUGUGCAUCAGCGACCUUGCGUGCUACAUCAAGUUCCCGCAGGAGGAGGAGGAGCGCCUGGUCGAGCACACAAAGAGUCUUACCGUUGUCUUGGCUGUAGCACACGCUGCCACAGAGGCGCGAAAUAAGAAGAUCUAUGAUGAGUCCCGCCACUUCGAGAUGAGUCGUCUAGAGUGGCACAGGGCGUUCAAGGUAAGCGUUGCUAAAGGUGCAACAGCGGCAUGCACCAUAUUCCAGUUGUCCAGCUCGUUAGUAGGCUCCUCCUCCUCUGCCUCGGCAGAGGAGCGGCUGCUGGAAGUAGUACAAAGCCCCUCCGUCGUAUUACUAUUUAGGGGCUAUUUUGUUCAGUUCAUCUGACUAUAGAUGUGGUUGAAAUGUACAUCAUACUUCAAAUUAGCUAGUAUAUAUAGUUGAACUAGCUAUUUCAGUAUGUGGUUGGCAACAAUUGGGGAAAAGGUUGGUCAGUUUAGCCGUCGAGUUGAACUGUUUGUAUAAAGUGUUGGGGAACGUCGCAUGGGAAACAAAAAUUUUCCUACGCGCACGAAGACCUAUCAUGGUGAUGUCCAUCUACGAGAGGGGAUGAGUGAUCUACGUACCCUCGUAGAUCGUACAGCAGAAGCGUUAGAGAACGCGGUUGAUGUAGUGGAACGUCCUCACGUCCCUCGAUCCGCCCCGCGAACAAUCCCGCGAUCAGUCCCACGAUCUAGUACCGAACGGACGGCACCUCCGCGUUCAGCACACGUACAGCUCGACGAUGAUCUCGGCCUUCUUGAUCCAGCAAGAGAGACGGAGAGGUAGAAGAGUUCUCCGGCAGCGUGACGGCGCUCCGGAGGUUGGUGAUGAUCUUGUCUCAGCAGGGCUCCGCCCGAGCUCCGCAGAAACGCGAUCUAGAGGAAAAACUAUGGAGGUAUGUGGUCGGGCAGCCGUGAGAAAGUCGUCUCAAAUCAGCCCUAAAACCUCCGUAUAUAUAGGUGGGAGGGAGGGGAGGAGGCAGCCUCAAAACCUAAAGGUUUGGCCGAAAUUGGAGGUGGAGGAGUCCUACUCCAAUCCUACUUGGAGUAGGAUUCCACCUUCCCACUUGGAAACUCUUUCCACCUUGUGUUUUUUCCUUCUCAAACCUUAUGGGCCUUAGUGGGAACUUAUUCCAGCCCACUAGGGGCUGGUUUAUCUCUUCCCAUAGCCCAUGAGACCCCUUGGGGCGUGACACCCCUCCCGAUGGUCCCCGGCACCCCUCCCGGCACUCCCGGUACACUACCGAUGAGCCCGAAACUUUUCCGGUAAUGCACGAAAACCUUCCGGUAACCAAAUGAGGUCAUCCUAUAUAUCAAUCUUCGUUUCCGGACCAUUCCGGAAACCCUCGUGACGUCCGUGANNNNNNNNNNNNNNNNNNNNNNNNNNNNNNNNNNNNNNNNNNNNNNNNNNNNNNNNNNNNNNNNNNNNNNNNNNNNNNNNNNNNNNNNNNNNNNNNNNNNUCGGUCUACUUGUUUCACACCUGAUGCCUAUAGAAAUAAUCAUUGCAUAGAUAUCAUCACGACUCUGCACAGUUCUAUCAAUUGCUCGACAGUAAUUUGUUCACCCACCGUCUACUUGCUUUCAUAAGAGAAGCCACUAGUAAACACUACGGCCCCCGAGUCUAUUCACAUCCAUCGGUUACAACUCCGCUUUUACUUUGCUUUGCUACUUUGUUGCUUUCAGUUCUCACUUGGCAAACAAUCUAUAAGGGAUUGACAACCCCUUCAUAUUGUUGGGUGCAAGCUUUUGUGUUUGUGCAGGAUCUUGAGAUACUCCUCCGCCGGAUUGAUACCUUGGUUCUCAAACUAAGGGGAAUACUUACCUCCGCUGUGCUACAUCAUCCUCUCCGCUUCGAGGGAACACCAACGCAGAAGGAUUCCUGGUGUCGUCAACGUGCCCAUUUCUGGCACCACUGGAAGGUCUUUUGUGCAGUAGCAUAACGGACAUCAAAAGCAUUUCUGGCGCCGUUGCUGGGGAGGAGAAAUCAAGAUCUAUCCAAGUAGGUCUCACAAACUCUUCUCUUGCAUUUACUUUUGUUGCCAGUUGCCUCUCUUUUUCCUCUCCCCCACUUCACAUUUGCCGUUUUCAUUCGCCUUUCUCCUUCGCCGUUUUCUCUUGCCCUUGCCGUUUUCCUUUGCCGGUUUCUUGCUUGCUUGUGUGCUUGUUGGUCUGUUGAAGACAUCAUGUCUGAAAACACCAAACUUUUUGACUUCUCGAGCACUAAUAACAAUGAUUUUAUUAGUACUCCGAUUGAUCCCGCCACUAGUGCGGGAUCGUAUGAAAUCAACGCAGCUUUGCUGAAUCUUGUUAUGAAAGAGCAAUUCUCUAGCCUUCCUAGUGAAGAUGACACAUCCCAUCUCAGUACCUUCAUUGAGCUUUGUGAUAUGCAAAAGAAAAGAGAUGUGGAUAAUGACGUGAUUAAGUUGAAACUUUUUCCUUUCUCGUUGCGAGAUCGUGCAAAAACUUGGUUUUCUUCUUUGCCUAAAAAUAGUAUCGAUUCCUGGGAUAGGUGCAAAGAUGCUUAAAUAUCCAAGUAUUUUCCGCCGACUAAGAUCAUCUCCUUACGUAACGAUAUCAUGAAUUUCAAGCAACUUGAUCAUGAACACGUUGCACAAUCUUGGGAGAGGAUGAAGCUUAUGAUUAGAAAUUGUCCUGCUCAUGGCUUGAGUUUGUGGAUGAUUAUACAAAUCUUUUACGCUGGCUUGAAUUUCACUUCUCGCAAUAUCUUGGACUCCACCUCAGGUGGAACGUUCAUGGAAAUCACGUUAGGAGACACUACAAAACUCCUAGACAAUAUCAUGACCAACUACUCUCAGUGGCACACUGAAAGGUCGCCUGCUAGCAAAAAGGUGCACGCUAUAGAAGAGAUUAACUCGCUUAGUGCUAAGAUGGACGAGUUGAUGAAUUUGGUUGCUAGUAGAAACGCUACCGUAGAUCCUAAUGACAUGCCACUAUCUUCUUUGAUUGAGAGUAGCAACGCUAGUUUGGACGUGAAUUUUGUUGGUAGGAACAAUUUUGGCAACAACAAUGCUUUAGAGGAAACUAUGUUCCUAGGCCUUUUCCUAGUAACUCCUCUAACAAUUAUGGCAAUUCCUACGGCAACACUUAUGGAAAUCACAACAAAUUACCCUCUGAUCUAGAGAGUAAUAUCAAUGAAUUCAUCAACUCUCAAAAGAUUUUCAAUGCGUCCAUAGAGGAAAAACUACUCAAAAUAGACGAUUUGGCUAAGAGCGUUGAUAGGAUGUCUUGUGAUAUUGAUGCUUUGAAAGUUAGAUGCGCUCCUCCCAAGAUCAACUUGGAUGAAACUUUGAAAGCUAUGCGUAUCUCCAUGAAUGAGAGCAAAGAAAGAACCGCCCAAAUUCGCGCUAGACAUGAAUGGUUUAAAAGGGUGUGUUCUAGUGAUGCAAAUCACGAAGAUCUUAAAGUUCUUGGUGUGUCUCCUCUUGAAUCUUUGUUUUCACGUGUCAAACCUACUUAUGGAGGGGCUGGAUAUGAAUCCACUUUGGUUGAAAAACGCCCCGAUGAUUCGGAGUCCACCCAUCUUGAUGAUAAAGGUGUGGAGAGUGGAGUAGAAGAAGUCAAAAAUUUGGGUAGUAAUGAAACUCCCACUUUGGAUUUCAAGGAAUUUAAUUAUUAUAAUUUCUCCUUGUUUGAAUGCAUUUCUUUGAUGCAAUCCAUUGCAAACUCUCCACAUGCUUAUAGCCAAAGCAAAGCCUUUACCGCGCAUAUCGUAGAUGCUAUGAUGAAAUCUCUUGAAGAGAAGCACGAACUAGAAGUAUAUAUACCUAGAAAACUUCAUGAUGAGUGGGAACCUACUAUCAAAAUCCAGAUCAAAAACUAUGAGUGCAAUGCUUUGUGUGAUUUGGGUGCUAGUGUUUUCACGAUUCCAAAGUCUUUAUGUGAUAUUCUUGGUUUUCAUGAGAUUGAAGAGUGUUCUCUUAAUUUGCAUCUUGCGGAUUCUACUGUCAAGAAGCCCAUGGGGAGGAUCGAUGAUGUUCUUAUUGUUGCAAAUAAGAACUAUGUACCUAUGGAUUUCAUUGUACUUGACAUAGAUUGCAAUCCUUCAUGUCCCAUUAUUCUUGGUAGACCUUUCCUAAGGACUAUUGGUGCUAUCAUCGAUAUGAAGGAAGGGAAUAUUAGAUUCCAAUUUCCCUUAAAGAAGGGCAUGGAGCACUUUCCUAGAAAGAAAAUAAUAUUGCCUUAUGAAUCUAUAAUGAGGGCUACCUAUGGUUUGAGCACCAAAGAUGACUAUACGUGAUUCCAUCACUUUCGCCUAGCUAAGGGCGUUAAACAAAAGCGCUUGUUGGGAGGCAACCCAACGAAUCUAUCCUUUUUCUUUCUGUUUUGUGUUUUCCACACUUUCAUAAUUCUGUUAUGAUUGUGUUUUUUGUGUUUCUUUUUGCGUUUGUGCCAAGCAAAACCGUUAUGAUUAGUCUUGAGGAUGAUCGUUUGGUCAUGCUGGAAAAGACAGAAACUUUCUGUUGACGAAAAGAAUUUUCAUUUUUUUCUGUAAGAGAUUUUGAGUUGAUUCUUUUUGCCGUUGAUUUAUACGCAAAGUCUUCAGACUUUCGUAAUUGUUCAGAAUUUUUGAAGUAACAGAGGUAUAUGAAACAUACAGAUUGCUACAGACUGGUCAGCUAUUAACAGAUUCUGUUUUUGUAGUGUUGGUUGCUUAUUUUGAGGAAACUAUGGAUAGUAUCGGGGGGUAUUAGCCAUGGAAGAUUGAAAGUACAUUAACCCAACAUCAGCACAAGUAGAAUUUAAGUUUUCUACAGUACCUAAGGAAGUGGUGGUUUGCUUUCUUGUACUAAUGUUAUCACGAGUUUCUGUUUAAGUUUCGUGUUGUGAAGUUUUCAAGUUUUGGGUGAAGUUCUUAUGGACAAAAAGAUAAAGAGUGGCAAGAGCUCAAGCUUGGGGAUGCCCAAGGCACCCCAAGAGAUUCAAGGAUGUCGUAAAAGCCUAAGCUUGGGGAUGCCCCGGGAAGGCAUCCCCUCUCUCGUCUUCAAUCCAUCGGUAACGUUACUUGGGGCUAUAUUUUUAUUCACCACAUGUUAUGUGUUUUUGCUUGGAGCGUAUUGUAUCAUAGGAGUCUUUUAUUUUUGUUGUGUCACAAUCAUUGUUAGAGCAUAUAUCUCCAUAUGUGGUUUUGGUAAUUGAUGACAAUUCCUAUGGACUAAUGGUUGCCUUAAGUUAUAUUUAUAGGAUUUGUCCAUAGGCACUUCUUGAAGUCCAUCUGUUGGGUUAAAGGAUUUUAUAUGAUGACCAAGGUGGUAUGCAAGGUAUUAUCCAAAGAAUGGUCAUAGAGACACAAGGUUGAUCAAGAUCGUCAGACAAAGAGUAAAUCAAGAUGAUCAACACACAAAGCGUACAAGAUGUACCGAGAGGGAUCAAGUGAUCCCAUGGUAUGGUAAGCAUUGUCCAGUACGUAUUUGUGUACUAACCCAUGGUCUUCUUGAGAGUUCUAUGUGGGGUUAGGUGUGUUUACAUAGGCUUGUGUCAAGAGGAUUAUCUCAUACAACCCAUGAAGGAUGACGUCAAGUGAUGGAGGAUGGUGGCAAUGGACUUGUGAAGAUAUGCUGAAGAGCGGCUCACCCAUAGUGUGUAUGGGGGAGCAAUCAACUAGUCUUCAUCAAGCCAACGCAAGCAAGAGGAAUAUCUCAUACAACCCAUGGAGGAUGACGUCAAGUGAUGGAGGAUGGUGGCAAUGGACUUGUGAAGAUAUGGUGANNNNNNNNNNNNNNNNNNNNNNNNNNNNNNNNNNNNNNNNNNNNNNNNNNNNNNNNNNNNNNNNNNNNNNNNNNNNNNNNNNNNNNNNNNNNNNNNNNNNUAUUAGCAGUUGAGUCGUCGGUUCAACCACACCUGAAAGAUUAGUAUCUGCAAGCAGGAUAUAAGCAGCAAAGUAGUAUGAUAGCAACGGUGCUAGGAAAGAUCUGUUCACAAGGCAGACUAUUCCUAACUGAAGUAUCAAUGGCGCCAGAAAAGUAUUGUAGCAGGUAGCAACAGUGUAACGAGUAACAGCAGUGGCAAGGAACAACAGUAGUGACAGCAGAAGCAAGUAGCAAUAGUAGCAAGUAACAACAACAUCAAGUAACAGUAGUAGCAACAGUAGUGGCAGUAGCAGCAGGACAAAGCAAGUAACAGUAGCAGCAACAGUAGUAACGGCAGCAGAGCAAAGCAAGUAACAGUAGCAGUGGGACAAACUCGUAGGCAAUGGAUCGGUGAUUUGUUGGAUGACAUUCAUCAUGCAACAGUUAUAACACAGAGAGAUAUGUGGCUAGCUCCCGUUCGUCAAUGUGAUGUAGGCAUGCAUUCCGUGUGUAGUCAUACAUGCUUAGGGAAAAGAACUUGCAUGACAUGUAUUGUCCAUCCCUCUCAUGGCAGCGGGGUCCAAAUGGAUACUAUGGGAUAUUAGGGUUCUCCUUUUAAUAAAGAACCGUACCAACGCAUUAGCACUUGGUGAACACAUAAACUCCUCAAACUAUGGUCACCGGGAGUGGUUCCGGUUAUUGUCACUCCGGGGUUGCCGGAUCAUAACACAUAGUAGGUAACUACAACUUGCAAGAUCGGAUCUAAAACACACAUAUAUUGGUGACAACAUAAUAAUUUCAUAUCUGAAUNNNNNNNNNNNNNNNNNNNNNNNNNNNNNNNNNNNNNNNNNNNNNNNNNNNNNNNNNNNNNNNNNNNNNNNNNNNNNNNNNNNNNNNNNNNNNNNNNNNNCCGUCUCUCUUGCUGGCUCAAGAAGGCCGAGAUCAUCGUCGAGCUGUACGUGUGCUGAACGCGGAGGUGCCGUCCGUUCGGCACUAGAUCGUGGGACUGAUCGCGGGACGGUUCGCGGGGCGGAUCGAGGGACGUGAGGACGUUCCACUACAUCAACCGCGUUCACUAACGCUUCUGCUGUACGGUCUACAAGGGUACGUAGAUCACUCAUCCCUUCUCGUAGAUGGACAUCACCAUGAUAGGUCUUCGUGCGCGUAGGAAAUUUUUUUUUUCCCGUGCGACGUUCCCCAACAGUGGCAUCAUGAGCUAGGUUCANNNNNNNNNNNNNNNNNNNNNNNNNNNNNNNNNNNNNNNNNNNNNNNNNNNNNNNNNNNNNNNNNNNNNNNNNNNNNNNNNNNNNNNNNNNNNNNNNNNNNNNNNNNNNNNNNNNNNNNNNNNNNNNNNNNNNNNNNNNNNNNNNNNNNNNNNNNNNNNNNNNNNNNNNNNNNNNNNNNNNNNNNNNNNNNNNNNNNNNNNNNNNNNNNNNNNNNNNNNNNNNNNNNNNNNNNNNNNNNNNNNNNNNNNNNNNNNNNNNNNNNNNNNNNNNNNNUACGCUUACGAGAGACCGGUUUCAUCGCUACGAGUAACCCCGUUGCUCAAAGAUGACUGGCAAGUGUCGGUUCCUCCAACUUUAGUUGAAUCGGAUUUGACCGAGGAGGUCCUUGGAUGAGGUUAAAUAGCAACUCAUAUAUCUCCGUUGUGGUGUUUGCGUAAGUAAGAUGCGAUCCUACUAUAUACCCUUGGUCACCACGUAAAACAUGCAACAACAAAAUUAGAGGACGUCUAACUUGUUUUUGCAGGUUAUGCUUGUGAUGUGAUAUNNNNNNNNNNNNNNNNNNNNNNNNNNNNNNNNNNNNNNNNNNNNNNNNNNNNNNNNNNNNNNNNNNNNNNNNNNNNNNNNNNNNNNNNNNNNNNNNNNNNCCGUCUCUCUUGCUGGAUCAAGAAGGCCGAGAUCAUCGUCGAGCUGUACGUGUGCUGAACGCGGAGGUGCCGUCCGUUCGGUACUAGAUCGUGGGACUGAUCGCGGGAUUGUUCGCGGGGCGGAUCGAGGGACGUGAGGACGUUCCACUACAUCAACCGCGUUCUCUAACGCUUCUGCUGUACGAUCUACGAGGGUACGUAGAUCACUCAUCCCCUCUCGUAGAUGGACAUCACCAUGAUAGGUCUUCGUGCGCGUAGGAAAAUUUUUGUUUCCCAUGCGACGUUCCCCAACAGUGGCGUCAUGAGCUAGGUUCAUGCGUAGAUGUCUUCUCGAGUAGAACACAAAAGUUUUUGUGGGCGGUGAUGUGCGUUUUGCUGCCCUCCUUAGUCUUUUCUUGAUUCCGCGGUAUUGUUGGAUUGAAGCGGCUUGGACCGACAUUACUCGUACGCUUACGAGAGACUGGUUUCAUCGUUACGAGUAACCCCCUUUGCUCAAAGAUGACUGGCAAGUGACGGUUUCUCCAACUUUAGUUGAAUCGGAUUUGAUCGAGGAGGUCCUUGGAUGAGGUUAAAUAGCAACUCAUAUAUCUCCGUUGUGGUGUUUGCGUAAGUAAGAUGCGAUCCUACUAGAUACCCUUGGUCACCACGUAAAACAUGCAACAACAAAAUUAGAGGACGUCUAACUUGUUUUUGCAGGGUAUGAUUGUGAUGUGAUAUGGNNNNNNNNNNNNNNNNNNNNNNNNNNNNNNNNNNNNNNNNNNNNNNNNNNNNNNNNNNNNNNNNNNNNNNNNNNNNNNNNNNNNNNNNNNNNNNNNNNNNNNNNNNNNNNNNNNNNNNNNNNNNNNNNNNNNNNNNNNNNNNNNNNNNNNNNNNNNNNNNNNNNNNNNNNNNNNNNNNNNNNNNNNAUCAUGUUGUAAUAGAAAUAUCGACUUGCACGUCGAUGGUACGGCAACCGGCAGGAGCCAUAGGGUUGUCUUUAUACUAACAUAUGUGCUUGCAGAUGCGUUUACUAUUUUGCUAGGAUGUAGCUUUAGUAGUAAUAGCAUAAGUAGCACGACAACCCCGAUGGCAACACGUUGAUGGAUGAUCAUGGUGUGGCGCCGGUGACAAGAAGAUCGUGCCGGUGCUUUGGUGAUGGAGAUCAAGAAGCACGUGAUGAUGGCCAUAUCAUGUCACUUAUGAAUUGCAUGUGAUGUUAAUCCUUUUAUGCACCUUAUUUUGCUUAGAACGACGGUAGCAUUAUGAGGUGAUCUCUCACUAAAAUUUCAAGACGAAAUUGUGUUCUCCCCGACUGUGCACCGUUGCGACAGUUCUUCGUUUCGAGACACCACGUGAUGAUCGGGUGUGAUAGACUCAACGUUCACAUACAACGGGUGCAAAACAGUUGCACACGCAGAACACUCGGGUUAAGCUUGACGAGCCUAGCAUGUGCAGACAUGGCCUCGGAACACGUGAGACCGAAAGGUCGAGCAUGAAUCGUAUAGUUGAUAUGAUUAGCAUAGGGAUGCUUACCACUGAAACUAUUCUCGACUCACGUGAUGAUCGGACUUGAGAUAGUGGAUUUGGAUCAUGUACCACUCAAAUGACUAGAGAGAUGUACUUUUUGAGUGGGAGUUCUUAAGUAAUAUGAUUAAUUGAACUAAUUGUCAUGAACAUAGUCUAAUGGUCUUUGCGAAUUACGAUGUAGCUUGCGCUAUAGCUCUACUGUUUUUUUAUGUUCCUAGAGAAAAUUUAGUUGAAAAUUGAUAGUAGCAACCUUUGCAGACUAAGUCUGUAAAACCGAGGAUUGUCCUCGUUGCUGCGCAGAAGGCUUAUGUCCUUAAUGCACCACUCGGUGUGCUGCACCUCGAGCGUCGUCUGUGGAUGCUGUGAACAUCCGACAUACACGUUUCUGAUGACUACACGAUAGUUCAGUGCAAAGUACUUAAUGGCUUAGAAGCAAGGCACCGAAAACGUUUUAAAACGUCACGGAACAUAAGUGAUGUUCUAAAGAGAUGAAAUUGUGAUUUCAUGCUUGUGCCCUUGUUAAGAGGUACGAGACCUCCAACAAGAUUCUUUGACCACAAAGUAAAGGAGAAAAGCUCAAUCGUUGAGCGUGUGCUCAAAUUAUCUGAGUACGACAAUCACUCGAAUCGAGUGGGAGCUAAUCUUCCAGAUGAGAUAGUGAUGGUUCUCCAAAAUCACUGCCACCAAGCUUUGAGAGCUUCAUGAUGAACUAUAACAUAUCAAGGAUAGAUACAAUGAUCCUUGAGCGAUUCGCGACGUUUGACACUGCGAAAGUAGAAAUCAAGAAGGAGCAUCAAUAGUUGAUGGUUUGAAAAACCACUAAGUUUCAAGAAAGGGGAGGGCUAGAAGGGAUACUUCGUGAAACGGCAAAACAGUUGCUGCGCUAAUGAAGAGACCCAAGAUUGAACCCAAACCCGAGACUAAGUGCUUCUGUAAUAAGGGGAACAGUCACUGAGGCGGAGCAACUCUAGAUACUUGGGAGAUAAGAAGGCUGGCAGAAGUCGAGAGAAGUAUAUUUGAUAUACAUAAUGUUGAUGUGUACUUUACUAGUACUCCUAGUAGCACGAGGGUAUUGGAUACCGGUUCGGUUGCUAAGUGAUUAGUAACGCGAAAUGAAAGCUACGGCAUAAGCGGAGACUAGCUAAAGGCGAGGUGACGAUACGUGUUGGAAGUGUUUCCAAGGUUGAUAUGAUCAAACGUCACACGCCCCCUCUACCAUCGGGAUUGGUGUUGAACCUAAAUAAUUGUUAUUUGGUGCUUGCGUUAAGCAUGAACAUGAUUGGAUCGUGUUUAUUGCAAUACGAUCAUUCAUUCAAAGAGAAUAAUGGUUACUCUAUUUGCUUGAAUAAUCACCUUCAAUGGUUUAUUGAAUCUCGAUUGUAGUGUUACACAUUGGUGCCAAAAGAUACGAGUUAAAUGAUGAUAGUACCACUUACUUGUGGCACUGCCGCUUGAGUCAUGUUAGUAUAUAAAUUGCAUGAAGAGGCUCCAUGCUGAUGGAUCUUUACUCACCUGAUUUCGAAUCACUAGUGACAUGCAAAUCAUACCACAUGAGCAAGGCCUUGUUUUCAUUGAGAUGAAACAAGAUAGUAACUUGUUGGAAGUGAUACAUUUUGAUGUAUGCAGUCCAGUGAGUGCUGAGGCACGCAGUGGAUAUCAUUAUGUUCUUACUUCACUGACGACUUGAGUAGAUACAGGAGUAUUUACUUAAUGAAUCACAAGUCUGAAAUAUUGAAAAGUUCAAUUCUGUUUCAGAGUGAAGUUCGUCGUAACAAGAGGAUAAACUGUCUACGAUAUGAUCAUAGAAAUGAAUAUCUGAGUUGCGAGUUUUUGGUACACAGUUAAGACAAUGUGGAAAUUGUUUCAGAGUUCGUGCCACCUGGAACAUCAUGGUGUGAUGAUGUGUCUGAACGUCAUAGCCACGCACUAUUUAGUAUGGUGCAUGCUGUGAUGUCUCUUAUCGAAUUACCACUAUCGUUUAUGGGUUAUGCAUUAGAGACAACCACAUUCACUUUAAAUAGGGCACCGCGUAUUUCCGUUGAGAUGACACAGUAUAGACUGAGGUUUAGAGAAAUCUAAACUGUCGUUUCUUGAAAGUUUGGGGCUUCGAAACUUAUGUGAAAAAGUUUCAGUCUGAUAAGCUCGAACCCAAAGCGGAUAAAUGCAUCUUCAUAGGAUAUCCAAAACAGUUGGGUACAUCUCCUAUCUCAGAUCCAAAAGCAAAGUGUUUGCUUCUAGAAACGGAUCCUUUCUCGAGAAAAGGUUUCUCUCGAAAGAAUUGAGUGGGAGGGUAGUAGAACUUGAUGAGGUUAUUAAAACCAUCACUUCAACCAGUGUGUAGCAGGGCAUAGGAAGUUGUUCCUGUGGCGCCUACACUAAUUGAAGUGGAAGCUGAUGAUGGUGAUCAUUGAGCUUCGAAUCAAGUUACUACAAACCUCGUAGGUCGACAAGGUCGCGUACUGCUGCAGAGUAGUACGGUAACCCUGUCUUGGAGGUCAUGUUGUUGAGAAACAGUGAACCUACGAGUUAUGGAGAAAGCGAUGGUGGGCCCAGAUUCCGACAAAUGGCUGGAAGCCAUGAAAUCCGAGAGAGGAUCCAUGUGUGAAAACAAAGUGAAUCACUAGCAGCGGUCAAAAUUUAUCCUUAGUAACAAAUGGACUAAGGAAUUUUUCUCGAUUAUGGAGGUGGUUAAAGAGUUCGUCGUAAAGGGUUACGUCGAUGCAAGCUUUGACACUAAUCUGAAUAACUAUGAGUAGUGAAACGGAUUCAUAUAGUAGAGUGGAUAUUUGGAGCAUUUUCGAAUAGCACGUAGUAGCAGCAUCUAUAAGAUGACAUAAAGAUUUGUAAAGAACGCACGGAUCUGAAAUUUUCAGAACCGUUGACUAAAACCUCUCUCACAAGCAAGACAUGAUCACACCCCAUAACUAUAUGGGUGUUGGAUUCGUUGGAAUCACAUGGUGAUGUGAACUAGAUUAUUGACUCUAGUGCAAGUGGGAGACUGUUGGAAAUAUGCCCNNNNNNNNNNNNNNNNNNNNNNNNNNNNNNNNNNNNNNNNNNNNNNNNNNNNNNNNNNNNNNNNNNNNNNNNNNNNNNNNNNNNNNNNNNNNNNNNNNNNCGUGUCCACGGUCAUGGACAACUUGAGCCGAAGGAACUGAAAUUAUCAGGAAUUCUCAACACCAUUAUAUAAACUUGAUCUGGGUAAUAUUGAUAACUUGGGUAUGAGAACUGGUUGGCGGAACCAUCUCAUUAACAACCAACAACGUAGUAAUAUUUUGCUUUUAGCCCCUCUUUUAUUGUAGGAGAAAACUUUGCUUUCCGCUAAAAAAACUUACAGCCCCACCUGCCAUAUAUGCAUAUAGUAUAGAUGAUAUUUUUAGCCCUCUCUUUUGUGACUUGCCGGCAUAUUCAAUACGCUGACCUACACGGCUGCAACGUCUUAUAUUGCAGAUAUUUUUCUUCGACGAGUAAGAGUACGAUUCAGGGUUACGGUCUACACUCAACUUGCCGUUGGUGUUUAUUGGGACUCCACUCCCUUGGCUGCUUCCGCUGAGAUAUUUAAGGUAUAUAUCAGUUUUACGCUAUUUUCGUGUGAUUGCACUUUGAUAUAUACAUUGAUGUACUGUGUGUGCCAGCAUACUGAUCCAGGGAUGGCACAGAUACACAGAGGCUUGACUCGUUUUGAGUCGGGUCGCUACAGAAAUGGUAUCAGAGCACAUGUUNNNNNNNNNNNNNNNNNNNNNNNNNNNNNNNNNNNNNNNNNNNNNNNNNNNNNNNNNNNNNNNNNNNNNNNNNNNNNNNNNNNNNNNNNNNNNNNNNNNNGCUCACCUAUGUGCACCAACAACUUAUGCUAAGCAAGAUAAACAACUAUGCGAUAGCAAGAUAUAUGACAAUAAACAAUAUGGCUAUCACAAAGUAAAGUGCAUAAGUAAAGGGUUCGGAUAAGAGAUAACCGAGGCACGCGGAGACGAUGAUGUAUCCUGAAGUUCACACCCUUGUGGAUGCUAAUCUCCGUUGGAUCAGUGUGGAGGCACAAUGCUCCCCAAGAUGCCACUAAGGCCACCAUAAUCUCCUCACGCUCUCGCACAAUGCAAGAUGCCGUGAUUCUACAAAGGGACCCUUGAGGGCGGUCACCGAACCCAUACAAAUGGCAAACCUUGGGGGCGGUCACCGAUACCCGUACAAAUUGCUCGGAGCAAUCUCCACAACCUAAUUGGAGACCCGGACGCUUGCCCGGAGCUUUACACCACAAUGAUUGAGCUCCGAGACACCACCAAGAUUCUAGGAUGCCAAUUCAUCCACGAAGAACAAUAUCUAGGGUACUAAGUACCAAAGGUAAUAAGCUUCUCAAACUUCACUUCCACGUAUCACCGUGGAGAACUCAAAUGAUGCAACUAAUGCAAUGGCAAGGGCACACGGAGUGCCCAAGUCCUUCUAUCCCAAAUCCCACCAAAGCAACUAAUGCUAGGGAGGAAAAUGAGAGGAAGAACGAAGAAGAACACGAAGAACUCCAAGAACUAGACCCAAGGGGUUCACCUCACUUAGAGGAGAAAGUGAUUGGUGGAAAUGUGGAUCUAGAUCUCCUCUCUCUUUUACCUCAAGAACUAGCAAGAAUCAUUGGAGGGAUUGAGAGUUAGCAAGCUCGAAGAAGGUCAACAAUGGGGGAAGAACACGAGCUAAAUAGAUAAGGCUCAAUGGGGAAGAAUACCACCUUUUAUAGGUGGGGGAAAAUCCAACCGUUAAGCCUCACAGCCCGCACAGAGCGGUACUACUGCUCGGUAGGUUCACCAACCAUGACGAGGCCAAAAAGUAUGCAAAAAACAGUCCGACGGAGCGGUACUACCGCUCCU